Molecule: long non-coding RNA, 138303 nt
Filed under: Solanum lycopersicum (tomato)
Lineage: Eukaryota; Viridiplantae; Streptophyta; Magnoliopsida; Solanales; Solanaceae
Description: long non-coding RNA (SLYC_LNC001151)
Source: RNAcentral
AUGAUGUGAUGAAAUGCAAUGCAAUAUAACACCGUGUAAUGAAUUGUCUCAGAAUACCCAGUACACACUCAACCGUAUAUACAUGAUACUCCUCGGAAAUACAUCGAGAGUUCAUGACCCAUGGGGGACUCGCGAGGUCCAUAUACCGACACGGACGAUCUUCACGUGUCUGUGCGGACAAUCUCAACGCACUAUCAUAAUAUCAAACAAUUUCAACCAAACUCCAAAUCUUGAUACAUAUUGGUAUGCCAAUUUUUUUCCAUACUUGCUAAAUUUCAAGCCAAGAACUUAACUCUAACCUCUUCAAAUGGACUAAAAUUCAAUGUUAGAUCAUAUAAAAUAACACCUAAUAAUUAAUUACCAAUCCCAAUAUUAAAAACUAGCAUUUUAAUAUAUGAAUAAUACAUGAACCAAAUUUUCACCCAUUGGCAGAAGUGGAACGCCCCUCCCCUUUUCCCUGUUUUUUUUUAUUCGUUCUACAUGCCAAUUAAAGCAUCUCCCAUUGUUGGUACCUUUAAAUUCUGAGGUGUGAGUAUACCCACCCGACCUGAGCAUAACUCCGAGAAGACAACCUCUGGUUUAAAGAAAUUGAUCACUGCCUUAACUUCUUGGCAGGAUUCCGAAGAAACGUGAGCAGUGCUAACAACAUACACAUCGCGAAUGCCUCCAUUGGCAGAAGAUUGUUUUUUUUUCUUCCACAUCUCCACCAAUUCUCCCAUUAUAAAUAUAGCAUAAAAUAAUAACACAAUCCCAAACACUCCGACAAUAUAUUACUAUAUAUAGAAUUGAAAAGAAUGAAUAUCUCAUAUCUUUACCUGAACAAUGGCUAUGAUUUUUCUUCCUCUCGCUGGUCGCCUGUGGUAAGGUUUCGCCUCCCUACUUUUUGUUUUCCUGUUCUUCUAAAUAAGAAAUUAUUAACUGUGAAACUCCACUAACCUAUUAUCUAAUUAUUUAUUUAAUAAAAGUUUCAUCAAUUGUGUACUCAUAGUUAUCUAAAAGCUUAAAAAUAACCCUUUAAAUUUUCAAAAGGAGUCAAACUAGUCCUAGUUCUCAAAACGACCUAGCGGGUCGUUACAUCACCUACCACUUAAACAAAUGUUCGUCCUCGAACGUAAAAAGAAAAGAGCUAACCUGACCUCUCAAAAAGAUGAGGAUAUUUACUCCUCAUGUCUGCCUCUAUCUCCCAUGUAGCUUCCUCCACUGGACGAUGCUUCCACUGAACUUUUACCGAAGCAAUCUCUUUGGACCUUAGCUUCCGAAUUUGCCUAUCCAAAAUGGUGAUCGGCUCCUCCUCAAAAGUAAAAUUCUGAUCAAGUAACACUGAAUCCCAUUGAAUCACGUGAUCACCACCCUGAUGAUACUUCUUAAGCAUUGAAAUAUGAAAUACAGGUUGGACACCUGACAACCCAGGUGGCAAAGCCAACUGAUAUGCCACCUUACCAAUACACUCCACAACCUCGAAAGGACCAAUGUACCUUGGACUCAACUUGCCCUUCUUUCCAAAUCUCAUCACACCCUUCAUGGGUGAAACCUUAAGUAGAACCUUCUCUCCAACCAUAAACUCCAAAUCACGAACCUUCCUAUCUGCGUAACUCUUUUGCCUACUCUGAGCCAUGAGAAGUCUAUCUUGGAUCAACUUGACCUUGUCUAAGGACUCCCUCAACAAACUGUACCCCAUGGUCUAACCUCAAAUGCAUCAAAUCAGCCAAUUGGAGAUCGACAUCUCCUACCAUACAGAGCCUCAAAUGGUGCCAUCUCAAUGCUCGAGUGAUAACUAUUAAUGUAAGGAAACUCCGCUAGAGGCAUGAACUGGUCCCACUGACCACCAAAGUCAAUCACACAUGCCCGCAACAUAUCCUCAAGAACCUGAAUAGUCCGCCCAGAUUGACCAUCAGUCUGAGGGUGAAAGGCUGUACUAAGAUCCACUCGAGUGCCCAACUCUUUCUGCAUAGACCGCCAAAAAUGAGAUGUAAAUUGCGUGCCACGAUCUGAAAUAAUAGAUAUAGGAACUACAUGCAAACGAACUAUCUCUUGAAUAUAGAUCUUGGCUAACUUCUAUGAGUUAUAGGUAGUCUGAACUGGUACAAAGUGUGCAGACUUAGUCACUCGAUCCACGAUGACCCAUAUAGCAUCAAACUUACCCAAGGUACGUGGCAACCCUACCACAAAGUCCAUAGCAAUGUGCUCCCACUUCCACUCAGGUAUGGGCAUCCUCUGAGUCAUACCUCCAGGCUUUUGGUGUUCAUACUUCACUUGCUGACAAUUCAAACAUCGAGAUACAAAAUCUACUAUGUCCCUCUUCAUACGACACCACCAAUAGUGUUGCUUCAAGUCACGAUACAUCUUAGUAGCCCCCGGAUGAAUAGAGUACCUCGAACUAUGAGCCUCCUCCAUGAUCAAUCUUGUCAAAUCACCUGUACGAGGAACACAUAUACGACCCUUAAUCCUCAAAACUGCCUCACUAUCAAGAAUUGCAGCCUUGGCUUCUCCUUUUAAAACCUUAUCCCUAAUCUUACAUAAAUCACCAUCAUCAAACUGUUGAGCCCAAAUCUGCUCCAACAAGGAUGACCUAGCAGCCAUAUAAGCCAACACCUUACCAGAUUCUGAAAUAUCAAGUCUAACAAAGCUAUUGGCCAGGGAUUGGACAUCCCUAGCUGAAGGACGCUCGCCAACCUGUAACAUGGCUAGACUACCCAUACUUACUGCCUUCCGACUCAAGGCAUCUGCUACAACAUCUGCUUUACCUGGGUGAUAAAGAAUAGUCAUAUCAUAGUCUUUGAGCAACUCCAACCAUCUCCUCUGCCUCAAAUUUAGAUCCCUCUGAUUGAAUAUAUACUGUAGACUACGAUGAUCCGUGAACACCUCACAAUGCACACCAUAAAGAUAAUGCCUCCAAAUCUUUAAUGCAAACACAACAACCACCAACUCUAAAUCAUGAAUAGGGUAGUUCUUCUCAUGAACCUUUCACUGCCUCGAAGCAUAAGCUAUCACCCUUCCCUUCUGCAUCAACACACAACCAAGAACAACCCGAGAAGCAUCAGAAUAUAUGACAAAACCCUCUCCCUCCACGGGUAGGGUCAAAAUCGGUGCAGUAGUCAAUAAAGUCUUGAGCUUUUGGAAACUAACCUCACAUUCGUCAGACCACUGAAAAGUCACCUCCUUCUGUGUCAAUCUAGUUAAUGGAGAUGCAAUGGAUGAGAAACCCUCAACAAACAGUCAAUAAUAACCUGCAAGGCCCAAGAAACUCCGAAUCUCAGUAACUGAAAUAGGUCUGACCCAAUCUCUAACCACCUCAAUCUUCUUAGGAUCCACCAUGAUACCCUCCUUGGACACUACAUGUCCCAAGAAUGCUACCGAACUAAGCCAAAACUCACACUUUGAAAACUUUGCAUAAAGCUUCUUCUCCUUUAGAAUCCCAAAAACAAUCCUCAAAUGAUGCUCGUGUUCCUCCUUAGUGCGUGAGUAUAUCAAUAUAUCAUAUAUGAAGACAAUAACAAAGGAAUCUAAAUACGGUCUGAACACUCCAUUCAUCAAGUCCAUAAAAGUUGCUGGGGCAUUAGUCAAUCCGAAAGACAUCACCAAAAACUCGUAAUGACCAUAACGUGUUCGAAAAGCCGUCUUAGGGAUAUCCUCCGCCCUAACCUUCAGCCGAUGAUAGCUAGAUCUCAAGUCAAUUUUGGAGAAAACUGAAGCAUCCUGCAACUGAUCAAAUAAAUCAUCAAUACGAGGUAUCGGAUUCUUGUUUCCGAUGGUUACCUUUUUCAACUGCCGAUAGUCAAUACACAUACACAUAGAUCCAUGUUUCUUCUUCACAAAUAACACUGGAGCACCCCACGGAGAUACACUUGGUCUAAUAAAACCCUUGCUCAACAAAUCCUGCAACUACUCCUUCAACUCUUUCAAUUCAGUCAGUGCCAUACGAUAAGGAGGAAUAGAAAUAGGCCGAGUGCCUGGCUCCACAUCAAUACAAAAAUCAAUAUCACGAUCUGGUGGAAGACCAGGCAAAUCGGUCGGGAAUACCUUUGAAAAUUCACUCACCACUGGAAUAGACUCAAGCAUAGGAGUCUCAAUACUAGUAUCUCGAAUAUGGGCCAAGUAAGCCAAACAUCCUCUCUGUACCAACUGAUGAGCCUUAAGGAAUGAUAUCACACCCUUAGAAGGAUGACUAAGAGUACCUCUCCGUUCUACUAUAGGAAUUCCAAGCAUAGCUAAAGUGAUGGUCUUGGCAUGACAAUUUAAAAUUGUGUGGUAAGAAGAUAACCAAUCCAUACCAAGAAUCACAUCAAAAUCUAUCAUAUCUAAGACCUUUAAAUCUGCAUGAGUAUCACACCCCAUCAAAGUAACAGUACAUAAACAAUACACCCGAUCUACAACUACAGAAUCCCCUACAGGAGUAGAAACACAUAUCGGCAAAUCAAGAGUCUCACACAAUAUAUCCAGACUAGGAGCAAAAUAUGUGGACACAUAAGAAUAAGUAGAUCCUGGAUCAAAUAAGACAUUAGCUGAUCGAUGACAAACCGGAAUAAUACCUGUGAUAACAGCAUCUGAAGCCUCAGCCUCUGGCCUACCUGGAAAAGCAUAACAGUGAGAACGACCUCCAUCAGAUUGUGAACCUCCACGACCACCACCUCGACCAGAAGGAGAACCACCUCUACCUGAAUGAGAACCACCUCUACCAUUCUGUGCACCACCCCUAGCUGGAGGUUGUGCAGCCCUGGAAGCCGAAGCCUGAAAUCCCUGAUGUAAGCCACCACGUCUGGUCCUAGGGCAGUCUCUCACAAAGUGUCCCAUAUCACCACACUCAAAGCAACCCCUACGAGACGCAGGCUGAUGAGAGGAACCUGAAUGACCAUAAUUCCCUCCACGAACUACAGGUCUAGAAGAUGAACCCUGCGAAGUAUGUACCGAGCUUGAAGAGUUAUGCCCAGCGUAACCAGCCUCAGACGCUGGUAUAGAAGCAUGAAUGAGUCUGCUGGACUGGGGGUGAUAACCUCUGCCCAAGUAACUCCGACUCCUAGGCGGAGCACCACCAUAAUCACCUGAAUAACGAGUCCUCUUGCCCUCUUGCUGCUCAAAUCCCUCACGUCGAAUCAUCUCCAACUCCUUAGCAGCAUCUACCACUUUCUGGAAUGGAACACCAGAAGCAGCAACCUGAGAAACUCCUAGACGAAUUGGAAUAAUCUGCCCCUUAACAAACCUCCUCACUCUCUCAGCCUCUGUGGGAAGUAUCAUCUAGGCAUGCCUAGCCAAGGCAUGAAAUUUACCCUCAAACUCUGCAACAGACAUACCAUUUUGCUGUAAACCCUCAAACUCGGCCCUCUUGCGCUCCCUCUCACUACGUGGAACAAAUUUGGAUAGAAAUACCUGAGUAAAUUGAGUCCAGGAUAGUGGAUGGGAUCCAGCUGGCCUACUACUAAUAUAAUCCCUCCACCACUGCUUAGCAGAGCCAGUCAUCUGAAACGCUGUGUAGUCAACUCCAUGAGACUCCACUAAUCCAAGAUUAUGCAACCUCUCAUGACAACUAACUAUAAACUCAUAUGCAUCCUCACCUAAGUCACCAGUAUAAGUAGGAGGAUUCAUUAGUAUGAACCUCCCAAACAUCUUUUGCUCAUCAAUAGUCAUAGAAGGCCUGUUCACCAAAUGUGAUGUCAUAUCUGGAAACUCCAUACUAUCCAAACGAGAAGCUACAGCGGCAGCUGGCUGAGUCCUGGGAGUCUGAGAAUCUGGAGCAACUAUCGAAUCUAGAGUUUAACCUCUAACACGGGUCUGUGAGCCAUCAGAAGUGACAGGCAAAGCUCCUGCCUGGGCCAUCCCCUCUAAGAUUCCUAACAUACGAGUCAAGGUAUCUUGAAGCAUUGGGAGAACAAUAGUACUGGUUGGAGCCUGAGCUGGCACAUCCCCCUCGACACGAUCUUGCACAUCCCCAUGAAUAAUCUCUGCAUCAGGAGGUACGGUCCUAUCACAACCCUGGGUAGCUACUGGUACUUGAACAUCCAUAGGUGUUGCAACACGGCCCCUACCCCGACCUCGAGCUCGUCUCCUACCUCUACCUCGGAUAGUGUUCCAAGAAGCAGGCGCAGGAAUAGGAUCCUGACCACCACUUGCCGAUGUACGAUUCCUCGCCAUCUGAGAGAGAAUGAAAUAUCAAGAUUAGAAUUUCUACAAGGUCAAGUGUGCACGAUAAUAAAUAAAAGAACAGAUUAUAUCCUAAAUGUCCUAUAGCCUCUCGAAGAUAGGUAUAGACGUCUUCAUACCGAUCCGCAAGACUAUACUAGACAUUGCUCUUGUACUCUUGAGACCAAUGAACCUAGGGCUCUGAUACCAAGUUUGUCACGACCCAAAAUCACGAGUCGUGAUGGCACCUAUGUUCCCAACCAAUAGGUAAGCCAACCAACAUAUUUUAACAAACUUAACUAGUGAAUAAGUGAAAAGACAACAAAUUUCCAAAUCUCCAACACAGAGUUCUUUAUAAGUACGAAUGCGGAAAACUGAAAAAAAAAAUACUGCCCAACAAUUGGUGUCAUAAGUACAAGAGAUUCUAGAAUACGAUGCAAGUGUGAAACUAAAAUGACAAAUCUAACUUAAGGGAUAUCCUGUCUGAAUACUGAAUAACAGAAUACGUAAAGACAGAGGGAGGUGUGGGCCACGGAACAGCCAAGCAGCUCACCACAACUCCAAGAACUUCAAGCCGGAAUCAAUUUGCUCCACGAGAUGUGCUCCUACUCGGAAUCGAAUCUGCACCACAAGGAGUGCAACAAGCGUAGUAUGAGUACGAACCACGUGUACCCAGUAUGUCUCAUUGACCGACAACGAAGAAGUAGUGACGGAAGUUUAUACAAAAAAAAAUAGAUUUGUAAAUUAUAUAAGUAUAUAUAUAUAUAUAUAUAUUACACUUACUAUUUAGGUUCCAUCAAUAAAGGUAAUCAAACAUCAAGUAUUUUCCAAACACCAAACAAAACACAUAAUCAUCAAAAUAAAUGAUGUGAUGAAAUGCAAUGCAAUAUAACACCGUGUAAUGAAUUGUCUCAGAAUACCCAGUACACACUCAACCGUAUAUACAUUAUACUCCUCUGAAAUACAUCGAGAGUUCAUGACCCAUGGGGGACUCGCGAGGUCCAUAUACCGACACGGACGAUCUCCACGUGUCUGUGCGGACAAUCUCAAAGCACUAUCAUAAUAUCAAACAAUUUCCGCACGGACGGUUUCCACGUGCCCAAAUUAAAAUCUUAACAUCUCACCAUCCCCAGCACGGACGAUCUCCACGUGCCCAACUUAUACUCAAUCUCAUGUCAAUGCAUGUAUACAAUAUCAUUUCAAUAUAAGGGGAUAAUGAUGCAUCUCACUCAAUCAAUAUCAACAUAAUGCAUAACCACCUCAAUUAUCACAACUAUACGGGUGUAAUAAAGAAAACACAAUCACACAAACAUUUCAAGUCAAUAAUAUAUCAGCUAAUGCCCAUAUGCUUUGGCAUUCUCAAAUUACAAUCCACAUUCUAUAGUAGUAAUUUAUCUUUUUAUAACACCGGUACUCGUACCAAUGCCCGUCACACCAUUGAUACGAGACCCCAUCUUUCGCCCUUACCCCUUUGUCUAUUUUCAUUUUUUAAUCUUUAAUUAGAAAAACGUCCUUCAACAAGUCUAAAAAGUCUUAACAUACCUCAGAUGCCGAAGUUGUGCCACGAAUCUUUUAAGAUUUUUCCUUUCCUUUUCGCAAGGUUUCAGAACGUUCCCAAUCUACCAAUUUUGUAAUAUUCGUAAGUAAGCAAUUUUUUGUAGACAUUCAAAUUAUUAUAUCUCUAUCAUAGACACUAAAACUCACUCAUAUUUUCAACCAAACUCCAAAUCUUGAUACAUAUUGGUAUGCCAAUUUUUUUUUUCAUACUUGCUAAAUUUCAAGCCAAGAACUUAACUCUAACCUCUUCAAAUGGACUAAAAUUCAAUGUUAGAUCAUAUAAAAUAACACCUAAUAAUUAAUUAACAAUCCCAAUAUUAAAAACUAGCAUUUUAAUAUAUGAAUAAUACAUAAACUAAAUUUCCACCCAUUGGCAGAAGUGGAACGCCCCUCCCCUUUUCUCGUUUUUUUCUAUUCGUUCUGCAUGCCAAUUAAAGCAUCUCCCAUUGUUGGUACCUUUAAAUUCUGAGGUGUUAGUAUACCCACCCGACCUGAGCAUAACUCCAAGAAGACAACCUCUGGUUUCAAGAAACGGAUCACUGCCUUAACUUCUUGGCAGGAUUCCGAAGAAACGUGAGCAGUGCAAACAACAUACACAUCGCGAAUGCCUCCAUUGGCAGAAGAUUGUUUUUUUUUCUUCCACAUCUCCACCAAUUCUCCCAUUAUCAAUAUAGCAUAAAAUAAUAACACACUCCCAAAUACUCCGACAAUAUAUUACUAUAUAUAGAAUUGAAAAGAACGAAUAUCUCAUAUCUUUACCUGAACAAUGGCUAUGAUUUUUCUCCCUCUCCCUGGUCGCCUGUGGUAAGGUUUCGCCUCCCUACUUUUCGUUUUCCUUUUCUUUUAAAUAAGAAAUUUUUAACCGUGAAACUCCACUAACCUAUUAUCUAAUUAUUUAUUUAAUAAAAGUUUCAUCAAUUGGGUACUCAUAGUUAUCUAAAAGCUUAAAAAUAACCCUUUAAAUUUUCAAAAGGAGUCAAACUAGUCCUAGUUCUCAAUACGACCUAGCGGGUCGUUACAUCUUGCUCUCCUCCCUCGCCUCUAUCGCUUAUACAAAAAGAAAUGAAUUGUAUAAAUUGUGUUUUUGUUUGUAUAAAGCAAGAGAAAAUUGUAUAUAAAUAUGUAAAUACAUAUAUCUUCGUCUUGUAUACUUAUAAUUAUACAAUAAAAAUACUUCUCUGUCCAGUGUAUUUUGCAUUUCUCUCUUUCUCGUUUUAUACAUAUUCAAAUGGCAUAGAAUUUUUAUCGUUCUUAUUUUAUACAAUUUGAUUCAAUUUUAUAUUCCCUGCCCAAACCUCUUUUACCAUUCUCUCUUUCUCAUUUGUACAAAUUCAAAUUGUAUAUAAUCGUCCUAUAUAAAUAUAAUUACACAAUACAAAAUUUUUCCUGCCUAUGUCUCUUUUUAUUUUCUCUUAUAUAUAUAUAUAUAUUUAUAUAUUAAAAAUGAUCAGAACUCGCUUCUUAACUUAGACAAAUUUUCCAGAUUUUUCCUUUCUUUCCAAAAAUGAAUAUUUUUAAUGUUUUAGUUUACUCUUUGCUAUUUCAAAUUGUAAGAUGUUAUACAACUCAACAAAAAUACUAUAACAAUUACAUAUUCUCAAUAACAAGCUCAAUAUUCAUCAAUCAAAGUUUCACAGAAAGGCACUCACAAGAUCAGUAAAACUAAAUAUCAAUUUCUCUAAUGAUAAAUAUGUGCAAUGUAAUGGAAUGCAAUAUCAAAUUUAGUGAUGCAUGUCUCACCUAGUGAUACACACCCGUUGUCUCUCAUUCUGGGACCCAUGAGGGAUAUAUCUGUACAUGCAUAUAUCGUGGCACGCGAUACGAUCCUCGAUAAUAGUAAUCACCGCAGCGCAUUAUAGGUCCUUUGAAAUGUAGUAUCCAUCACAUCUCGUGAUACAUCCCUCAAAAUGGUAAAACCUCUUUAAUUUCUUAUUCUUUAUCAAUUCACAUUACAUUUAUCACAACCAUGUCCUUGAACAAUGCAAAUGACAAGUUCACACAAAUAAUGAGGAGAUGACCAUGUUCAUAACGUUGCAAAAUUCACAACAACACAAUCAUGAUACAACAUAAAGAAUGAUUCAACAAGCCUUUCAAGCUUUUCUCAACACAUCGCACACAAUUAAUUAAUCACAUUGUUUUUUACUAUCCAUUUUUCAUCAUUAGAAUUAAUCAAUGAGGACAAGUCAACCCAUCACCAAGUUUCAUUAUCCCCGAACACAUAUUAUAAGGAAAUACCCGAGUCCUAUUCACUUAACAAGGGUUUAGAAAUUCACCUGCCUCAAUCAUUCAAUCCACUCCGAGACUUGAGUCUUCCCCUUUCGUUGAAUUUCCAACUCAAAACAAUCUAUUCAAAUAAAUGACCACAAUAAGAUUUAAAACUAACAACAUCAUAUUACUGUAUGUCUAGUUUUGAAUGAAGAACUUAUCCAAUCUAAAAUUACUUUCUUUAGUCUUGAUGCUAAUUAACAUGUCAACUCUUUCAAUUUUUCUUCAGUUUUCAAGUCUAGGGUUAUGUACUAGUUUCUCUGGAAAUAACACAAGUCUAAAGUUAUUCACAAAGUAUAAUACAUUUAAUAUUUAAUUAUCUAUCUCAAUAUAUCAAAACUUGAAUUACAUGCGAUAAUUAUAAGAAGGAAUUGAAGAUUCACUAGAAAUCCAAAUUCAUGAACAUAGCAUUUUAAUUCACGGGAAAACCAACAAUAAAAUAUCCAAUUAUUGUCCUAUGACUAUCCUAAAAUCAGUAGGUCAUUAUUAACCAUAUUUUCACCCAUCCAUAUAUAAUAAAAUACAUUCUAACCACGUAUUGCAAAACACAUGCAUUUUUUUCUUUACAUUAUUUCCAUCAACACAUAAAUAUAAUAUAAUAUUAUCACCUGACCAUAAACUAAAUCAUUAAUUUUACAUACAAAGUUUAAUUCAUACCUGCACUGGCGGUAGUUUCAUUGGUUAGCGAUGCCGCCAGUUUCCUUGCUUUUAUUUCCUCUUAAAGUUGGGAUCUAAAAUUGUUAACCCCUAUUAUUUAUAUUAAUAAAUAUGGGUCAAGUGGUAUAGGAUUUUAAAUGAAUUUCAGACUUUAUCCAUUAUUAUCAACUAAAUAAAUCUAUAUCAUUUAAGAAAUUGUAGUUAUCAAAUACUUUAAAAUUCUUAAAUCAACAUCACCAACUAAUAUAAAAUACGAAAAAGGCUCAAAAAUAUCCCUAAACUAUUCGAAAUAGCUCAAAGUUACCAUUAAACUAUAUUUCGGUUCAUAACUACCUUUUCCAUCAUACUAUUGAGUCAAAAGUGUCCUUUUUAUUAACGGAAGCUGUUAAAUACCAUGUGGAUGUCAUAUGGAUACCACAUUGCAUGCAAAUAGGGUUCAAAUUCCACAUAAACUAAACAGAAAAGGGUCAAAAAUACCCUUAAACUAUCUGAAAUAGCUCAAAUAUACCCUUAAAGUAUAUUUCGGCUCAAGAUUACCCUUCCUAUCAAACUAUUGGGUCAAAAGUACUCUUAUUACUAACGGAAGUUGUUAAAUUUCAUGUGGAUUCCACAUUGCUUGCCAAUAAGGUUCAACUGCCAUAUAGACUAAAUCCCUAAAUCCUAAUUACUCCCCCCCCCUCUCAUUUCAUUAUUUUUCCGAAAUGAUUCACCCAUUCUCCAUUAUUUCGCGGCUAGGGUUUCACAAUUUUCUCGUGGCUGGGUUUCAAAGUGGAUAUUCAUGGUUGUAGGUUAGUAAAUCUUUUUUCUUACGUUAUUAUGUUUACGAUUUCAAAGCAUGAUAGUCAGGAUUUCACAUGUUUUCCCUUAUUUCACGGCUAGGGUUUCGUAGCGCUUUCUUCGAGGCUGAAUUUCAAAGUGGAUAUUCAUGGUAGUUGGUUAGUAAAUAUUUUUUUCUUAUUUUAUUAUGUUUACGAUUUCAAAGUAUGAUAGUUAGUAUUUCACAACUUUUCCCUCAUUUCGAGGCUAAUGUUUCAUAACUUUUUUCGGAGUUGGGUUUCAAAGUGGAUUUUCGUGGUUGUAAGCACAAUAAAAGAAGAAAAAAGUUUUACUAACAUACAACCACAAAUAUCUACUUAUAAACCCAGUGACGAAGAAAACUAUGAAACCUUAGUCGCAAAAUGAAGGAGAAGGGGUGAAAUCGUUUAUGCAAAAUAAGGAAAUGAGGGGAAAACGAGUAAUUAAGAUUUAGAGAUUUAGUCAAUGUGGAAGUGGAACCCUAUUGGCGUUCAAUGUGGAAUCCAUGUGGCAUUUAACAACUCUCAUAAGAACGUCACUUUUGAUCCAAUAGUUUGAGGGAAAGGGUAAUUCUUAGCCGAAAUAUCGUUUAAGUGUAUAUAUGACCUAUUUCAGAUAGUAUAAGGGUAAUUUUAACCCUUUUCCUUUUUGCCUAUGUGGUAGUGGAACUCUAUUAGCGUGCCAUGUGACAUCUAUAUGGCGUCCACAUAAUUCCGUUAAUAAGAAGGGCACUUUUGAUCCAAUAGUUUGACGGGAGGGCAGUUUUGAGUCGAAAUAUAGUUUAAGGGUAUAUAUGAACUAUUUCAGAUAGUUUAAGGGUAUUUUAACCCUUUUCCGUAUAAAAUAACUAGGGGAAACUAUUGUGAGGGGUAGAAUCGUAAUUCUAUGAAAAUUUCUAAAAUAUGACCUUUUCAGGUCAUUACAUUAUCCACCACUAAAGAUCAUGUUCGUUCUCGAACAUAAGUAAGAGAAAAGAAAGGAUAAUCGAUGUUAACAAAAAGUUGAGUUAUGACCUAUUAGUCAGUGUACAUCUCUCUAAGUGAGUUCUUCAUCGAGACAAUUCCUUCAAGAUCAACAUCUAAUAACUGCACUUUUGAAUCAAGCUUUGACAGACCUACAAAUCAGGAGCUAUUACCAAACCAGACACUAACACAUGAAUUUAUUAUGAUUAAAACCCCUAGACCAUAACACAACCAUCAAGACAAAUCUUUCCUCACAUAACCAAUAUGACAUUCUGAAUUAAUACCGGCUACAACAAGAAGUAAUCUUGAACUAACCACCACAUACUCAUAAUGCAUAAACCAUCGGAUAUCUUAUCAAGUUUCCUUUUUCACAACUUAACUUUUCCGCAAGCUUAAGCUAUAAAAAUAUGAUCUUCGGAUAUUGGGUACUCAUCAAGGGAGAAUUAAACUUAUCUUACCCAAGAAAGAACAAGAUCAAGUAACCACCCAACAAGAGGUUCACCCAAGAUGCAGAACCUUCAACAACAUUGUUGAAUAACAUAAUGAUUCAUACAAGCUCUUCUAUAAGUUCUCAUAAGCAAGGUCGUGUGUAUUACUACUACUAGACAUGUACACGUGCGUUGCACGUGUAAGCCAUGCUAAGUUAUAAUUUCCUUUCUCGAGAUACAUUUAUGACCUUUAUAUAUAUACUUGUAUAUAUAUUAUAUUGCUUUUACCAAUGCGUAGACAUCAACGUUAAUGUGACAAUUGUAUCUUGUAAGAUAAAAUACGGGCAACAUAUUAUGUAAUGAAUAUAAUAAAAUAUUAAAAUAGAGUUACUUCUUCAUCGACGAAUAUCACUUGCCAACGAAUAUCCUCAUAUUUGCAUUUUUAUACUAUCUUGUUAAGCUCCGUAGAAUGACUAAUACUUUAAUCACCCAUGAUGUUGCAUAUUUCUUCAACUGGCUAAUAGGUAGGCAUUGAUUCUCGAGCUAUUCCACAGUUAUCAUUGUAAGGUUGUAGUAGUUAGGAUGUACUAAUACAUUACAGAUUUGUGUCGUAAAUGUUAAUUUUUUUGUGUCUAAUUAGUGUUCUUUUGGUCGAACAAUAAAGAUACUGAAGAAUAUAAUAUUCACUAGAUAUGCUAAUUCUUCUUUUUUAUUUUAACUUUUAAAAGCAAGCAACUUCAACUAAUAAUAGUAUAAAUAUCACGUUAAUUGAAGAAAAUAUAUUCAAGUUGGAUAAACAUUACCAAUUUUGAUGGUGUUGAAAGGAAGAAACCUAUUAAAAGUACUACAACGCUAAGAGAUAGUAAAUGUACUGAAAAAAUGAACUAGAUUCUCUAAAUCAUUUCACUUUUCUUUUCUUUCUAAUCAAGAUUUUUUUUUUUCAUUCACAUUUUUGUGCUUUGUAUUUUUUUUGGUAGAACCCAUAUGAGAAAAAAUAAAAAAGAAUGAAGAAAGGUGUGUUUGAGUUUUAUAGUGCGUGUAAAUUCACCACUUUUGUGUUGAUUUUUAGUUGUCUUUGGUUUAUUUUCAGAUCUGUUAGCUAUAAAAAUCUCAUCUUGUCUCAUUUCAAGAUUACCCUUUUUGUUCAUUAGCUUGGAGUUAUGAGUAAAGAAGAUUUCUGGAAGAUCCAGGUACUUGUUAUUUCCUCAAUUGGGUCAUUCCAUUAAUGUGUGUGUAUAGAAUUGUUUUUUGGGGGUUGCUUGAGUUUCCAUUUUAUGAAUUGAUUAGUAUCUGUUUGAAUGAAAGAUCAAAAUGUGUUAUGAGUUUAUUCACUUUUGUAUGUUUUUUGUCUUGUACAGUUUGACUAGGUUUGCUUGUGCAUGCAGACUCGUGUCCUUAAAUUAAAUAUACAUUGUGAUGGGUGUAAGCAUUAAGUAAAGAAAAUUCUUCAAAAGAUUGAAGAUAUUUUUCCAAGACUCAAUUUUUUAUUAUCUAAAUAUCCAAAUAUAAUUUAAUAUAUGACUUUUUUUAUUCUUUGUUGGGGUUGUUUUAAAAUGAUUUUAAUAUCCAGGGGUUUAUAAGACAAGCAUGCCUGUCCUAAAUUGACUAACAUGAUAUCCACAAAUGCUUAGAUAUCAAAGCUCCUGAAAAACAGCUAUCACGGAGACAAGUUCUUCUACUGAACUGUAUAUAGUCAAAAAUCAUUAGAGAUUUAAAACAUAAGACAUUUACCAUCAAAACUAAAAAUCGGAGAAGCAUUUCACAACUACCAUCAAUACUUUAAUUGAGGUGAUCCUAAUUUCAAGAAUCUAACGGCGUAAAUAUAUUUUCAAUUAGCUUUAAAAUAGAGUAAAAACAAAGAGUCAAGGUGAGGAGAGUACAUUAACCUUAAGAAAACAACCUCACAUAUUCUCCUCUCCAGCAAAGUAAAGCACCUGCAGCGUGAAAAAAACCCAGAAAAAGAACAUAAAACUUCACUUUCACUAAAACAACAAAACUACAACAGUGCAAAUAUAAUGAUAAUACACAGAAGAAUUCGUUGUAUGAUUGACCAAGACACUUUUUUUUGAAUGGUGAAUAAAACUAAAAAAUAAAAUUGCAAAUCAAUGAUUGAUAUUGUAGCCUGCAAAAUACAUAUUAAUAUCUACUUUGGAGUCAAGAGCAAAACUGCCAAAUAAGAAGGAGGGCAUUCCUCAGCAGAUUUUGACCCUUAAAUUUAAGAUAUUUGAUAAACAAGUUAGUUUAUUGAAUGCAAGAGCAAGGCAACACAUGAGAAUGAAUACAAAUAUUUCUACGUUCCCAUAAGAAGAUGCAACAACAUGUUGGAAUAUCAAUAUAGCAAACUGUUGCUGUUACACUUGCUUCCACAUCUCUAAAAUCAUUUUGCAGAAUUUAAUAUUUAAUACAACUGUUACACUGAUCGAGGGAGGUAGAGGAAAACCUUUACGUUUUUAUCAAAUUUAAUUACGGUCAAUUUUUUUCAAUAAAUUAAUAUUUAACUAAUAAAAUAAAUACUUAACUAAUAAAUUAAUAAGUAACUAAUACUAUAGGGUCAAAACGGUACAUUAACUUUUAUAUUAAGUUCUUCCCACUUAUAAUAAUAUAUGAUAAAAAAAAUACCAAAUCUGUCAUAAUACAAAUGAAAAAGUCCGCCCAAAAAUCAUACCAUAUCAAUAGGAAAUAAGAGAAUUAGUGUUACAACCGGGAAUAUUUUUGAGCUAAUACUUGAAUUGUUAUUCUUAGUGAGUGAUAUUUUACCAAAUAAAAAUUUUUUUAUCAAGUAUUAAGGUCACUAGAUGUAGCACCUUUAGUUCUUAAAGAACUAACUUGGAAAUAGAAAAUUUUGAAAUUCUUGAGGUUUAAGCUAAGUAUGAGUUUUUGGUCUACUUCAAAUGACCAUAACUCCUACCACAAGAUGAUUUAGCUGUGCUAAAAUAUAACAUGGGAAAUAUCUUUGGAUUAUCUUUCCAAUGCCACCAAUAUUUCUAAGUUUCGGGUUCAGAUGAGUGAGAUAUAACCUUUUGAAGUUAGGGUGUUUAGUUAAGGAAAAUUAGAUGAAUACAGUGACAGGUAUUUUGGUAUUUUUCUUACCCAAUCAGAUAUAAUUCAUUUUAAGGAAGGUUAUAAGGGUCGAAUACUAUUAGGUUCAAUUUUAUAAUCCUAAUAUACACCUAGGUUUUAGUUGAGAGUUCAAGAAGAGAAAGAAGAGAAAAGAGGAUAAAAGAGAAGAAAGAGGAUAGGUCAAGUAUUCGUCGCGAGUCUAGUGUUAUGUUGUAGAUUUUCAUCAUGACUUUAAUCCCUAAGAGGUAUGUAAGCUUCCAUGGUGUUGGGUUUGUUCACCCAUACGCCAAACAUGUUAAUUUCAGUGUAAUUUCAUUCUCAAAAAGUUAAAUGAUUUAAGUUCUUGAUAGGUGUUCUUGAGAUUCAUUAUAAAUCUUAUCUUGUUGGGUUUGUUCACCCAUACGCGAAACAUGUUAAUUUCAGUGUAAUUUAAUUCUCAAAAAGUUGAAUGAUUUAAGUUCUUGAUAGGUGUUCUUGAUAUUCAUUAUAAAUCUUAUCUUGUUGGGGUUUUGAUGAUUUGUUGAGAUGAAAGUGAUUGUUUGGAGUGAAAUUUUAGUGUAUUAUUGUGUACUCAGGCUGGGAAAUUGAAUCUAAAAGAAAAUUUGAGAAAAGAAAUCAAUUAAAAAAAAUUUAGGGUCAGAAAACGAGAGGUGAAAUUUGUCGAAAGCUUACCUGGGGAAAUACUGGCCCGGUACACCCCAGAUGCGCCCAAGGGGAUGGGAAAGCGCGUCAGCAGUGCGCCCAAAUGAUGUCUCUGAAGUUAGGGGCUAUCGCCCUGCACCCGGAACACGCAAUGUCGCCUGUCCCCAUUCCUUUUCCGUCGAUUAUCCCGUUUGAGCUCAGUCAAAGUGUAUCUUCACUCCUUUUGAUUCUAAACACUUUAAACUACUUCUAAACACUUAUAAAUCACUCAUAACAUUAAUCAUAGCCUUUAAUUAAUAAUUCAAGUUCAAGUUAAAGUUAAUAUGAAGUUUUUAGAAUUCUUCUAAACCUUUUGAGAGAGUCCCUGUGAGUCUUUUUGUGGAGUCCUCUACAACAUCUAGUAAAUUAUUUGAAGACUCAAGCAAGUGAGUAUGAGGAUGAAGAGAAUUUAUUCAUUAGUCUACUUUUUUUUAUCAUGAGAUCCUUCAUAUCACGAAUCAUAACUCUUGAUUUUUAUACUGAAGAAAGAGUUAUGAGUAGAGUUCAACAAAUCUUUUGAGUUUAAUUGUGAAUUCUUUGAGAUCAACUAUUAAUUUGAACUAAGAUUUGAGUAAGUAAGUAUGAUAAUGAGAAGAUUGGUAUACGUAAGUUAACCUUUCAGUCAAGUCGUUCAUGCUCAUAACUUUCGUAUGAACCCCAUUGGUUGAGUACAUUUGAUAUGAGUAGUAUGUUCAAGUUCUAAGUCUUGAGUAUUGAGUUCCUUAUAUUCUUUGUGAUUAUAUUUCUAAUCAUGGAACUAUUACAUGUUACCCAUGAAGGAGUUGAAUUUUUCAUGCCCAUAAUUCCGCAUGAACCCUAUAAAUCAAACAAUCUUGAGAUGAGAAGUACCUUUGAGUUCUCAAGUUGAGUAGUCCAUGCUCAUAAUUUCGCAUGAAUCCUCCAAGUUAAAAAUCAUGAAAUUAUCCAUAAUCAUGAGAUCAUGAACCUUUUAAUACUUCAAUUCAAUAAAAGCUUAGAGUCAAGUUUAGAAAUUAAGAAACAAGUCAAAACAAAGCUUAUAAAGAUCUCAAAAGUCUUUUACAAAUGUUUUAACUUUGUUUAAGAGUAAAAGUUUCAAAUCAAGCUAAGAGUAAAGAGUUGCAUUCACUUCUCAAAAAUAUAUAGGGAACUAGUAUUCCCAAAGAAUUUAUAAAUGUUUUCACAUUUAAGAUAAGAGGAAACUAAGAUUUUCAAAAGAGUUUUGAGCAAGAAAAGGGAGGAACAAUUCUUAACGAGCUUUCAAAUCUAAGUGUUGAGAAAUUAUCUUAACUUAAAGAAAGAAGUUGUUUUAAAAACACAUGAGCUAAGUAUAUUUUUAGGAGUAGUAUAGAGCACCGAUAUGGGGAUGAGAGUUCAUAAUAACUCAAUUCUCCAUAAACCAUGUAGUCAUCAUAGAUAUUAAUGGGUCAUACUUUUUGGAUGAUCACAUAAGUUAAGCUAGUAGAUCCGCUAAGUUAAGAGUUCUAUAUGAAGGCAAAGUAUAGAACAGUUCUAGCAGCGUGGGAAAAACGUUGUAUCACCACUUAGGCUCAUAGUGGAGGUUGUCGCUUAAAGAAUCUCCCACAGAAACUAUAUCACUUUAAUAUAUGAGUAAAGAAGAGUUUGCUAUUGCAUUUUCUUUAAUGAACUAAGUUGUUUUUAAUGUUUUAUAAAGCUUUCUAUAUAUUGAAUGUGUAUUCUUUCUUUAUAUUGAGUUGACUAUCUACUGUUGAGUACACAAAGUCGAAUAUCAUAAAUUUGACUUGAGUAUCUAUUCUUUAAGUUGAACAUCUAAUAUUUGAGUUGAGUAUCUUGUCCUUAAGAGUACUUCUGAGUUGAAUACGUCUGACUGGUUUCCAGUAUCCUUAAGUAUUUCUUAAGUUGAGUAAGUUCCAAAAGAGAUAAGUAUGUUUCCAUUUCUGACAACUUCAAGCUUAUGUUAUGCUUUAGAUUCCCCUUACAUAUUAAUACAUUCCAGGGGCUGAGCCAUUUGGCUUGUAUCUUUUGAUGAUGUAGACAUAGGUAAUGAGGAUCAUCAACUGGAGUUAGUUGAUAUAUCUGAGAGUUUGAGUUAGAUAUGGUGAGCCAUCUUGGUUUCGAAGGAUUUCCUUUACUUUUCAGUUUAGUCAGGAUGUCGUGGGUCUUAUCCCGACCUCCAUUCUUGUUAGUUAGAAGCUUUAUAGAUAGUCUGUAUAGUUCAGGAGUCUAUAUUUUUAAUUUAUUUUACUAAAUUUUUUUAAAGACUUAAGGUUCCUAUUAUAUAGCGAGUUGAAUACAUUAUUUUACUCGAAGUUAUUUAUUUGAAUUAAAGAUUUGUAUUUCGAUUUAGCAAUUUUUUUCCAGUUUUUAAGCUUUUGUAUGCUUAAGUUAGUCUUCCUUUUGAAGUUAGGCAGGAUGAGGGUUCACUUGGGACCAGGAAUGGUCUUCAAGUGUCGGUCACGUCCAGGGUGUAAACUAAAGUCAUGACAAUUGGUAUAUCCCAUCUACCAUUAGGGAUUUACCCAUUGAUCUAGAAAUACGUGUAGCAUAAAUAGUGAAUCACAGUGCAAAGAAUGUCCUGUAGAAAAAGGUGGUUCCAUAAGAAUAUACUAAAGUAAGGUAGAAUAACACAAGAUACUCCUUUCAUAGUACUCAUCUCAAACAUUUUCAUUCAUCUUACUCCAUCUCCUUGAUUUUUAGCCAUCAACAAUCAAUCAUUUUGGUCUUUAUUGAAAUCAUUCAUAUACUCGAAUUAUGAAAACCCUACACUCUGUCACAAUAUUCCAUUAAAGCUAAAAAUGUUAUUACAAACAAACACUAUAACCACACCAUCCAUUUACCUUACUCUCAAACCUUCAUGAGUAUCAAAGUCUUCUUAUCAAACAAAUUGUAACCUUAAAAAUGAACUAUUGCUCCAUCUCUUUCCAUUUAAGCAUACCAUGAUAGGCACGGGUCCCACUCGAGGCUGAUAGAACUAAUUUCAAAUCUAAUUGUACUCUUCCAUUGACAUAAAGUUAUUAAAUCAGACAUAAUAUCGACUCCACAUAAUCUUUCACAUAGAAAAUUGCAACUAAUUAACAUUCCAACCUCAUAUAUCUCAUGCUAAAACCUAGAAGAAAUUCUAGGUCACUCCAACAAUUUGUAUACUAAAAGAUCAUAAUCUUUACUCACUAUCAAAUGCAUAACCAUGUGUAUUGUCUCCUGAAUAAAGUAGUUUCAAUUCCCUCGAUAUAUUCAUUAACCAUGUUGAACCGUCGAUCCGCACCAUUAUAUAUCCAUAAGUUACCUAUCAUAAGUUUAACAAUCUAGUUCGGUAUAACCACAUAUAAUCUUCCCAUCAUUACUUGUCAGCCAAAUCAAAAGUCAAUCUUUAUAGUAGUCAAACUAUACCGAAUCAAUUCAUAUUCACAAUCGCAUUAUAACUCAUAUAUGAGAAUCUAUGCACCUUCAACUUCGAACCAAGAUUCUAUAUGAGAGGUCUUAUCCCUUAACAUAUCUUAAUUCUGCCCAUGACGCAAAUUUUAAAUACCUUAAACUCUUCAAUAUACCUGAUUUUUUUUCUUUUCGCUGACUUUCUUACAAUCAUUUGACCAUCAACUCAUGAUAUUUUUACCUUAUCCUCUAAACCAAAACAUUACAUGAAACCCCUCUUAGGUAGAACAAUCAAAAGUAACCCAACUCAUGAUAUUUAUACCUUAUCCUCUAAACCAAAACAUUACGUGAAACCCCUCUUAGAUAGAACAAUCAAAAGUAACCCAAUUUAGGACUCAAAUUAUUUUUUAAAGUCCUUCCAAAUGCUUCAUACUCAAUUCAAUAUAUAAUUUCUUAUCUUAUCAAUCCAUACCUUGAAAAACACACAACCACAAACAUAAACUCAUCGUGAAAACUUGAAUUUUAAAUCCAAUUAUGUAACCCAAUCCCUUUUUUCUAUCAACAUUAGCUCAUACCUUGAUGAUUUUAUGUAACCCAAUCCUUUUAUCUAUCAACAUUAGCUCAUACCUUGAUAAUUCUAUGAAUUCAUGUAUCUUACCUUGUCAUUGAUCACAUAUCCAUCUACUUUAACCAUACUCAUUGUCAAACUCAAAAUCACAAAUGAAUUUAUCAUCACAUUCGAGUUGAACGUCUUUACACUAAUAUCUAAAAUUUUAUCCAAUAUUUCUUAUUGCCAAUAUGAUUAAUCCGUAACACUGUUAUCAUAAGUAGAGAAAAGUGGACGAAACCACGUGUCUCUAAACUCAAUUUUCUACUAUCUGAAAAUAUAUCUUUUGUCCUUGCACUCAAAGUAAAUAUCUUUGUUCUUGAUAUCCUCUUUUCAUAGACUAAUCUACAUUAUACUAAGUCUUCCCUUUGUAGCUAUAACUCAUUUCACGUCAUAAAACUUUUCAUAAAGUACACUACUUACCAAAUAGUAGCAAAUCAUAACUUUAGAUACUCACAAGUCAUCAAUAUAAUACGAAAUUCAUUAAACCAACAAUCCUUACCAUAUAGUUACAUUUCAAUCACAAUCUAUCACAAAUCCUUAUUAGCGUCAUGCUUAAAUAGUGUUGAUCAUCACGACGAAGUCAACCUUGUCAUCAACAUGACACCUUAAACUCUGCUAUGCCAGCCAUCCAAAGGACAUAUCUAACUUUUUAUGUGUACUUCCUUUGUAAAAUUCUUCAUUUUCUUUAUACAGUAAAUUAUUUGAAAAUUUUCUUUAUCCAUAAGAUUUUUAUUCCGAUAUCAAUCCACUACUUUGAAGCCUACAAAGAAAUCACCACUUAUUGAAAAUCCUUAAGAUAUCCUUCACAACCUAAAGACAUUAAUACUAUUACAAUGAUUCACCACUAAAAGCUGCCUUAUAAAUAAUGGUUAACCCAUCCCUCCGUAGUAACAAGGUAGUUGGUUAUGCAAAUAUGAAUGCAAUAUCAAAUUUUAUUAUAUAAUCAUGUCUUACAAUUGAUAUUUUCUUGAGUAGUUAGUAUUCACGCUUACAAACGACGUAUUCAUUUUCAUAUGAGACUAGUACCACAUGCAAAAGUUCCACCACUAGAACACAUGAUACCUAUCGAGAAGAUUGUACACAAAAAGCCCACACAUUUCUAUCAAUUAAGUAACUAUAAUGCACUACCAAAUUUGUUUACUCUCAUCCAAAGUGUUAUCCAUUCCUUCGUAGAUUAGGUCCAUACCUUUAACAAAGUAAGAAUUGGUACCAUUGUGAUAGUCGUAUCAUGAUCCUUUUUAAUCAUUCCACUCUCAAUUCUCAAACUACUCCACAUAUUAUCUAUACCACACAAGUACUAACCUCAAACAAUUCCUUCAUAUUACUGAACAUUCUAAACGUGACCACACAUCUUCUUACAAGUAUAUGACUUCAACAUUAGUACCAUAUUAAACAUCUAAGGCAUGCAUGACACCAACUACUCACAUUAGGAACUACGCACGAGUCAUCACAUAAGUGAGAGAGAAUGGAACAAAGUGAUACCAAUCAGAACAGACAAAGGAUGCACGAUAGAGAUUCAAGAAGUGUAGUUUUUUCUUAAAAGUCACUAUAUCCUCUCGAAGAUAAGUACAUACGUUUCCGUACCAAUCCUUGAGACUUUACCUAGACUCGACUUAUACACACGUGAUACCAAUGAACCUAGGAUCCGAUAUCAUUUUGUCACGAUCAAAAAAUGGACAUGAUGACACUCGUCUUAUCCCACCAAGACAAGUCAACUUCAAGCUCAGCCAUUACAAUAAAUGACUCAAAGAAUGAUGUUAAACUAAAUGUUCUUAACAUUAUUUAUAUUCUUGAGAAUUGAGAAGUGUUUUAAGGAGGGGAAAAGAAGUACCACAACUAUUAUGGAACAAUGGUUAAGGUCUAAGAUAGUAUCUACAAUUUGGGUUCCUUGUUGCUAAUAUAUAAUUUCUUAUUUUUCUUUGACAAAAUUUAGUGGUUUCCAUGUUGGUAAUAUCUAAUCGAAUAUUUUCUUUAGGAUAUAUUCCCUUUGUUUUUCAUAUCUAUAAAACCAAAGGUUGAAUCUUCUUUCACUUUGUCAAUAAUGUUGACAUAUCUAGACAACCAAAGGCUGAAUUUUCUUUCACUUUGUCAAUAAUGUUGACAUAACCAAAGGUUCCUUGCAAGGAUAGAACAUUUCUUGAAGCAAAUUAUGCUACUUUGAGUAAAGUUCUUAAGAGUAUCUAUGCCGCAAAUUUCGCUAGGAGGGAAAUAGAUCUCAUCUUUUUCCUUAAACAAGGCUUGUGAUUUCUUAUCAAAGUGAUUUUUGCUACAUAUUAAACAUAGAUCAUGUAUGGGGAUAGCUUGCAUGUGGAACAUUAGCGACUUUUGUUCUUGAUAGAGUAAAAAAUAUUUUAUUAACAGUUAUAUGUUUGGACAACAUAUCGAUUUCUUGCUGAUUGCAUGGGCUGCAAUGAAGAAUGAUGAGAUUUCUCUAGUUUCACUAUGUGUUUUAAUGUACUAAUGUUAUUUCCUUGUGUGUAGAACAAGAUUUACAUAUGCUCCCUGAUUGCAUUUAACAUUUUGUUGGUACCUUUUGAAGUAGGUUGAUAUAAAAUUAAUGUCUAUGGAAAAUUUCAAUUACAAGGAUCGGAAAAGUUAUUUAAGAUCUAUUCAAUGUUCAUAAUCUUAGAGCAACUAAUAUCUAGAAAAUAAUAAUUGUUAUCUGAUUUUUGAAAUGAAAAAACUUUUGCUCUUCAUGAAUUUCAUUAAAUUAAACAUAAUUCAUAAAUAUGACCCUUAACAUGGCUAUAGUGGAGAAAUAUGUCCUCCAAUUUUGAGAGUGCACAAGUUUACACUUAAACAUGUAUAAAAUUGAACAAGUAGAUAGACUCAUCUGUCCUACAUGAAGUAAUACACAUUGAACGCCACAUAGGACACAAUUUCCAUGUAGGGUUCUAUGUAGGAUGAAUGUAUCUUUUGUUCAAAUUUAAACAAGUUCAAGUGUCUACUUGUGCAAACACAAUAAUCGAUGAAAUGUACUCUUAUUUACCUUAUUUGAGUUUUAUUUUUCUUUUUAAGGAAAGCCUACCAUAGUUGCUUUUACUUUUUUAAAAAGAAAAAUAUAAUUUUCUCACAUAUUUGAUUUAUUCUUUCCUUAGAAAAAAAGGUUGGAACUCUAUAAAUUAGAGACAACAUGUUUUCGUACCACAUCAAAUUAAUGGAACUUACUAUGUAAUCAUUAAAAAGUUUUGUUAUAGAGGAGAUUAUUCUCCUAAUAGAGUUUAUAUUAGUUUUCAUGUAUAGGUCAACUGAUCAAACCAUAUUAUAAUAUAAUGUUUUUAAAGUUUUUGUCAUCUAAUUUAUCACAAACACGAUUCGCAAUUGUAAGCUUCCGUAUGACACCUUUAAUUCUUUAGAACUUAAUAGUUUGGGGUAUUUUUGAGGUUAAAAAUAGUUUUGCAAGAACCAGAGUUAAAACAUAAUGGAAUCGAUGGGUCUUUUCUCAAAUGGCAAUGACAUAGAGGAGUCAAAAUUUUAAUAGAUAAUAUAAAUAAGUCUUUUCUAAAAGUUAGAUAUCAUAUUUGAGCACAAACUUAGAUUCAACUUGCUACUGACUAAAUUCAGAUGUAGGGCGUGAAGAUGAACUACUCUAACACUAUGAAGCUAUUAGGCUGAAAACUUCGAUGGAGACUUCAUUCUUUUUUGAGCUCGAGUAAGAAAACUACGUUAAUUAAAAAUAAGAGGCGCUUUAGAAGAGACAUCAUGUGUCCACACAUACUUUUAACUACAAUGACAAUACAUGCAUGAAAACUAGAUUUAAAAGUCUAAAUUAAAACUAAAAAUAGUUGAAACCACAUAUAUUUUUUUAGUUGCAACAUAAAAUCACACAUUUUAAAAUUAUUCAAGCAAAGUACUUCAAAAUGAUCAAAUUAAAGCAAAUCAUUUUUAUUUUAAAGGAGCUCUGCAAGGAAUUCCCUUCCUCUUGCGCUUCUGCUUCGUCUUAGCAAUCUUUCCCCAUUUUGCUUCCACCUAUAAAUUCCAUCAUAACAUAUAUUAUUCACAAAAAUAUUUGUGAAUUGGCAAUGCAAAUGUAUAAUAAUAUUUUAUCUGCCUCAAUUUAAGUGUCUCAUUACUUUUUUUAUGUGUCUCAAAAACAGGGGGUUUCCGAUCCCCUAUAUUUUGUAUAAAGAACUCAAAUACAAUAUAACAAUAACUACUUCUCAACUAUAUUAAUAAAACUGAAGUUCAAUUACAAUUUCAAAAGUUGAUAUAGAAAUAUCAAAAGUAAGACUAGGGGUGUGUUUGGUAUGAAGAAAAAUGUUUUCCAUGGAAAAUGUUUUCUUAGAAAAUGUUUUCCUCGAAAACAAGUAGAUUUUGGAUUCAUUUUCUCAUGUUUGGUUUGUGAGUAGAAAAUAUUUUCUCGAAAUGAUUUUUAGUGUUUGAUUUAUGAAUGAAAAUGUUUUUUGAGAAAAAUCUUUUAUUUUUACUAGAGUAGAAAAUAACUUAUGAAAUUGAAAAUAUUUUUUACAAACAAUUUUUUGGGGGGUGUGGUGGGUGGGUGGGGGGUGCGUUUGCGGGGGUGGGCAGGGGUUAGGUGAAAAAAUAUAAUUUUGAAGUUGAAAAUACUUUUUGAAAAUAACUUUUUUUUGGAGGGGGGUGCUGGUAGGGGGCUGGCGGGGGACGGAGGGAGGGAGGAGUUUUAAAAUAAAAAUAUUUUAAAAAACGACCUCAAAGUUUUUUGGGUGGGGUGGGGGUGGGGGGCUGGUCAGUGGUGAGUGAGUGGGAUGGGGGUCAGGAUCGGGUGAAAAAUAUAUAUUUUGAAAUUGAAAAUAUUUUUAAAACGGGAGAAGGGUCAAAUAUGCCCCUAAGCUAUUUGAAAAGGUUUAGAUAUACCCUCCGUUUAAAGUUUGGUCCAUUUAUACCCUCGCAGUCCAACUUUUGGUCUACAUAUGCCCUUUUGGGCGUUAGUUGACCAACUCGAAAUAUCCAACUCAUUUUACUUUUAUUUAAAUGUCAAAUGGAUUUUCCACGUCAUUUUUAUGUAUUAUUACUUGACAUUUAUACUCAAGGGAAAAGGGUCAAACAUGCCCUUAAACUGUUCGAAAGGUCUAGAUAUACCCCCGUUUAAAGUUUGGUCAAUUUAUAUCCUCGCGUCCAAACUUUUGGUCUACAUAUGCUCUUAUGGGUGUUAAUUGGUCAAUUCGAAAUAUCCAACUCAUUUUACUUUUCUUUAAAUGCCAAAUGGAUUUUCCACAUCAUUUUUAUAUAUUAUUACUUGACAUUUAUAUUAAAAGAGAAAGGGGUCUUUUAUGCCCCUAACUAUCCGACCUAAUUUUAAAACACAUAUACGACCCGUCUUUUAAAUAAUCUAUACAACCCGACCCUUUUUUUAAAUACCCUAUAUGGGCCGGAUUAGGGCAUAAUUGAACCAUUUAAAUGGCGAAAACUAUCGUGCUCUGAUUGGAACCGCCGAGGAAUCAAUGGCACGACAACUAAAGGAAAAGGAAGUCGAGGUUUGAAAAGCGUUUUGGCGCAACGCAGAGCUGGAGGCGCAAAUCUGGCAGGCAAGGUCUAGAGCAAAGGAAUUCACCGCAACAACAUUACAGACACAACUGCAAGCUGCAGCAGGCGAUGAUGAUGUGAAUAACAAAAUAAUUCACACAUAUAUGAGUCGGAUUAGGGGCAUAAUUGAACCAUUUAAAAUACGGUCGUAUAUGUGUUUUAAAAUUGGGUCGGAUAGUUAGGGCAUAAGUGACCCCUUUCUCUUUUAAUAUAAAUGUCAAGUGAUAAUAUAUAUAAAUGAUGUGAAAUAGCACUUGGCAUUUAAAGAAAAGUAAAAUGAGUUGGAUAUUUCGAGUUGACCAACUAACACCCAUAAGGGCAUAUGUAGGCCAAAAGUUGGACGCGAGGGUAUAAAUGGACCAAACUUCAAACGGGGGUAUAUCUAGACCUUUCGAAUAGUUUAGGGGCAUAUUUGACCCUAUUUCCUUGAACAUAAAUGUGAAGUGAUAAUACAUAAAAAUGACGUGGAAAAUUCAUUUGGCAUUUAAAUAAAAGUAAAAUAACUUGGAUAUUCCGAAUUGGCCAACUAACGCCCAAAAGGGUAUAUCUAGACCAAAAGUUGGACGGCAAGGGUAUAAAUGGACCAAACGUUAAACGGAGGGUAUAUCUAAACCUUUUCAAAUAGUUUAGGGGCAUAUUUGACCUUUUCCCUUUUAAAAUUGAAUUUUUUUGCCAACAAAAUGUAAUUUGACGUUGGAGAAGAGUUUUGGAAAAUGUUUUCCUUAAUUUUUAAAGGGAAGUCAUUUUCCUUAAUUUUGUGGAAAAUGAGUUGAUUUGGAAAAUAUUUUCCAAUACUUUUGUCUCAACCAAAUAUGAGAAAAUUGGAAAAUAUUUUCCAUAAAUUGUAUUCUUUCAUACCAAACACACUCUAGAGAUUUGGGUAGAACUAGACUUUCAUACAACAAUAAGUCUAAUCUAUCUUUCCAACUUCUCUUCCUUUUUACUAGUUGCUAUUUGGGUAUGGAUAUCAAUUCAACCUUUGUGAAGGUCUUUUGAUCUUAUUACUUCUUGUUUACCUAAUACCUGAUUCUGUGAUGUCAAGUUCCACGUUGGACUGAGAUUGAUUCAUAACAUUUAGUACAGUUAUAUCUUUACUUAUAAUUUGGCUUUAAAAUACUCACUUUAUCUUUAAUGAGAGAUUUUGGAUCAAACAUUUUAAGUCUUUCUUUCUUUCUUAAAAUUUAUGUCAAUUCGAACAAUAUCACAUAAAUUAUGAGAGAGGGAGUACCUGUUUUUCAAUUUCCACAUUCUAUUUAGGAUUAUACAACAACAACAAUAACAUAUCUAGUGAAAUUUAACAACUUAAGGCCUAGAGAGAGUAAAAUGUACUCAACCUUAUACACUACCUUGUAAAAGAAAAGAGACUGAUUUUAAUCAAGCAUAGUUUCAAGAAUUCAAUUUCUCAAAAAUAUUAAAUAAUAAAGUAAAAAUCAUUGAGAAACAACCACUAAAUUUUAAACGGAGGGAGAGAUAAGUACCUGGCAAGCAAUGAAUGAGCCAGACCAAGAAUGUGGCAGAGGAUUCAAAGCAAUUAUCCAUUUCUUGUUGCAUUUGUAUGUCUGCACAUAGAAAAUUAUAUAGAUCUCAUCACUAACAUAUAGAUGUUAAUAAUGUAAAAAAGAAAAUAAUAAAUCUUUGUUGUAAGACUAUAUAUACAUGUGUGAAAUAAGAAUGUCUAAAUUUAUAUAUGACUAAAGUUCAACAAAAGAAAGUUGAACUUCAUCUAUAAGUACUUGAACUUCAGGCAAACUCAAGAAAAUCAACCAUAUGGAUCUUAUGUUCUAAGAGAAAAAGAUUAAACUCUAGUCAUUUUGUUCAAGCUUAAUUCCAAACACAAUAUGACUUAAUUAGUGGAUCCAAAUAGAGAUGGCUCAAGAAAAGAGCUAGUAAAACACUUGCAUUUAGACAAAAGGCUUCCAAAAAAUUAGUAAUCGUUUUACGAAUUUAUUAUCACUUAAAACAGAUGAUUAUGAUAAAAAGUACAAAUUUUAUGCAUGUAUGUAUGUUUACAAAACUAUUUGCUUUUAUCAUAAAUAUUUUACAACUUUGAACUAAAAUCUCAACUUUUAUAUUAAUAAACAAAACUUUUACAAUAACAUCCAAAAUAAUAACAACUGAUUAACAUCUCAUUAACUUAUAUUUAAUUAUCAUUCAAAUGUUUAAAUAAAUUAAUGUCUGGAGCAUCAAUUCAUAACCAAUAUAUGUAAUCUUCUUUCAUUUCUAGCUGUAAUAAUCUAUAUAAAUUUAAAUUUACCUGAAUUAGUUUGCAAUCAAUAUACAUCUUCAUCUGCUCGAGCGGAACAAUGUCUUUGUAAACAUGUCGAUAAAUUUUUAGCUGGUCAUGAUCAUUGUGUUUGUUUGUAGAGAUGCAAUACCUGCAUAAAUCGGAAUCACAUGUGAUACAGUACUUGCUCCUUUCAUUCUUUUGAAGUCUAUCAUGCACCAAACAUUCCCCAAAGAAUGUCUUCUUCAAAAGUGGUCCUAGCCAUGUUAGCAUAAUCCUGCUAGGUUUCAAUUCCCCCUGCAAAUAUAAUCAUUACAAUAACAGAUUAUGAUAUUUUUCAAGUGAUUUGAUUGGAUUGCAAAAGGUUUUUCUCACUUUUUAAAAUAUAGUAAAGUAAUAUUAUCAUCAAAUAUACAUAGUACGAGAAAAUAUAAAAUACCUAUCAAGCUAAUUAUCUUUUGAAACAGUCUUUCUCAUUAUUUGAACAGUAAUUUACUUGAAAUGAUAUUAUCAUCAAACAUACACAUAUCAAAAGAACUACGAAUAUAAUAACAUAUUUAUCAAGCUAAGUAUCUAUCAAGUAUCUCAUCCAACAAUUGUUUGAUGAAGAUUAAUGAACUUUAAAGGUCUAAAAAUGUACUAAGGUUUGUUUAGGAAUGAACCAAAUCCAAUCAAUUGAUGGGACUUAGCUAGUUUAGAGCUUAAGUUUUAGGAGAAAAAAAGACUUCACUUCUUUCUAGUUGAGGUUCUAAAAACAUCUACCUACAUUUUAUUUAUAAUAAAAAAUGUAUAUUAACAUUUUUGUAGGAUAAUAUUGAAUGAUGAAAAACUUAUAGUGUAAUAGAAAAGAGAAACACUUUCACAAAAUUCUGAGUUGAUGACAAUAUCCAUGUAAAUGAUUAUUAAAGAACAAAAACACAUGAACCAAAUCAUAUAUAUAUAGUUUUGGUCCACUUUCUCCUUAAUAUGUUGUCUGUGCGACUUAAAAUGAUCGUUUGAUAUGCAGACUAAAUUAUCUCGAGAAUAUAAUUUUAAUUAUAAUUCUUAUACUAAUCUAUCCAAUAUGGAAUCUGGAAUAAACUACUUUCAAAAUAAUCUCAAACUUAAGCAUGAGAUAUUUCAUCUUAUCUUGCACUCCGAACAAUCCUAUUACUCAUGGAAUUUGUUUAAACCCCAUCCGUUAUGUUUCCAUCGCAGAGAAAAACCACAUCACCUAUAGCUUUUGUGACAGAUCGUUUUUUAGAGAGACAUUUGGUACAUUCAAAACACACCAAUUUAGAUUUGGGACACAUAGAUUCCAUAAAGGGGAAAAUUUCCUUAGCAAGAUUUCUCCAUUUACAAGGUUCAUAUGAGAUAUUGGUUAAGAAUUAAGAAAUUUCAUCUGUAUGAUCACACCCUUGAUGAUGCACACCAAUUAUAGAAGGAAGGAAUGUUGUGUAGAGCUAGGGUCACUCACCUCACAAAACUUGAAAGAGGUGACAUUGGCUGAAUGAAUUAAUGAUUAUAAGACUCAAACAAAAUUUUUACGACGUGUGAGCUUGAUUCUUUUUAUUUAGUCAUUCAUAUGGAAGUACCAAAUAAAUGAAUGACUAUGAGACUUGAGUAAGCUUUUAUUUGAUAUCAAAAAUUUGGACGGUUCAUCAAGUCUUUUAUUGCCUCACCUCUCUAAUAGGAAUAGGGGUAAUUUACAAAUAGGGCUAAUAAAUUUGUCAAUCAAAAUAUAAGGACUUAAUAACUUAAGUUUCUUCAUUCGAAGUAAAUUCUUUCAAACUCAAAAUACACUUAAAGAUAGAGGAGUACCCUUGACAACAAUGGAUCUCCUACCAAGUAUAUAAAUAGGCUUAUUGAAGGGUCCUAUUGACAUGCAUUCAAUAGAAAUCAAGCCUGCUAAUUCAACUAAUAUGAGUCGGGUAUUUUCACAUAACUAACAUAGAACUAUUAUUUUUUCUUACAUCCUACAAUACAUGUAACAGAGUCUAGAGUUUACAUGUGAAUCAAAAUUUUAUUUUACUUCAUCUUUUUAUAUUGAUUUAUCAAGAAGAUGAUGAUAUAUCUAUAGGUUGAAAAGAGGGAUUGAAGCAAAAAGAUAAGAUCCUAACAUACUAGGAAGUUGGUUUGUAGCAAAUAGGAAGUUGGCUUGACAUGGUUAGGAGUGUUGUUGAAGUAUAACUAGGGGCUCAAAAUCCAUAUCCCAGAUUAAGAGAGAGAAGCUCAGAUCAAGUCCACGGCAAGUUGAAAGAAAUAACUCAACAAAGACAUAGAGAAUAGGGUUUUUGGAAUGAUUUAGGGUAAAAUGAUCAUUUCAUUCUAUAUCGUGAAAAUGCUCCUUUUCUAACGUGAAAAGAAGUAAAAUGAACAACUAAAAUAAAAAACCGUUCUAGUACAUGACUCUAGAGUAGAUUAUAGUUAAAAUUACACAAUCGUUACACGUUUAAUUUUACGAUACAAAUAAGUUAUUAAAGCACACAACGACUCCUGCCUCCCCUAUGACAUGACAAGAAAAUGAGACAUUAUAUCCUUUUACACAUUAAUACUUACCUAAAAAUUGUCAUUUCUUUUUCUUGCCAAAAUUAUUGGGAUUACAACAUUAGUGGAUAACAUUUCAGGAAUUGGUACGAUAUAUUUGUAAAAGAAAAUUUGGGGUUGAUGACUCAAUUUUCUUCUUGUCUUUUAUAAUUUUGAACUACUUAAGCAUAUCAUCAUACAGUGCAAUUAAAAAAUCUGUAAUCAUAGUAUACCUAGUGCUCUCUAACUCUUAUUUUAUCAUGUUUGCUAAUAAUUAGAGGAGGUUUGUUACCUUAUUAGGAUAUGUAAGUAAGAUCUAGUCCCCUGGUUAUAUAUACUUAUUCUGACUAAGAAUGUUUUAAUUUUAUUUUGUUAAUAAAAGAACUAUGUGACGUGGUAUAAAAUACCCAAAAAAAUCUUUUAUUUUGUAAAAACAUGUAUACAUAUCUUACAAGAAAGAGUUAUCAAGAACGACUUCGAAAUAUAAAAUCAAGAGUAAAUUUAAUAAUUGAAAUAUUUAAUUGUUACAUCACUCAAUUAUACCCUCUAAUUCGAAGAAAUUCUUGACUGAUUACAAAUUUUGUUAUUGAAAUAAAUCUUAAAUAACUGUAAUAUGUAAUUCUCUCAUAAAAUUAGUCUGGAAAAUUUUCCAAUAUAUUAUCAUCUUUAGUUUUAUAAGAAUAAAAUCAUAGCACAACUUCAUAAAGUAGAUCUAAAUUCAAUUUCUUGUAAAUUCGCCAUCUUUUAUACAAAAUCAAUUAAGAGGUUAUCAAACAUAUAGUCAGCCUAAUGAAAUUUUAUCAACAAUCAAAGGAAAAAAUAAUUUUCUUUUUCUUUUUGAGAUAUAAAUGCAUAAACAAAAUGGUAAGAAUUAGAUCUCACACAAAAAACACAGAAAUAAACAAUCAAUUUUGAAUAAAUUAAACCAAAGAAAUAGUUAUUGAAAAUUAGUAACACUACACAUAUAUAUGUAUGUACCUGCUCAUUUGUUUCAAAAGGUGAUGAAUCAGAGCUACCCAUAUUUUUUGUUCCACUUUUCUCCUCUCUAGAGUGUAUCAAUUUUUUGAAGAAGACAUAUAAAAACUAGUAGUAGAAUUUUAUUACAAGUAUAUUGUUCCCUUGAAGUGUACUUAGUUGGCAAGACAACAAUUGAAGUAAUAAAGACAAUUUUUUAGUCAAAUAAAAUUUAGUUUAGAAGAACAUAAGGACAAAUUUGGGCCUCCAAUUUUCUAAUUGUCCGUUAUAUUUCAAGAAACAAUAAAGAUAUGUUCAAUGAGGUAAUGAGGAACAUUUUUACCAGUUUUACCCUUAAGUUGAGGAGGCGAUAGAUCCAAGAGAGAUUUUCAAAUUGAUAAAACCUAGAGUUAAUGAGGUCAAAUUGUAUAUAUGUAUGUAAUGGACAAUAUUGUCAUUUCAUUUUGUGUGCCAAAUAAUGUGAACACGGAAAGAUUUUGUAAAUCUAUGAAUUUUUUCCUUUAUCUAUUCCAGUCCUCCAUUUAAAGUUUUCCCCCAAACCAUCCCAUAUGUAAAGUCAAACUUUCUCACUUAAUGUAUCUCCAAGUAAGGGGCUUGUACACAUCUUUGAUUUUACCAUAUAUGAGGUAAUUAGAUUUAGUAAAUCUGAAAUCAAGGCAAAAUUAGUAAUUGUGUGUGUUAAUUAAGAUUUAUACUUAAAAGGGAAAGAAAAUAAAAGGAAGAGGUAAUUCAUUGAUUCCCUCUUUACAUGUCAAGCUUGUUAAUGAUUCAACAAUAUUGUCUUGAGAUGCAACUCAUAAUAUAAGUAUGUGAUAAAUGGUCAUCGAAUCCAUUAACAAUUGUUCAGGUUGAAACUUGUUGAUUUGUCAAUAAAGUUAUGUAAUGUAAAUUAACAAGAAAAUAUUACGUAUAAAAUAUAGAAAUAUGCUUAAUUACGUAAGGUCUUCAAAAAAUACUUGCUAGCCAAAAUCUUGCCUCUUAAAGGUCAGUCUUAAUCGUUUCGAUUCUAAGUCAGAUUGGUUUACCUUUAGGUCUGAUUUAGGGGUUGGGGUUUUAAGAGAAAAUACUAGUUAGCUCAACCCUUGCCUCUUAAGGGGUUAGUCAUGUUGAAUGGGUUAAACUAAUUUUUUUCAUACUAUAUUGUAACUUUGUAUUAAUAUUUGAAGUUAUUGAACUUUGUACUUUGAUAAAAGGACAUAAGUUAUGAAUAAAACCUCAACGACUUAAUAGCUUUCAAUUUUUUAUUGAUAAAAAUUUUUUUUAUAAAACUUAGAACAGGAUUUAAUACUUGAAUGAAAAAAAAUUGAAAAAUCAAAAGAAGAUAGAAGAAGAGAAAUUAAAUUCAAACUCUAGAUGUAUGUAUCACCAAAACUAACAUCUUGUCAACCUCUUUUAAUAUGGGGUCAUUAUUAACUAUCAACCUCAUAUUUAACAAAAUUUUCAUUGAACUCUGUAUGUACCCUCUAUUCGAUCAUAUAAUAACCUCAUGCUCGAGCCGCGAGUGGAACCCACACUUAUCCUACUAUGUGAGCAAACCAACCAAUCUAAACCCCAACAUUUACCAAUAAUAAACAGAAAAGUAAUGCGGAAGGCUUAAACUCAUUAAUAAUAAUCAAUUAAUAACUUCUAAAAUUUAUCAGUUACUAUCCCUCAAAAUCUGGAAGUCAUCACCACAAGAACACCUACCCUCAAAUUCUAAAUCUAAGAGUAUCUAGGAAGCUAAAAUAAAUAAAAAGCUAGUCCAUGCCAGAACUUCAAGGCAUCAAGACAUGAAGAAGAAGAUCCAGUCCAAGCUAGAAGCAUUAGCUCACCCUGAAAUCUGGUGUGAUGAAGACUGGCUAGAGUUGCGAUUGAGUUUAAGUCGACGGUAUGUUUUCUGCACUCCAGAAAUAUCAAAGAGAAAACAUACAAGUAGGGGUCAGUACAAAACACAAGUACUGAGUAGAUAUCAUCGGCAAACUCAAAAUAGAAAGCAAUAUAUAUCAGAUAAUAUCAUAAAAUCAACUACAAUACUCAACCGGUAGCAACAACAAGUACAAGAAUCAUUGGUAAAUAACGCCAAGUACACCCAUGAGGACUCAAGCCUCCCUACCAUACUCAUUUGGGAAAUAGGUUCAUUAAAUUGAGUAAAUAACCAUAUUUCAAGUUUCAUUCUCUUUAAUAUCCUGGUGUCGAAAAGUGACACUCUGAUCCUCAUCAUACUAUCCUGGUGUCGGAACGUGACACCCAAUCCAUUAAUACUAUCCUGGUGUCGGAAAGUGACACUCCGAUACACAUCAUACUAUCCUAGUGUCGGAACGUGACACUUCGAUCCUCAUCAUACUAUUCUGGUGUCGGAACGUGACACCCGAUCCAUUAAUACUAUCCUGGUGUCGGAACGUGACACUCCGAUCCUUAUCAUACUAUCCUGGUGCCGGAAAAUGACACCCAAUCCUCUAACCUCAUUCUUUUAGUUCAUCAAGCCUUCUUUUAUACAAAGGCAUCAUCAUUAACAAAGAGGUUUUCAAGAUUUAGGAUUCAAUAGCCUCAUCAUGCUUAUUUUAUCGUAUUUAUAUAAUCACAUCAUGCAAGCACACAAUUAAGCAUAUAGAAGGCUUUACAAUACUACCCAACACAUAUCAUUCGCUAUUAAGAGUUUACUAUGAAAUAGUGAAAAACCAUAAUCUACCUCCACCGAAGAAUUCAUGAUCAAGAAACCUACUUUUCCAAAGCUUUUCUUUUCUCUUCGUUCUCUCCUCUUGAUCCAUCGUUUCUCCCUCUCUCUGUUCUUUCUAUUUUUCUUAUUCAAACCCUUUUUAUUUUACCCUAAUUAACAUAUAAUUAAGUAUAAAAGAUGACAAAAGUAACCCACUAGUUAACUCAAGGUUAUCUCCUUUAACCCCCAAGUAAUUGAAUUAUUAACAUUAAACCACUAACUUUAUAAUUAUAAGCAGGAAUAGUCCAAAACGCCCCUUAAAACAUUUAACAGAAAUCCGACCCAGGCAGGGUUACGCAGACUGUGACGCCCCUUCCUGCUGCUUCCGUCACAAAGUUCAGAGACUCAAUUCCUUGAAGAGUCUGUGACGGCCCGUCAUGCCUGUGACGGUCCGUCCUGCCACUUCGUCGCGAAGUUCAGAGAGUCGAUCUCAGUACCCAAAUUUCAGAAUUCUAAGUGUUUUGGAACGAGACACCCUCGACGGUCCGUCGUGCCCAUGACGGUCCGUCGUGGGAUCCGUCGACUCCGACUGUUGUUACCAGAAAUACUUUACUGCUCAAAACGACUAAACAGGUCGUCACAGUAGAUACCAAUUUACCCAUCGUUCGUCCUCGAAUGAUCACAAGAAGAAAAACAAGGGCGAGAAGGAGUACCUGAAUUUGUAAACAGGCGUGGGUAUCUUUCUUGCAUAUCAGCCUCCUUCUCCCAAGUGGACUCUUCGACCGGCCGAUUCUUCCAUUGAACCUUGAUGGAUGCAAUCUCCCUUGACCUCAACUUGCGGACUUCUCUAUCUAAAAUAGCAACAUGCUCCUCCUCAUAAGACAAAUUUUCAUCAAGCAGAACCGAAUCCUAACGAAUGAUGUAGUUUCAAUCCCCAUGGUAUCUUUUCAACAUAGACACAUGAAAUACCGGAUGCACUCCUGACAGUUCUGGGGGCAAGGCUAAUUCAUAAGCUACCUCCCCCACGCGCUUUAGAACUUCAAAGGGACCAAUAUACCUCGGACUAAGCUUACCUCGCUUACUAAACCGCAUCAACCCUUUCAUGGGCGAAACCUUCAGUAAGACUUGCUCACCCUCCAUAAACUCCAAAUUCCUAACCUUUCGAUCUGCAUAUUCUUUUUGCCUACUUUGAGCCGCUAAAAGCUUUUCUUGAAUGUAUUUCACUUUAUCUAGUGAUUCCCUCAGAAGGUCAGUACCCCAAGGUCUAACUUCAAAUGCAUCAAACCACCCAAUGGGAGACCUACAUCUUCUCCCAUACAGUGCUUCAAAUAAGGCCAUAUCAAUACUUGAGUGAUAGCUAUUGUUGUAGGAGAACUCUGCUAAGGGUAAGAAGCUAUUCCAUUGGCCACCGAAUUCUAUCACACAUGCACGAAGCAUAUCCUCCAACACUUGAAUCGUUCGCUCAGACUGACCAUCGGUCUGAGGAUGGAACGCAGUACUAAGGUCCAACCUAGCACCCAAUUCCGCAUGCAAUGUUUUUAAAAACUUAGAAGUAAAACUGCGUACCUCUAUCUGAUAUGAUGGAGAGUGGAACCCCAUGCAACCGAACAACUUACAAAAUGUAAAGUUUGGCUUACUUCUCUGCAUUGUAAGUCACCUUGACCAGAAUGAAAUGAGCAGACUUAGUUAAUCUGUCAAUAAUUACCCAAAUGGAGUCAUACUUACCCAUUGUCAUUGGAAGAACAACCACGAAGUCCAUUGCAAUUCUCUCCCACUUCCAUUCGGGAAUGGGAAUUUUCUGAAGGGUUCCUCCAGGCCUUUGUUGUUCAUACUUUACUUGCUGGCAAUUUGGACAUUUGGCGACAAACUCCACAAUGUCACGCUUCAUUCUACUCCACCAAAAAUGUUGCCUUAGGUCACGAUACAUCUUGGUUGCACCAGGGUGUAUAGAAUACCUUGAACUAUGAGCCUCUGUCAGAAUAGUGUUGAUCAAAUCAUCGACGCGGGGUACACAUACCCUUCCCUUAAUUCUCAAAACACCUUCCUCAUCGAUUUGUGCUUUCUUAGCCUCUCCUCGCAACACCUUAUCUCGGAUCCGGAUUAGUUUCUCAUCAGUAAACUGCUUUCCCUUAAUCUUGUCAAGAAAGGAAGACCUUGCCUCCACACAGGCCAAAAACCCUCCCUUCUCAUUUACCUCUAACCUCAUAAAGUCGUUAGCCAGAGUCUGAACCUCUCUAGCCAAAGGACGUCUAGAAACUUGCAAGUGAGCUAGACUUCCCAUACUUCCUGCCUUUCUACUUAAAGCAUCUGCCACAACAUUAGCUUUUCCCGGAUGAUACAAGAUAGUGAUAUCGUAGUCCUUCAGUAGUUCCAUCCAUCUCCUCUUUCUCAAGUUCAAAUCCUUUUGAGUAAAGACACACUGUAGGCUACGAUGAUCCGUAGAGACUUCACACUUCACCCCAUAUAGGUAGUGUCUCCAUUGCUUUAAUGCAAACACUACCGCAGCCAAUUCCAAAUCAUGGGUCGGAUAGUUACGUUCAUGCAAUUUUAAUUGCCUCGAAGCGUAAGCAAUUACAUUCUUCUCUUUCAUUAGCACUGCACCCAAACCCGAAUAGGAUGCAUCACAAUAGACAAUGAAAUUCUUACCUUUCACUGGCAGGGUAAGGAUUGGUGAAGUAGUCAACAAGGUCUUGAGCUUCUGAAAGCUUUCUUCGCACAAGUCCGACAAUACGAAUGGAACACUUUGCUUAGUCAAAUUUGUCAAUCGGGAAGUAAUAGAGGAAAAUCCUUUGACAAAUCGACGGUAGUAGCUAGCUAAACCAACAAAGCUCCUUAUCUCUUUAACAUUAGUAGGUCUCUCCCAAUUCUUCACUGCUUUAAUCUUAGAUGGAUCCACCAUCACUCCAUCCUUAGAAACCACGUGCUCCAAGAAGGACACUGAAUCUAGCCAAAACUCACACUUGGAGAAUUUGGCAUAAAUCUUUUUCUCCCUCAACAUUUCCAAUAGAAUUCUCAAGUGCCCCUCAUGUUCUUUCUUGCUCUUUGAGUAUACCAAUAUAUCAUCAAUGAAUACAAUGACAAAGAGAUCCAGAUAUGGCUUAAAAAUCCCAUUCAUCAAGCUCAUGAAAGCGGCAGGGGCAUUUGUAAGCCCAAUAGACAUUACUAAGAACUCAUAAUGCCCAUACCUUAUUCGAAAAGCAGUCUUGGGCACAUCCGUUGCCCGUAUUUUCAAUUGAUGGUAACCAGAUCUCAAAUCAAUUUUUGAGAAGGUACAAGCACCUUGUAACUGAUCGAACAAAUCAUCGAUGCAAGGAAGAGGAUACUUGUUCUUAAAAGUUACCUUAUUCAGUUGUCUGUAGUAUAUGCACAUCCGAAAAUUCCCAUCCUUCUUCUUCACAAACAAAACAGGAGCACCCCAAGGAGAUGCACUUGGUCUAAUGAAGCCUUUUCCUAACAGUUCUUGAAUUUGAGCCUUUAACUCCCUUAACUCCGCGGGAGCCAUUCUAUAAGGGGGUAUAGAAAUGGGGCGAGUAACCGGUUCCAGAUCAAUGCAAAAGUCAAUAUCCCUAUCUGGUGGCAUACCAGGAAGAUCUGCAGGGAACACAUCCAGAAACUCACAGACUACUGAAACCGACUCAAUUGAAGGUACUUGGGUACUAUCAUCUCUGAGGUGUGCCAAGAAAGAUAAACACCCUUUACUAACCAUUCUCUUAGCACGAAGAAAGGAGAUGAUACGAACUGGAGUGGAAGUGUAGUCACCCUCUCAAACUAACGGAUCUGUCCCAGGCUUGGCCAACGUCACAGUUUUAGCAUUACAAUCUAAUAUUGCAAAAUUUGGAGAAAGCCAAGUCAUACCCAGAAUUACAUCGAAGUCAACCAUUUCUAAGAUAACCAAGUCUACAUGAGUAUUGCUCCCCACAAAAUUCACCAGACAAGACCUAUAUACCUUUUCAACUAUCACAGUCUCACCCACCGGAGUAGACACACGAAUAGGCAUGUCAAGAAAUUCACAAGGUAAAUUAAGACCAGUAGCAAAUGAGGAAGAUACAUAUGAAAAUGUGGAGCCAGGAUCAAAUAAUACAGAAGACAUGCAAUCACAAACCAAAAGAUUAACUGUGAUAACAGCAUCCGAUGUCUCCGCUUCAGACCGCCCGGGGAAAGCAUAACAAUGGGCCCUAUCGCCUGUCUGCCCGUUGCCUCUACCAUGUUGUGCUGUAGUGGCUCCAGUUUGCCCGUCACCCCGGCCGUUUUGAUGACCACCAUUACCUCGACCACCAUGUCCUCCAGAAUGACGGCCUUUUCCUUGACCACCUCUACCUCUGACUAUUGGAGGUCUAUAACUCUGUUUUGGACAAUACAUCUUAAUGUGUCCAGUCUCCCCACAUCCAUAACACUCUCUGGAUUCAAGCAUCGGUCUCUGUGAGAAUGACGAAGUCUGGGGAUAACCUCCAAACUUAGAGAAAUGUUGACCGGUCUGCGGUCGACCCCCAACGACAGUCUGCAGUGAAGACUGAAUAGGUCGGGCUGGGUAACCUCCUGAACCCUGCCCUCUGGAGUAAGAACCAUUAAACUCACCUCCUUUAUGAAACCUUUUAGAUGUCGAUGCCAUGGUGAAGUCAUCUGGCUUCACUCCCUCCACCUCUAUCACGAAGUCUGCCACUUCUUGGAAGGAUUUUGCUGUAGCCGCUACCUGUAAUGCUGAAAUUCGCAAUUUUGACCUCAACCCCUUAACAAAACGGUGAAUCCGCUCUUGUGGACUGAAACAAAGCUGGGUGGCGUACCUAGAUAAUGCACGAAACUUAGCCUCAUACGCAGUAACCGACAUCCUGCCUUGCUCUAGGCUCAAGAACUCAUCUCUCCUCCUAUCCCUCAAGGUCCGGGGGAUAUACUUCUCCAUGAAUAAUCUAGAGAACGACGCCCAAGUCAUAGCUGGCGCCUGUGCGGGUUGACACUCAACAUGUGACCGCCACCACAUUUUGGCAUUUCCCUGAAACUGAUAGGUUACAAACUCAACACCAAAUCGUUCCACUAUGCCCAUUUUAUGUAAUAACUCAUGACAGUCAACCAGAAAAUCAUAGGCAUCCUCAGAUUCAGCACCCUUGAACACUGGAGGUUUCAAUUUCAAGAACUUACUGAAAAGUUCAUGUUGAUCACUUGUCAUUAUAGGCCCUGUAGUCAACCGAGGAAACGUGCCUAUUUCAAUUGAGGCAUCCAUGCGCGGAGCCACAGUAGCUGCAUGUUGUACCUCUGAAAACUGAUGUGCUGGUGCAGAAAACACUGGAGGUGUCUGGCCCUGAUCAAAUAACCCGCUAAGAUAACCAAGAACCUGAUUGAUCAUCUCUAGGGUAGGUUAGGGUGGUAAUUCCUCAUUCUGCACUUGUUCAUUCUCCCCUUCCUCACCCUCUCUUACCACUUCCUCAGUCGGUGGAGGAGUCACCACCCUAGUAUUUGAUGGGCUAGGUGCUUGUCCUCUUCCUCUAGAGGACGUUCUCCCGCGACCUCUUCCACGGCCUCUUGCCACUACUCCUCUUCGAGCUACAACCCUAGUGGCUGGCUCAGACGCAUCUUGUUUUGUCGGUGUUGGUGUUGGUGCAGUUGUUGCUCUAGUUCUAACCAUCUGCAAAAUAGAGUGAAGAUGGUCAGAUACCAAUUUGUAUCACCUAGAUACCAAUUGGAUUCAAGUAAUAGCACGAAAGAAAGAAAGAAAGAAUGGAAUUUUCCUAAAGUCUUAUAGCCUCUCAAAGAAAAGUAAAGGCACCCCCCUACCGUUCCUUAAGACUCUACUAGACUCGUUCUUGUGUGAUGAGACCAACGAACCUAAUGCUCUGAUACCAAGUUUGUCACGACCCAAAUCGAGCCGCGAAUGGCACCCACACUUAUCCUACUAUGUGAGCGAACCAACCAAUCUAAACCCCAAUAUUUACCAAUAAUAAACAGAAAAGUAACGCGGAAGACUUAAAAUCAUUAAUAAAAAUCAAUUAAUAACUUCUAAAAUUUAUCAGUUACUAUCCCCCAAAAUCUGGAAGUCAUCACCACAAGAACACCUACCCUCAAAUUCUAAAUCUAAGAGUAUCUAGGAAGCUAAAAUAAAUAAAAAGCUAGUCCAUGCCGGAACUUCAAGGCAUCAAGACAUGAAGAAGAAGAUCCAGUCCAAGCUAGAAGCAUUAGCUCACCCUGAAAUCUGGUGUGAUGAAGACUGGCUAGAGUUGCAAUUGAGUUGAAGUCGAUGGUACGUUUGCUGCACUCCACAAAUAACAAAGAGAAAACAUACAAGUAGAGAUCAGUACAAAACACAAGUACUGAGUAGAUAUCAUCGGCCAACUAAAAAUAGAAAGCAAUAUAUAUCAGAUAAUAUCAUAAAAUCAACUACAAUACUCAACCGGUAGCAUUAACAAGUACAAGAAUCAUUGGUAAAUAACGCCAAGUACACCCAUGAGAACUCAAGCCUCCCUACCAUACACAUUUCGGAAAUAGGUUCAUUAAAUUGAGUAUAUUAACAUAUUUCAAGAUUCAUUCUCUUUACUAUCCUGGUGUCGGAACGUGACACUCCGAUCCUCAUCAUACUAUCCUGGUGUUGGAACGUGACACCCGGUCCAUUAAUACUAUCCUGGUGUCGGAACGUGACACUCUGAUCCUCAUCAUACUAUCCUGGUGUCGGAACGUGACACUCCGAUCCUCAUCAUACUAUCCUGAUGUCGGAACGUGACACCCGAUCCACUAACCUCAUUCUUUUAGUUCAUCAAGCCUUCUUUUAUACCAAAGCAUCAUCAUUAACAAAGAGGUUUUCAAGAUUUAGUAUUCAAUUGCCUCAUCAUACUUAUUUUAUCGUAUUUAUAUAAUCACAUCAUGCAAGCACACAAUUAAGCAUAUAAAAGGGUUUACAAUACUACCCAACACAUAUCAUUCGCUAUUAAGAGUUUACAAUGAAAUAGUGAAAAAACCAUAACCUGCCUCCACCGAAGAAUUCGUGAUCAAGAAAUCUACUUUUCCAAAGCUUUGCUUUUCUCUUCGUUCUCUCCUGUUGAUCCAUCGUUUCUCCCUCUCUCUGUUCUUUCUAUUUUUCUUAUUCAAACCCUUUUUCUUUUACCCUAAUUAACAUAUAAUAAAGUAUAAAAGAUGACAAAAGUAACCCACUAAUUAACUCAAGGUUAUCUCCUUUAACCCCAAGUAAUUCAAUUAUUAACAUUAAACCACUAACUUUAUAAUUAUAAGCAGGAAUAGUCCAAAACGCCCCUUAAAACAUUUAACAGAAAUCCGACCCAGGCAGGGUUACGCAGACUGUGACGGCCCAUCGUGCCUGCGACGGUCUCUCCUGCUGCUUCCGUCACAAAGUUCAGAGACUCAAUUCCUUGAAGAGUCUGUGACGGCCCGUCAUGCCUGUGACGGUCCGUCCUGCCACUUCGUCGCGAAGUUCAGAGAGUCGAUCUCAGUACCCAAAUUUCAGAAUUCUAAGUGUUUUGGAACGAGACACCCUCGACGGUCCGUCGUGCCCAUGACAGUCCGUCGUGGGAUCCGUCGACUCCGAUUGUUAUUACAAGAAAUACUUUACUACUCAAAACGACUAAACAGGUCGUUACACUUUAUUUCCACGGGCUAAGCACAUGAGGAGGUUGGACACAAUCUCUUAUCAAAGUGCUUAAAAUAGUUUUCAAAUAAUUAGCUAAACAUAAAUUAUUAUUUUUCUAAAAACUGAUUUUAAAAAAAGUGUUUCUCAAAAUAAGAAUAUUUCGGCCAUUUGAGCUAGAAAUGAAGAAUUACUUGUAUAGCUAUAUCCAUGUGUUCAUAAUGCUUUUAAUUGGAUCAGAGAUAGUCAAUUAAGUAAAGUCGUUAAUAUGGGCUAGGCCCAUUGGGUCGGUCUGACCUAACUCGUGAUUUAUUAAGGGUGAAUUAUGAUUUACGGAGUUCAUUUAAGAAAAAGAGUUUUUAGCCCAGUCUGAAUAAGUUUGUGGACUUGUGGGGCUUGAAAAAUAUAGAUAGGGUCAGUUCAUGGACCAAAUAAAUACUAAUUAAAAUUAAAAAUUAAAUAGAGUAUUAACAAAUAACAAGAAUUUAAACUCAAAAUUUGUUUAAAGUUCGGAAUAUUACAAUUUAAAUGCAAAUUAUGUUUAUAAUAACAUAUGUACUACAUAAUCAAAAACUACCUAAAAUUUCUAGGGAAUUAAUAAAUAGGUCGUAACCUAUGGAAUAUUGUCAUAAUUUUUGUGUUUUAUUAUGAUCAUUGAAAAACAAUUAGGUUCGUAUUUCUAUUUAGUUAUUUAUAUUUUUAUUUGAAAUCAAACAUAAUAAAUGUUAUAAAGAUAAUGUUAUUUGUGGAUUUAGUUAACAAGCACUAACACUAACACUAACACCACGUAAUAUUGUCUUAUCGAUAUUUAUGAUAAUAUUUUUAAACUAUAAUUUAAUUUAAAAAAUUAGAAAAGAAAUAUUUCAAAACCCAUAAAUUUUCAAAGUCUGCAUGAAUUAGCUCUGAUGGGGUGAGUCAACCCAUAUGGACAGCUCUACAAUUAAGUUGUCUUGUUAGUGUCCGAGGAGCUCAUAUUGACUCCUUAUUCAAGGUUAAGUACUUGACACAUGAUUAAUUGGUGUAGUGGAUAAGUAUUUGCAAUUUAUUGUUUCUUGAAAUAAUUUGUUUUUUCUAUUUUUCUUAUCUCGUGUUUUCUUUGCUUGUGAGACCAUUGAACAUUUUACUUAUUUUCUAAUCAGAUUUAUCUUUGUUAGAUUUUGAAUCAAGAAACAAAUAUUUAAAAAAAUGGUACGAAUUUGCUUAUAUAACGAUAAAAACUUUAAUUUCUAUCACUUUUAGUCAUCUAUCCGAAAGGAUAUGGAAAUCAAUCACAGUGAUAAGUCUUUUCUCUAAAGAUUUGUUUCUAGCAAGUUGUUUAGACAAGAUGAAAGAAAAUAUUCAUGUUAUUACUACUAAAUUAGAGAAGAUCUUUUCAUGUGGUUACUUUGAUGUGAUAGAGCAUUUUCCAGUUCACCUUGUACAAGAGCCCCGCUUCGGAUGUCUAGUUCAAACAAUAUGGAUAUAUCCAUUUGAGAGGUGAUAUUAGAAUAUUCACAAGUUUUAUUAACUAAGUUUAUUUUUUCUUUAUUAACAUAUAUCAUAUAUUAUUAAAAGUGGAAACAAAAAAGUUAAAAAUUGAAAUAUACUUAAUAAAAAUAUAUAAAAUAGUUAAUCAAUUAAAUAUUAAAUAGUUGUUGUUAUUAUUAUUAUUAUUAAAGUGAAAAGGUGUUAAGUCGAAAAUUAAAAGAUGAAAAUGUUCAUAAGAAAUUGUUGACAUUCUUAUCCUUUUUAAAAAAAAAUUAUUUACAUUUUUUUAAUUCAAAAGUGUAUUUAUUUUUAUUUUUCUCCUUCAAUUUACUUAACAUAUAUAUAUAUAUAUAUAUAUAUAUCAUGAACAUUUUCAUAAAGUAACAUACAUUCAUCUUAAUGCAUUAAAUGAAUAACAAACUUUUUUAUUAACUUUACAUGUUGGAAUAUAAACAAGCACUAAAUUUCAAUAAUUGAAACCAUUAUUUUUUUUAUUGCAUUAACACUUACAAAUAACUACAAUCCUAAAUCCUAAUACUCCAACCCCCUUAUUUCUUUGCUUCAUUAAUAUCAAUUAUCUUCUUUUUUUCACGGAUCUUUAGGUAUCCUUUUCAUUCUAUAGUUAAAGUGAUGAAACUUCUUUUUUAUUUUAUUGAUUCAUACUUUAGUUGGACUCAAGAAAGAAGGAUCUUGAAUUUUUAUUGGCUGUAAUAGAAGCAGUCAACGAGAAGUUGGAAAAUUAUGUACUAUUUAUGUAUUUUUGCUUACAUCUAUAUAUAUUGUAUGAUUAAAGAUUUAAGAAAGAUGAGUACAUUGUAUUGUUUUAUUUUAUUUUGUAUUUUUAAUCUAUUAAACUUUGAAAAAUUAACUUUUUAUAAAUUUCUGAUUGAUCAGUUAUUUGUAACUUUAUUGAAAGUUUGUUAAUUACUAAUCAAAAUUCAAAACUUACUGUUGAUUGCUUAAAAGAACUUGAUUUUAAAUAUUAAGAUAUGCUCCUUAGUUGGUACUAUUUUCCAUAUUCAAAGAUAUGUUAGUAAUUAUUGCAUUUUAUUAUUUACAUGCAUAUUUUCAUAAAAUUUUAAUUAUUCUAACAAAUUUAUCAAAAUUCUACUGAAAUACACAUGUAACACACUUAUUUAGAAACUAAUAGUAUUAUCUAAAAAGGACUAAAGAGAAAAAAAAAAAGACAUGUUGUGCAUGGAGCGUGUGCAUAAAAUCACAUUAAUUUAUCAUAUUUAAGCAAUAAAUUGAAGUGAUAGUACAUAUAUUCAUUAAUCAUAAUUAGUACAAAAGGUACAUAUAUAGAAUUAGACUUGAUUUAAAUUAAUCUAUAGUGUUAAUGGUUUUUAGGGUUGUGUAUCGGCCGGUUCGGUUUUGAAGUUUAUUGAUUUGAUUUAUUGGUUAUCGGUUUGUAGAGAUGCUAAACCGUUAUAGAACCAUUAAGAUAUUGGCUUUUAUGUUAUUGGUUUAUCGGUUCGAUUCAGUUACGUUUUAACUUUUAAGAUUUGACAGAAAAAAAUCAUUGAAAAUCACUUAGAAACCAGGUGACAUACCAGAUAAACUAUGCACAUGAGUUUACAAGUAACAUUUUGUUCAAAAGCAAAACACUUUUACACUAUAGAAAGUGUUUGAGACAACCAAAAAUAAAAGUAGGAAAUCAAACUCUAAGUCAAGAAAUUUAUAUACAAGACGGUAUAAACAUAAUAAAAAAGCAAAGGACACAAAUCACAUACUUUAAAGGCAAAAUUACCAUUUGUCCUUGGGAAAAGGGUCUGAUAUACCCCUCAACUUUGUCAUUUAGAGCUGAUAUACUCCUUGUUAAGAAAGUGGCUCAUAUAUACCCCCUACUUGUAAACAAAUGGCUCACAUAUACCCUUUUCCUCUAACGGAAAUGAAAGAAAAAUUUAAAUCUAAAUUUUAAUUAUUUUUUUCUAAAAAAAUAUAAUCCCAUAUGAGUAAAUUUAAUCCUCGUCAAACAUAUUUUUUUGACUUUUUUUUAUUUCAAUUACUAAUUUAUAAUUAUUAUUUUAAUAAUCAAAUUUAUUUAUGUUUCACUAAUAUUUUUGUAAAACUUAUUAUAGAUGACCAUAUUUUUUCUUCGAAUACGAAUUUAAAUUACAAUACACACAAAAAAAAUUAUUUUUUUAUUCUUUAAACUAAGGAAUGAAAGAAAAAAAAAUAAGAAUAAGAAAUUCAAAUAAUUAUAAUAAAAGAAGUCAAAAAAUAAUUUAUGUGUGAAAAAAUUUAAAAUAUACCUUGAACUUUGAUAGAAGAAUCAUAUAUACCCCUAAAUAAUUUUUUAAAAAAAAUUAGAAGUAAUAAAUAUAAAUUUUAAAACUAAUUUUUUAACUUCCAUUAAAUGAAAGUUAUAUGUGAGCCAUUUUGUAACGGUAAGGGUAUAUGUGAGCCGUUUGUAUAACGGUAAGGGCAUCUAUGAGCCACUUUUAUAAUGAGGGGUAUAUCAGCUCCAAAUGACAAAGUUGAGGGGUAUAUCAGACCCUUUUCCCUUUGUCCUUUAUAAGUUUAUAAUUAUAUAAAUCUCUCAAACUGAUACAAAAAUAGUGCUGAUAUAUUACUCUGAUGCGCGAGAUACAUUAAUCGUUAACUAAGAUACUACAUUUAUACAUGAUACACUAAUCUGAUACAUUAAUCGUUAAGUAAGAUACGUUACAUUUUAUACAUGAUACAUUAAUUUGAUGUGCGAGAUACAUUAUUUUGAUGCGCUAAUACAUUAAUCUGAUGAGUGAAAAUUAGAGAUUAUGGGGAUUUAUAAAACUAAUAGGGGAUAAUGGUAAUAAGAGAACUUAAAGGUGGGAUUUCCGUUAUUUUUCCAUUAUUUAAAUUUUCUAUGGGGUUAAUUAUCGGUUAACCCGUUAAGAAAUAUUUCAAACCGUUAAGAAUCGAUAACCCGAUAAUAAAAAAAUCAAAAACAUUAUCAAAACCACUAAACAAUAACUUAAAACUGAUAAACCAAUAACUUUUUUUUAUUCGAAUUAUCAGUUUCGGUUCGAUUUUGAUCCGUUCAAAGAAAUGGUAGUGCCUUUGAAAAUUCUUAAGCAGUCGUUUGGUAUAGAUAGAUGUGAUAAACAAAAAUAUUCCACCAUAGUCCCAAUAGUUACAACUUGUGAAUUGUUGAGCUUUUCUUGUUUAGACAGUUCCUUUUUAAUUUUCUUUCUACAAUAUGUAAUCUGUCUUCUUCUUCUUUCUUUUCUACUCCUCUGAUAGUUUAGUCUAGAAACAGAGCAUUCUUCUUCUUUUGCAGCACUCACAUUUGACGAAGAUUUUUAUAUUGAUUUAACAGAUCUACGGAGUUAAGAGUUGUCGAUUGUUGAUACUAACUCAAAUCUUACAAUUUUGUUUUUAUCUGACAAUGCACUUUCACUUUCUUUUUUUACACUAGUCCUUUACUUUGUGGUUUAGAAUUAUUAUUUUUUAUAAAAAUAUUUUCUUAUACAUUAUUUGGAAAAAACAUCCGCUUAAUGGUGGGAGAAUUUUUGCAUAUGGUCACUCAAAAAUAAGUUAAUUAUGUUUUAUAAUUAUAGUUUGUUAAUCACGAUUCGUAGCUAAACGUUAGAGGGAGAAGAGAGACUAGUGAGAGAGGGUGGAGAGAGGCGAGCGAGAUUGGGAGAGGGAGGAGAGAGAUGAGUGAGAAUACAUAUGCAUUUGUAUAUCUGGUGAGCUAGAGUGGGAGAGGGAGGAGAGAGACAAGAGAUAUUGGAGAACGAGGAGAGAGGGUAGAUAAUGAAGAGCGGCUAUAUAUAUAUAUAUAUAUAUAGAUAUAUAUAUAUAUAUAUAUAUAUAUAUAAUUUGCAUUUAAAUAUGUAUAAGCGACGUAAUGACAGGUUAAUUAGGUUGUGAGUUGUAAUUGAUUCAAACUAUAGCUAUGUUAACUAAUUAGCUAGUAUAUGUUUGUUUAUCCGCAUAAUUUUGCCUUAAUGUUAGCUGCAAAUCAAUAUUGAGGCCCAUAACCUCACUUGGUUAGAGCGUCGUGCUACUAACGUGAAGGUCGCGUGUUAACUACGUUGCUUUUUGGGGGGAAAACUAUAAAGAAAUCGAGAGACAUCGUCACAUUAUUCAAGAAAAUAUUUUUUAUUAAAAAAAUAGAAAGCAAAGCAAUCUUCUGAUGUUUUCCGGUGCUCUUUAAAAAGCGUCGAGCCAACAAGCAACAAACUUGACUGCAUCAUUUUUCCGUGGAUUUUGACCAAACAGGCGACACAAUCUGUCGCUUUUGGUCAUCAUUUUUCUCUAAUUUUUAGUAAUAAUGUUCUUUUGGAGAAAUAUUAUGUAAGGCUUGCUCCAUGAACCAAUCUAUAGCCAAUAAUGCGAUUGUAAGGGUUGUUUCAUGUAGAAGUAGUAUAAUCGAAUAUGCGAGAUCAUGGACAAAGACCCAUUUGUCACAUUAACAAAGUAAUUGAAUCCACGUCAUAAAACGAUUCAACAUCGAAUAACAUCUGUACAUAUUAUAUACGUCAUGUAAAAUAGUUGAAUAAAACAAUUGGUUGAAACUGAACAUACUUAACUAAAUAAAGAACUCUAAAGAUAGAUUAAAAUAAGGUCAACCGAAUAAUAAAACAUACUUGUAUACGUUAACAACAAGACUUUAAAACUGAAUGUAUGCAAUAACAGGGAAUACUUAAUAUAAUAUUGACUUUACUUUCCUUGGAAAGUCUCUCUAAUCGACAGUCAUUACUUUGAGCAUCAUGAUGGUACAAUGUCUUUUUUCUGUAGACAGAGUCAUCCUAUAUCUUGUCAAGAUAAAGAACGAACUAAACUAAUAGAUCUAAUCUCUAAUCCCUAACUAUGAACUUUCUGAGGAAUUACCUGAAUCAAAGACACGACCUUAUUAUAUAUUGGUGGUGCAAUUAUGGGGUUCGAAUCAUAUGAACUCUUACUCAACUCAGUGUUAAAUACUACUAUCAAAAUAACGUAAUAUUAUUCAAUAAUUGUAUGAUAUCCCAUUUAAGAAAGAAAUUUCAUUUUAAGAGAAAAAAAAACAAAAAAAUUGAUACUCUAAGUUUAUGCUUAAUAAUACUUUUUUAGAACUAAACUUUAAUAAAACUUGACUAUGCUUUUUUAUAAAGUUGAUCAUGUUUUAUUUACGAAUAUAUAUAUUCUUUCUUUCGGAAAAUAUGCAUCAUGAUGUUAAAAUAUAUUAAAUUUUUCUUAAACAAUCACUUGAAGAAAAAUAUGUUCUUGAAACUUUCUAAAAUAAUGCACUUCAAUCAAAAUAUACUUUCUUGAACUUUUACUUGAAAGACUUCUUUAAAAUUUUGAAGCUUACUUUACUCAUGAAAACAAUACAUACAAAUGACCAUGACAAGGUUUUCAAAUAACUUUUAGCUAGAAAGGGUCCAUUAGCAAAAUCAGCAUGAACCAUAAAUCGAAGAUCAUAAACUAUAUAAAGUACUAUAAUUUCAAUAGUUAAAUCAAGAAUCAAUUCAAUACACAAAUACAGCAAUUUGAAAAUCACAAACUUUGGGGUAAAAACUUAGCUUUGAUCAUACUAACUGAAAUUGUAGAUACAGGGCGUGGAGAAGAAUUUAGUUCCCCACUAUGAUAGUCUUACUUAACUUAAAUGCUUCACAAAAAUCUGGAAGAAGAACCUUAACCGGAUGAAGAGUCUUUUCUUGAAAUUCUUGGGUUCAUUUUUUGAAAAUCCCAUGUUUUUUAUGGUAGAUUCUUGCUUAGGAUACAUAACUAGAAGUCAAAAUCACUAAAAAUUGUGAGAGUGUGCUUAUCUUGAUUCUCAAGGAAUAAUUCGUGAUGUUUUUUCUCCAAAAUUCAAUUCUAGGAAUUCUCAAAUCCUAGAAUUGAAUUUUUUAUAUUCACUAAAUAUAUAAAGAGAAUUUGAUGUUUGAAUCUUAUUGAAAUUUUUGAAUUUAUGUUUUAAGAUCAUAGAAAGUACUUACCGUGACUUAAUAGGGUUUAAGCGAGCUCUUGGGAGCUGUUGGGAUAGACCAAAUAGUAAAAAGUGUGGAAAAAACCUCAAAAUAUUGUUCUUGUGAAAUCUUAAAACACUGAUAUACAACUAAUAUAUAUGAUAUACAUGGGCCUGUAGAAUGAUACACAACUCAUGGAUUGGUUGUUUCUUGGAAUAUAUACGAGAACUUUAAGUUCAAUUGCAUGAGCUAGAACCACUUGCUCCUUGCAUUCUUUUAAAGUUCAUCAUGCACCAAACAUGCCCCAGAGAAUGUCUUCCUCAAAAGUGGUCGUACCCAUGUUGGCAUACUCUUGUUGGGUUUAAGUUCUCCCUACAAAUAUAAUCAUUAUAAUAAAAUAGAUUGUGAUAUUUUCAGUUGAUCUGAUUGAAAGCAAAUAGUUUUUCUCACGUUACAAAAUAUAGUAAUUUUACCUAAAGUAAUAUCAUCAUCAAGUAUUUAUAGUACAAGAAAAGGAAUAAUGUACAAGUACCCCUUCAACUUAUGUCCGUCUAUUGAGGUUCUAUUAUCCCCUGAACUUAUUUUAUUAAUAAUUUUCUAUCCCUUUUCAGCCUACGGGGCACUAUCUUGUGGUCAAACGCUGGUUGACUUUUUUUUCAAGCUAGUGCAACAUAGAUCGAAAAGGGGUAGAAAAUUAUUUAUAAAAUAAGUUCAGGGGGAUAAUAGGACCUUAUUAUUAUAGUAUAAGUGUGUCUCUUAGAUUUCGGACAUAGAUUGAGGGGGUACUUGUACAUUUUGGCACAAGAAAAUAAAAAUACUUAUCAGGCUAAGUAUCUCUUGAAAUACUCUUUCUCAUUUAUUUGUUUUUACCUGAAGUAAUAUCUUCAUCAAGUAUAUAUUUUGUGACAAUUCUUUUGUUGUCACUAAAUCAUAGAUUGAUUAGAGAAAAUAAAAUAUUUGUCACCAAUUAUUUAUAUUACUAGUAAAAUUACCCGCGCUUCGCGUGAAAAUUUAAUAUCAGAGAAUUUAUAAAAUAAUAUUAUAAAUAUAUCAGUUAUAUCAAAAAGAAAACACUAUGUUAUCUCACAUACAAGAUUACGUGGUAACAAAAAUUAAUAAUGUAAAGUAAAAUGAAAUUUGUUAUAUCUUAUCAUUUAUCCUUAAUAACAUAAGCACAAAUUAAUGACUGUAAAAAAAUAUACCAAAAUCUGUAACAUCAGCAAUGGCGUCAAUGAGCUACUUAACAGGAACAAAGUACAUAAAAAAUUAGUUGUGACGAAGCAGAAGAGGUUUAGAAUUUUCAUUGUUAUAAAAUGAGAGGAAAUCCCUCUAUUUAUAGACAACAAAGGCUAGUACACAAAUAUUUAUCGUACCUUAGCAGAAAUAUUACAACUAUUUGGAAAAGUUGCAAUCUUUCGAAAAGGUCAUAACCUUUCAUAAAAAGUCACAACUUUUCAUAAAAGUCGCAACUUUUCAUUAAAGUCGCAACUUUUCAUUAGAGUAGCAACUUUUCACUAAAGUCGCAACUCUACAUAAACUUUUUGUAAAAGUCACAACUCUUCGUUGAAGUCACAACUCUGCAUAAAAAUCACAACUUUUCAUAAGGGUCACGAUUUUUCAUGAAAGGGAAAGGCUAGUUUUGAAAAUAAAUAAAUUCAAAAAAAAAUUUAAUUUUUGAUGGCGCCACAUAGGCGAGUCUAAGUUUUCCUUUAUAUAUAUAUAUAUAUAUAUAUAUAUAUAUAUAUAUGAUAUAUGAUAUAUGAUAUAUGAUUAGUGACGAAAUAAGUGUCAUAAAUAUAUAUAAAUUUUCAUAGCUAAAAUUUAUAAUAUUUAACUACAAACUCUAAUUUGUCGAUAUUAUAACAACGUAUAUUUUUAGAUGAAUUUUUUAUAUCCAAAACUUAAUUAUUAUAAGACAAAAAAUAUUUUUUUCAUAAAUUAGAUACAUUAUCAGUGACGAAAUAAUGUGUCACUAUAACUUCAAAUUUGUGACUAACACUUCCUAACAAAUGUCGCCAAUUAAUUUUUUGGUGGGAAACUUCAGCGGACAAAACUUUGCUACGAAUUUUUAUAUUUCGUCACUAAAAGUAUGUGUUUCAUAUAUUUAAGCACGAAAAGUAAAUUUUGUCACUAAAAGAAAAUAUUUAGUGACGAAUUUGAUGUCGUAGUUUGUCAUAAAUUACAUACACUAUUAGUGACGAAAUAAUGUAUCACCGAUAAUUUUAAAUUCGUGACUAAAAUUACUUAAAAAAUGGCGCCAAAUAAUUUAUUAGUGGGAAACUUUAGUGGACAAAAAUUUUCUACGAAUUUUUAUGUUUCGUUACUAAAAGUAUGUGUCUCAUAUAUUUAAGUACGAAAAGUAAAUUUUGUCACUAAAAGAGAAUAAUUAGUGAUGAAUUUGAUGACGUAACUAAUAAUUCAUAAGUAUAUAUCAUAUUUAUUGUAGUGUAUGGCUGCGAAGGUGGUAGAUACUCCGACGGUGAUGGACGAGACAAUGGUAGUUGUGGUUGUGGUGGUGGAGGCUGCUACAAGUGUGGUGAGUACAAUCGUUAUGCAUGUGAAUCCACCAAUGGUGGUCAUUGAUUGUGACUUUAAGUCUGACUGCUACUAAAAAAAUUAAUCAAAGGAAUUUUUGUAUAUAGAGAGAGUCAUUGAGUGAAAAAGAAAAGAAGAGAAGUGUGAUUUGUAUAGUUAUUUUUCAAAAGGAUACAUUUAAUUUUGUCCACUAAUUAUUCAUUACAUUUGAAAAAAUAAUUAUUGACUAAUAAUAAUAUAGUCAAUACUCUUAAGAUCCGUGAAUUUUGACUAGGAAAAUUUUCUUAAGGUCCAAUAAGUAAUUUACUUAUCAAAAAGAAUAUUUCAUUAGUCAUAAGUUUAUAAUCAACCAAUAAUAUUCUCAAGUAAGUGAAUCACUAAAAGGGAAUUUAUUAGUUCAGUUACAACUUGUAGUAUCUUUGAAUAUAAUAAUUUUUUUAACAAAAUAAGUAAAGAUGACAUGUGUUGUAAAUAUAUAAUUACCUUGUACCUUCAAUUUCUCCUUUCUUCAUUAAUUUUUUUCAAUUUCUUGCUUGAAUUAUUGAUUUAUUACAUAAAUCAGAUCUAAUGACUAAGAUAUAAUUUAUCAAAGUACAUAUUUAAUCAUAAUUUAUAUAAUAAAUAUAUUACAUGUAAGGAAAAAAAAUAGUUCUCUUCCUUUUUGUUUAUCUUUCACGCAAAAUAUUAAUCUUUCAUUCUUAUUUUACAUUAAUCUUUUAUCGCAUUUUUAUUUGAGACUUUUUGUUUAAUAUUUGUUGUAUUUAAUAUACCUAGGAACAUGGGCUCCGUUUGAAAAAUAAAUAAAUUAUGGAAAAAAAAAUUUGGCCAGAAAAGUUUGUUCAUAAUUUGGCUAUAAUAGUAAAAGCACAUGUUCACACUAUGAACUAGUUUGUUUUUGAAUAUUUUUACACUUUAACUCAAAUAAAGAAUAUUCUUCAAUUAUAUUUCCAAUGCAUUGGAAAUGAUUGAUGAGAUUAAUUAUUUAUGAUUCUAUUUUUAAAUAUUAAAAAUGAACCACAAAAUAUAUCAAUCAAAAACAUCAUAAGUAUCAGCCACCCUUCUCUCUUGAAAUUUUCAAUAUCUAAAAAAUUAUUUUACCAAAAAUAUUAAAAUUAUAAGCGUAGUAAAAAACUAUAUAACCAAAAAAAUGUAAACAACUAUAGUAUCUCUGUUUUAGUUUCAAAAAUUCCUCCUAUUUACUUUUUUUUACAAAAAAUUAUUUAUUUUCUAUUUCUGAUGCCUUAUGAUAAAAAAGGAAUAUUUUAAAAGUAUAAAAAGAGGAAUAAAGUGUAGAUGAUCUAUUUUACUUUAUAUUUUCUAAUCUAAAAAAAUAUAUUAUAUCUAAAUUUUAAUAUUAAAAUUUUUACUUAAAAUUAAUAAUCUAAAAUUAAUCGAGUUGGCAAAAGAAUUACUUCUAUUUAUUUGAAGGAGUUGUUAUUAGAUAUCAAAUUUUUAGAAAGAAGUUAAAUAAUAAAAGUAGAGUAUAUUUUAUUAGAUUAUACUUAGAAUGUAUGUGAGUGAAAUAUGAAGAAAACUGAAACUACAAUAAUAUGUCUCGUAUUAUGUAUUUGUCUUCAUAUCUCAAUCUAAGAUGAAUCAUAUCAUAAUAAAGACUCAUCAAAAUUAGUAGUUUUUUUUAUUUGAGUAGUAGAGAUGCAUACAAAUAUUAUUUGGAUAAAAGUGUUGAUGGAGCUUCAUUGAAAAGUUAUAUAACAUCGAAAGAAUAUAGGAAAAUCUUUAUAAUUUCAAAAUAAUCUUUUCUAAAACUAAAUUGAAAGAAAAACAUCUUUAUAGUUCUCCGAUGAUAAUGACAUUACCGAUACUUAAAUAAGCUCUAAUUAAAUAAUCUGAUUAAUUAUUGUGUAAACAAAUGUAAAUUAUAUAUUAUUAUUUUUAAUAUAAUCUGAAAAAUAUUACAAUAAAGACAGUCUAAACUCAAAAUGCUUUUAAUAUAUUAUACAAAUCAUAAAAUUCAUAUAACUUAUGAGUAUCAAUCCUAAUUAAUUACACUAAACAUUUUUAUAUAAUAUAUAUUCAAUCAAAAAUAGACCCUCUAUAUUUUGAAUCAAACAUUCACGUCCUCUAUAUUACAAAAAUCAUAAAAAAAUUUAUCCACCAAUAAUGUUAUUUCUAAUUUCCUAACAACAUAUAUAAAUAUUGUAUAAUAUGAAUGUUCUACAUAAAUGAAAUUCUAUCUAACUAAUUAUAUAUACAUAAUUCUAAAGCAAGAAAAUAAAUAAAAAGAAAUUAUGCAUAAUAAAUAUUGCAUUUAAAUAAAAUUAUAAAUAAAGUACGUAUUUAUAAAUUACACAAUUGAAACAAUAUUUCAUAAAGGUUUUUAUUUUUUAUUUUUGUUGAAAGUGAAGUGAAGUCAAAAGGAUUUUAUAUUUGUAAAACUUUUAUUUGUUUGAAACAAGAAAACCCAUUUGAACAUAAGAAGAGAUUGAAAACUUUUAUCAAAACUAAAGCAUGAGAAGUAGUAAAAGCAAAAUAAAGCAAAAGACGGUGGUAAAUUAUAUCUAAAAUGCAAAGUAACUGAUUCGAAGAGUAAGGCAGACUGAGUUAUGUUGUUUAACAAAUUCUAAGCGAUUCGAGAGAAUUAAUUGUCACUAGAAUUCUGAAAACAUUAAACGUCGUACACAACAAGUAACAAAUGUAAAUUACAAUAGGUAGUUAAGAGUAAAUAAAAGAACAUUAAAGAUACGCAAAACUUAUUUAACAAAAAUUACUAAUAGAGAAAUGAAUGUAUGUCUCUUCCUCGCUUCUUAACUUAGACAAAUUUUCCAGAUUUUUCCUUUCUUUCCAAAAAUGAAUAUUUUUAAUGUUUUAGUUUAUUCUUAGCUAUUUCAAAUUGUGAUAUGUUAUACAACUCAACAACAAUACUAUAACAAUUACAUAUCCUCAACAACAAGCUAUUCAUCAAUCAAAGUUUCACAGAAAGGCACUCACAAGAUCAGUAAAACACAAUAUCAAUUUCUCUAAUGAUAAAUAUGUGCAAUGUAAUGGAAUGCAAAUCAAAUUUAGUGAUGCAUGUCUCACAUAGUGAUACACACCCGUUGUCUCUCAUUCUGAGACCCAUGAGGGAUAUAUCUGUACAUGCAUCUAUCGUGGCACGCGAUACGAUCCUCGAUAAUAAUAAUCACUGCAGCGCAUUAUACGUCCUUUGAAAUAUAGUAUCCAUCACAUCUCGUGAUACAUCCCUCGAAAUGGUAAAACCUCUUUAAUUUCUAUUCUUUAUCAAUUCACAUAACAUUUAUCACAACCAUGUCCUUGAACAAUGCAAAUGACAAAUUCACACAAAUAAUGAGGAUAUGACCAUUUUCAUAACAUUGCAAAAUUCACAACAACACAAUCAUGAUACAACAUAAAGAAUGAUUCAACAAGCCUUUCAAGCUUUUCUCAAUACAUCGCACACAAAUAAUUAAUCACAUUGCUUUUUAUUAUCCAUUUUUCAUCAUUAGAAUUAAUCAAUGUGGACAAGUCAACCAUCGCCAAGUUUCAUUAUCCCCAAAUACAUAUUAUAAGGAAAUACCCGAGUCCCAUACACUUAACAAGGGUUUAGAAAUUCACUUGUCUCAAUCAUUCAAUCCACUCCGAGACUUGAGUCUUCCCCUUUCGUUGAACUUCCAACUCAAAACAAUCUAUUCAAAUAAAUUACCACUAUAAGAUUUAAAACUAACAACAUCAUAUUACUAUGUGUCUAGUUUAGAAUAAAGAACUUAUCCAAUCUAAAAUUACUUUAUCUAGUCUUGAUGCUAAUUAACAUGUCAACUCUUUCAAUUUUUGUUCAGUUUUCAAGUCUAGGGUUAUGUACUAGUUUCUCUGGAAAUAACACAAGUCUAAAGUUAUUCACAAAGUAUAAUACAUUUAAUAUAUAAUUAUCUAUCUCAAUAUAUCAAAACUUGAAUUACAUGUGAUGCCGCCAGUUUCCUUGCUUUUAUUUCCUCUUAAAGUUAGGAUCUAAAAUUGUUAACCCCUAUCAUUUAUAUUAAUAAAUAUGGGUCAAGUGGUAUAGGGUUUUAAAUGAAUUUCAGACUUUACCCACUUGCUUUUAUUUCCUCUUAAAGUUAGGAUCUAAAAUUGUUAACCCCUAUUAUUUAUAUUAAUAAAUAUGGGUCAAGUGGUAUAGGGUUUUAAAUGAAUUUCAGACUUUACCCAUUAUUAUCAACUAAAUAAAUGUAUAUCAUUUAAGAAAUUGUAGUUAUCAAAUACUUUAAAAUUCUUAAAUCAACAUCGCCAAUUAAUAUAAAUACGAAAAAGGCUCAAAAAUAUCCCUAAACUAUUCGAAAUAACUCAAAGUUACCAUUAAACUAUAUUUCGGCUAAAAACUACCUUUUCCGUCAUACUAUUGGGUCAAAAGUAUCCUGUUUAUUAACGGAAGUUGUUAAAUGCCAUGUGGAUGUCAUAUGGAUACCACAUUGCAUGCAAAUAGGGUUCAAAUGCCACAUAGGCUAAACAGAAAAGGGUCAAAAAUACCCUUAAACUAUCCAAAAUAGCUCAAAUAUACCCUUAAAGUAUAUUUCGGCUAAAAAUUACCCUUCCUAUCAAACUAUUGGGUCAAAAGUACUCUUAUUAGUAACACAAGUUGUUAAAUUUCAUGUGGAUUCCACAUUGCAUGCCAAUAAGGUUCCACUGCCAUAUAGACUAAAUUUCUAAAUUCUAAUUACUCUCCCCCCCACCUCAUUUCAUUAUUUUUCUGAAAUGAUUCACCCGUUCUCCAUUAUUUCGCGGCUAGGGUUUCACAAUUUUCUCGUGGCUGGGUUUCAAAGUGGAUAUUCAUGGUUGUAGGUUAGUAAAUCUUUGUUCUUACUUUAUUAUGUUUACUAUUUCAAAGCAUGAUAGUCAGGAUUUCACAUCUUUUCCCUUAUUUCACGGCUAGGGUUUCGUAGCUUUCUUCGAGGCUAAGUUUCAAAGUGGAUAUUCAUGGUAGUUGGUUAGUAAAUAUUUUUUCUUAUUUUAUUAUGUUUACGAUUUCAAAGUAUGAUAGUUAGUAUUUCACAACUUUUCCCUCAUUUCGAGGCUAACGUUUCAUGACUUUUUUCGGAGCUGAGUUUCAAAGUGUAUUUUCGUGGUUGUAAGCACAAUAAAAGAAGAAAAAAGUUUUACUAACAUACAACCACAAAUAUUUACUUAUAAACCCAGUGACGAAGAAAACUAUGAAACCUUAGUCGCAAAAUGAGGGAGAAGGGGGUGAAAUCUUUUAUGCAAAAUAAUGAAAUGAGGGGAAAACGAGUAAUUAAGAUUUAGGGAUUUAGUCAAUGUGGAAGUGGAACCCUAUUGGCGUUCAAUGUGGAAUCCAUGUGGCAUUUAACAACUCUAAUAAGAAGGUCACUUUUGACCCAAUAGUAUGAGGGAAAGGGUAAUUUUGAGCCGAAAUAUCGUUUAAGUGUAUAUAUGAGCUAUUUCUGAUAGUUUAAGGGUAAUUUUAACCCUUUUUCCUUUUUGCCUAUGUGGCAGUGGAACUCUAUUAGCGUGCCAUGUGACAUCUAUAUGGCGUCCCCAUAAUUUCGUUAAUAAGAAGGGCCCAAUAGUUUGACGAGAAGGGUAGUUUUGAGUCGAAAUAUAGUUUAAGGGUAUAUAUGAACUAUUUCAGAUAGUUUAAGGGUAUUUUAACCCUUUUCCGUAUAAAAUAACUAGGGGAAACUAUUGCGAGGGGUAGAAUCGUAAUUCUAUGAAGAUUUCUAAAAUAUGACCUUUUCAGGUCAUUACGUUAUCCACCACUAAAGAUCAUGUUCGUUCUCGAACAUAAGUAAGAGAAAAGAAAGGAUAACCGAUGUUAAUAAAAAGUUGAGUUAUGACCUAUUAGUCAGUGUACAUCUCUCUAAGUGAGUUCUUCAUCGAGACAAUUCCUUCAAGAUCAACUUCUAAUAACUGCACUUUUGAAUCAAGCUUUGACAGACCUACAAAUCAGGAGCUAUUACCAAACCAGACACUAUCACAUGAAUUAAUUAUGAUUAAAACCCCUGGACCAUAACACCAUCAAGACAAAUCUUUCCUCACAUAACCAAUAUGACAUUCUGAAUUAAUACCGGCUACAACCAAAAGUAAUCUUGAACUAACCACCACAUACUCAUAAUGCAUAAACCAUCGGAUAUCUUAUCAAGUUUCUUUUUUCACAACUUAACUUUUCCGCAAGCUUAAGCUAUAAAAAUAUGAUCUUCAGAUAUUGGGUACUCAUCAAGGGAGAAUUAAAUUUAUCUUACCCAAGGAAGAACAAGAUCAAGUAACCACCCAACAAGAGGUACACCCAAGAUGCAGAACCUUCAACAACGUUGUUGAAUAACAUAAUCAUUCAUACAAGCUCUUCUAUAAGUUCUCAUAAGCAAGGUCGUGUGUAUUACUACUACUAGACAUGUACACGUGCGUUGCACGUGUAAGCCAUGCUAACUUAUAAUAUUCUUUCUCGAGAUACAUUUAUGACCUUUAUAUAUAUACUUGUAUAGAUAUUAUAUUGCUUUUACCAAUGAGUAGACAUCAACGUUAAUGUGACAAUUGUAUCUUGUAAGAUAAAAUACGGGCAACAUAUUAUGUAAUGAAUAUAAUAAAAUAUUCAAAUAGAGUUACAUCUUCAUCGACGAAUAUAAGUUGCCAAUCAAUAUCCUUAUCGUUAGCAUUUCUAUACUCUUCUGUUAAGCUCCGUAGAAUGACUAAUACUUAAGUCACCCAUGAUUUUGCAUAUUUCUUCAACUGGCUAAUAGGUAGGCAUUGAUUCUCGAGCUCUUCCACAGUUAUCAUUGUAAGGUUGUAGUAGUUAGGAUGUACUAAUACAUUACAGAUUUGUGUCGUAAAUGUUAAUUUUUUUGUGUCUAAUUGGUGUUCUUUUGGUCGAACAAUAAAGAUGCUGAAGAAUAUAAUAUUCACUAGACAUGCUAAUUCUUCUUUUUUUACUUUUAAAAUCAAGCAACUUCAACUAAUAAUAGUAUAAAUUUCAUGUUAAUUGAAGCAAAUAUAUUCAAGUUGGAUAAACAUUACCAAUUUUAAAGGUGUUGAAAGGAAGAAACCUAUUAAAAGUAUUACAACGCUAAGAGAUAGUAAAUGUACUUAAAAAAUGGACUAGAUUCUCUAAAUCAUUUCACUUUUCUUUUCUUUCUAAUCAAGAUUUUUUUUUCAUUCACAUUUUUGUGCUUUGUAUUUUUUUUGGUAGAACGCAUAUGAGGAAAAAUAAAAAAAAUGAAGAAAGGUGUGUUUGAGUUUUAUAGUGCGUGUAAAUUCACCACUUUUGUGUUGAUUUGUCUUUGGUUUAUUUCCAGAUCUGUUAGCUAUAAAAAUCUCAUCUUGUUUCAUUUCAAGAUUACCCGUUUUGUUCAUUAGCUUGGAGUUAUGAGUAAAGAAGAUUUCUAGAAGAUCCAGGUACUUGUUAUUUCCUCAAUUGGGUCAUCCCAUUAAUGUGUGUGUAUAAAAUUGUUUUUUGGGGGGUUGCUUGAGUUUCCAUUUUAUGAAGUAAUGAGUAUCUGUUUGAAUGAAAGAUCAAAACGUGUUAUGAGUUUAUUCACUUUUGUAUGUGUUUUGUCUUGUACAGUUUGACUGGGUUUGCUUGUGCAUGCAGACUCGUGUCCUUAAAUUCAAUAUACAUUGUGAUGGGUGUAAGCAUAAAGUAAAGAAAAUUCUGCAAAAGAUUGAAGAUAUUUUUCCAAGACUCAAUUUUUUAUUAUCUGAAUAUCCAAAUAUGAUUUAAUAUAUGACUUUUUUUAUUCUUUGUUGGGAUUGUUUUAAAAUGAUUUUAAUAUCCAGGGGUUUAUAAGACAUGCAUGCAUGUCCUAAAUUGACUAAUAUGUUAUUCACAAAUGCUUAGAUAUAAAAGCUCCUGAAAAACAGCUAUCAAGGAGACAAGUUCUUCUACUGAACUGUAUAUAGUCAAAAAUCAUUAGAUAUUUAAAACAUAAGACAUUUACCAUCAAAAAUAAAUAUCGGAGAAACAUUUCACAACUACCAUCAAUACUUUAAUUGAGGUGAUCCUAAUUUCAAGAAUCUAACGGCGUAAAUAUAUUUUCAAUUAGCUUUAAAACAGAGUAAAAGCAUAGAGUCAAGGUGAGGAGAGUAGAUUAACCUUAAUAAAACGACCACACAUAUUCUCCUCUCCAGCAAAGUAAAUCACCUGCAACAUGUAAAAAAACCAAAAAAAAGGACAUAAAAUUUCACUUUCACUAAAACAACAAAACUACAACAGUGCAAAUAUAAUGAUAGAACACAGAAGAAUUUGUUGUAUGAUUGACCAAGAUACUUUUUUUGAAUGGUGAAUAAAAAUAAAAAAUAAAAUUGCAAAUCAAUGAUUGAUAUUGUAGCCUGCAAAAUACAUAUUAAUAUCUACUUCCGAGUCGGGAGCAAAACUACCAAAUAAGAAGGAGGGCAUUCCUCAGCAGAUUUUGACCCAUAAAUUUAAGAUAUUUGAUAAACAAGUUAGUGUAUUGAAUGCAAGAUAAAGGCAACACAUGAGAAUGAAUACAAAUAUUUCUACGUUCGCAUAAGAAGAUGCAACAACAUGUUGGAAUAUAAAUAUAGCAAACUGUUGUUGUUACACUUGCUUCCACAUCUCUAAAAUCAUUCUGUAGAAUUUAAUAUUUAAUACAACUGUUACACUGAUCGAGGGAGGUAGAGGAUAACCUUUACGUUUUUACAGAAUUUAAUUACGGUCAAAUUUAUUUUUUUAAUAAAUUAAUAUUUAACUAAUAAAAUUAAUACUUAACUAAUAAAUUAAUAAGUAACUAAUACUAUAGGGUCAAAAUGGUAAAUUAACUUUGGGAUUAAGUUCUUCCCACUUAUAAUAAUAUAUAAUAAAAAAACCAAAUCUUUCAUAAUACAAAUGAUAAAGUCCGCCCAAGGAUCGUACCGUAUCAAGAGGAAAUAAGAGAAUUAGUGUUACAACCGGGAAUAUUUUUGAGCUAACACUUGAAUUGUUCUUCUUAGUGAGUAAUAUUUUACCAAGUAAUUAAAAAUUUAUCAAGUAUUAAGGUCACUAGAUGUAGCACCUUUAGUUCUAGAACUAACUUCGAAAUAGAAAAAUUUGAAAUUCUCGAGGUUUAAGCUAAGUAUGAGUUUUUGGUCUACUUCAAAUGACCAUAACCCCUAUCACAAGACGAGUUAGGUGUGCUGUAAUAUAACAUGGGAAAUAUCUUUGGAUUAUUUUUUUUAUCCAAUCAAAUAUAAUUCAUUUUAAGAAAGGUUUUAAGGGUCUAAUACUAUUAGGUUCAAUUUUAUAAUCCUUAUAUACACCUAGGUUUUAGUUGAGAGUUCAAGAAGAGAAAAGAGAAGAAAGAGGAUAGGUCAAGUAUUCGUCGCGAGUCUAGUCUUAUGUUGUAGAUUUUCGUCAUGACUUCAAUCCCUAAGAGGUAUGUAAGCUUCCAUGGUGUUGGGUUUGUUCACCCAGGCAAAACAUGUUAAUUUCAGUGUAAUUUCAUUCUCAAAAUGUUAAAUGAUUUAAGUUCUUAAUAGGUGUUCUUGAGAUUCAUUAUAAAUCUUAUCUUGUUGGGUUUGUUCACCCAUACGCGAAACAUGUUAGUUUCAAUGUAAUUUAAUUCUCAAAAAGAUGAAUCAUUUAAGUUCUUGAUAGGUGUUCUUGAUAUUCAUUAUAAAUCUUAUCUUGUUGGGGUUUUGAUGAUCUGUUGAGAUGAAAAUGAUUGUUUUGAGUGAACUUUUAGUGUAUUAUCGUGUACUUAGAUUGGGAAAUUGAAUCUAAAAGAAAAUUUUAGAAAAGAAAUCGAUUAAAAAAAAUUUAGGGUCAGAAAACGAGAGGUGAAAAUUGUCGAAAGCUUACCUGGGGAAAUACUGCCCUGGCACACCCCAGAUGCGCCGAAAGGGAUGGGAAAGCGCGCCGGCAGUGUGCCCAAAUGAUGUCUCUGAAGUUAGGGGCUAUCGCCCUGCACCUGGAACACACAGUGUCGCUUGUCCCCGUUUAUUUUCCGUCGAUUGUCCCGUUUGAGCUCACUCAAAGUGCAUCUUCACUCCUUUUGAUUCUAAACACUUUAAACUACUUCUAAACACUUAUAAAUCACUCAUAACAUUAAUCAUAACCUUUAAUUAAUAAUUCAAGUUCAAGUUAAAGUUAGUAUGAAGUUUUUAGAAUUCUUCGAAACCUUUUGAGAGAGUCCCUGUGAGUCUUUCUGUGGAGUCUUCUACAACAUCUAGUAAAUUAUUUAAAGACUCGAGCAAGUGAGUAUGAGGAUGAAAAGAAUUUAUUCAUGAGUCUACUAUUUUAUCAUGAGAUCCUUCAUAUCACGAAUCGUAACUCUUGAUUUUCAUAUUGAAAAAAGAGUUAAGAGUAGAGUUCAAGAAAUCUUUUGAGUUUAAUUGUGAAUUCUUUGAGAUCAACUAUUAAUUUGAACUAAGAUUUGAGUAAGUAAGUAUGAGAAUGAGAAGAUUGGUAUGCAUGAGUUAACCUUUGAGUCAAGUCGUUCAUGCUCAUAACUUUCGUAUGAACCCCAUUGGUUGAGUACAUUUGAGAUGAGUAGUAUGUUCAAGUUCUAAGUCUUGAGUAUUGAGUUCCUUAUCUUCUUUGUGAUUAUAUUUCUAAUCAUGAAAAUAUUACAUGUUACCCAUGAAGUCCUUGAGUUGAAUUUUCAUGCCCAUAAUUCCGCAUGAACCCUAUAAAUCAAACAAUCUUGAGAUGAGGAGUACCUUUGAGUUCUCAAGUUGAGUAGUCCAUGCUCAUAAUUUUGCAUGAAUCCUCCAAGUUAAAAAUCAUGAAAUCAUCCAUAAUCAUGUGAUCAUGAACCUUUAAUUAAUACUUCAAUUCAAGGAGUUCUUAGAGUCAAGUUUAGAAAUUAAGAAACAAGUCAAAAAAAGUUUGUAAAGAUCUCAAAAGUCUUUUACAAACGUUUUAAGUUUGUUUAAGACUAAAAGUUUCAAGUCAAGCUAAGAGUAAAGAGUUGUGUUCACUUCUCAAAAAUAUAUAGGGAACUCGUAUUCCCAAAGAAUUUAUAAAUGUUUUCACAUUUAAGAUAAGAGAAAACUAAGAUUUUCAAAAGAGUUUUGAGCAAGAAAAGGGAGAAAAAAUUCCAAAAGAGCUUUUAGUCUAAGUGUUGAGAAAUUAUCUUAACUUAAAGAAAGAAGUUGUUUUAAAAACACAUGAGCUAAGUAUAUUUUUAGGAGUAGUAUAGAGCACCGAUAUGGGGAUGAGAGUUCAUAAUAACUCAAGACUCCAUAAAUUAUGUAGUCAUCAUAGAUAUUAAUGGGUCAUACUUUUUAAAUGAUCACAUAAGUGAAGCUAGUAGAUCCGCUAAGUUAAGAGUUCUAUAUGACGGCAAAGUAUAGAACAGUUCUGGCAGCGUGGGAAAGACGUUGUAUCACCACUUAGGCUCAUAGUGGUGGUUGUCGCUUAAAGAAUCUCCCACAGAAACUAUAUUAAUUUAAUAUAUGAGUAAAGAAGAGUUUGUUAUUGCAUUUUCUUUAACGAACUAUGUUAUUUUUAAUGUUUUAUAAAGCUUUCUAUAUAUUGCAUGUGUAUUCUUUCUUUAUAUUAAGUUGACUAUCUAGUGUUGAGUACACAAAGUCGAAUAUCUUAAAUUUGACUUGAGUAUCUAUUCUUUAAGUUGAACAUUUAAUAUUUGAGUUGAGUAUCUUGUCCUUGAGAGUACUUCUGAGUUGAAUAAGUCUGACUGGUUUCCAGUCUCCUUAAGUAUUUCUUAAGUUGAGUAAGUUCCAAAAGUAUAAGUACGUUUCCAUUUCUAACAACUUCAAGCUUAUGUUAUGCUUUAGAUUCCCCUUACAUAUUAAUACAUUCCAGGGGCUGAGCCAUUUGGCUUGUAUCUUUUGAUGAUGUAGACAUAGGUAAUGAGGAUCAUCAACGGGAGUUAGUUGAUACAUCUGAGAGUUUGAGUUAGCUAUGGUGAGCCUCCUUACUUUCGAGGGAUUUCCUUCACUUUUCAGUUUAGUCAGGAUGUCGUGGGUCUUAUCCCGACUUCCAUCCUUAUCAGUUAGAAGCUUUAUAGAUAGUCUGUAUAGUUCAGGAGUCUGUAUUUUUCAUUUAUUUUAUUAAUUUUUUGAAGACUUAAGUUGCCUAUUAUAUGGCGAGUUGAAUACAUUAUUUUACUCGAAGUUAUUCAUUUGAAUUAAAGAUUUGUAUUUCGAUUUAACUAAUUUUUUUCAGUUUUUAAGCUUUUGUAUGCUUAAGUUAGUCUUCCUCUUGUAGUUAGGAAGGAUGAGGGUUCGCUUAGGACCAGAAAUGGUCUUCAAGUGUCGGUCAUGUCCAGGGUGUAAACUCAAGUCGUGACAAUUGGUAUAUCCGAUCCACCAGUAGGGAUUUAACCAUAGAUGUAGAAAUGCGUGUAGCAUAAAUAGUGAAUCACACUGCAAAGAAUGUCCUGUAGAAAAAGGUGGUUCCAUAAGAAUAUACUAAAGUAAGGUAGAAUAACACAAGAUACUCCUUUCAUAGUACUCAUAUCAAACAUUUUCAUUCAUCUUACUCCAUCUCCUUGAUUUUUAGCCAUCAACAAUCAAUCAUUUUGGUCUUUAUUGAAAUCAUUCAUAUACUUUUAUUAUGAAAACCCUACACACUGUCACAAUAUUCCAUUAAAGCUAAAAAUGUUAUUACAAACAAACAUCAUAACCACACCAUCCAUUUACCUUACUCUAAAACCUUCAUGAGUAUCAAAGUCUUCUUAUCAAACAAAUUGUAACCUUAAAAAUGAACUAUUGCUCCAUCUCUUUCCAUUUAAGCAUACCAUGAUAGGCACGGGUCCCACUUGAGGCUGAUAGAACUAAUUUCAAAUCUAACUGUACUCUUCCAUCGAGAUAAAGUUAUUAAAUCACACACAAUAUCGACUCCACAUGAUCUUUCACAUACAAAAUUCCAACUAAUUAACAUUCCAACCUCAUAUAUCGAAUGCCAAAACCUACAAGAAAUUCUAGGUCACUCAAACAAUUUUGUAUACUAUAAGAUCAUAAUCUUUACUCACUAUCAAAUGCAUAACCGUCUGUAUUAUCUCCUGAAAAAAGUAGUUUCAUUUCCCUCGAUAUAUUCAUUAACCAUGUUGAACCGUCAAUCCGCACCAUUAUAUAUCCAUAAGUUACCUAUCAUAAGUUUAACAAUCUAGUUCGGCAUAACCACAUAUAAUCAUUCCAUCAUUACUUGUCCGCUAAAUCAAAAGUAAAUCUUUAUAGAAGUCAAACUAUACCGAAUCAAUUCACAUUCAUAGUCAUAUUAUAACUUAUAUAUGAAAAUCCAUGCACCUUCAACUUCGAACCAAGAGUCUAUAUGAGAGGUCUUAUCCCUUAACAUAUCUUAAUUCUGCCCAUGACACAAAUUUUAAAUACCUUAACCUCUUCAAUAUACCUGAUUUUUUUUCUUUUCACUGACUUUCUUACCAUCAUUUGACCAACAACUCAUGAUAUUUUUACCUUAUCCUCUAAACCAAAACAUUACGUGGAACCCCUCUUAGGUAGAACAAUCAAAAGUAACCCAAUUCAUGAUAUUUUUACCUUAUCCUCUAAACCAAAACAUUACGUGAAACCCCUCUUAGAUAGAACAAUCAAAAGUAACCCAAUUUAGGAUUCAAAUUAUUUUUUAAAGUCCUUCCAAAUGCUUCAUACUCAAUAUAAUCCAUCAUUUCUUAUCUUACCAAUCCAUACCUUUGAAAACCCCACAACCACAAACAUAAACUCAUCGCGAAAACUUGAAUUUUAAAUCCAAUUAUGUAACCCAAUCCUUUUUUUCUAUCAACAUUAGCUCAUACCUUGAUGAUUUUAUGUAACUCAAUCCUUUUAUCUAUCAACAUUAGCUCAUACCUUGAUGAUUCUAUGAAUUCAUGUAUCUUAACUUGUCAUUGAUCACCUCUCCAUCUACUUUAACCAUACUCAUUAUCAAACUCAAAAUCACAAAUGAAUUUAUCAUCACAUCCGAGUUGAACGUCUUUACACUAAUAUCUCAAACUUUAUCGAAUAUUUCUUAUAACCAAUAUGAUUAACUCGUAACACUGUUAUCAUAAGUAGAGAAAAGUGGAUGAAACCACGUGUGUCUAAACUCAAUUUUCUACUAUCUGAAAAUAUAUCUUUUGUCCUUGCACUCAAAGUAAAUAUCUUUGUUCUUGAUAUGCUCUUUUCAUAGACUAAUCAACAUUAUACUAAGUCUUCCCGUUGUAGCUAUAACUCAUUUCACGUCAUAAAACUUUUCAUAAAAUACACUACUUACCAAAUAGUAGAAAAUCAUAACUUCAGAUACUCAUAAGUCAUCAAAUAUAAUACGAAAUUAAUUAAACCAACAAUCCUUACCAUAUAGUUACAUUUCAAUCAUAAUCUAUCACAAAUCCUUAUUAGUGUCAUGCUUAAAUAGUGUUGAUCAUCACCUCGAAGUCAACCUUGUCAUCAACAUGACACCUCAAACCCUGCUAUGCCAGCCAUCCAAAGGACAUACCUAACUUUUUGUAUGUACUUCUUUUGUAAAAUUCUUAAUUGUCUUCACACAGUAAAUUAUUUGAAAAUUUUCUUUAUGCAUAAGAUUUUUAUUCCGAUAUCAAUCCACUACUUUGAAGCUUACAAAGAAAUCACCACUUAUUUAAAAUCGUUAAGAUAUCCUUUACAACCUAAACACAUUAAUACUGUUCCAAAGAUUCACCACUAAAAGCUGCCUUAUAAAUAAUGGUUAACCCAUCCCUCCGUAGUAACAAGGUAGUUGGUUAUGCAAAUACGAAUGCAAUAUCAAAUUUUAUUAUAUUUUCAUGUUUUACAAUUGAUAUUUUCUGCAGUUGUUAGUAUUCACACUUACAAACGACGUAUUCAAUUUCAUAUGACACUAGUACCACAUGCAAAAGUUACACCACUAGAACACAUGAUACCUAUCGUGAAGAUUGUACACAAAUAGCCCACACAUUUCUGUCAAUUCAGUAACUAUAAUGCACUACCAAAUUUGUUUAGUCUCAUCCAAAGUGUUAUCCAUUCAUUCGUAGAUCAGAUCCAUAACUUUAACAAAGUAAGAAUUGGUACCAUUGUGAUAGUCGUAUCAUUAUCCUUUUUAUAUACACUUAAUAUAUAAAAUCGCAGUAGAAAUUCUAAACUUAAUUGAUGUAACAUUGCUCUCAUCAUUCUCUAAGCAACCCAUUCAUUUUAUGACAAAUUUACUAAAUAUAUUUUUCAAGGUUACACUAUUCAUUAUAUAAUCAUCCUUUUAAUCAUUCAACUCUCAAUUGUCAAAGUACUCCACAUAUUAUCUAUACCACACAAGUACUAAUCCCACUACUAAACGACUAGCAAAAAAAUAAGAAUAACAUAAGACGCACAUAAAGUCCCUUAACCAUUGCUCAACCUAAUCGUUUAUUUAUCCUCAAAGGGAAUCAUCAAAUCAUAACCUCAAACAAUUCCUUCGUAAUACUGAACAUUCUAAACGUGACCACACAUCUUCUUACAAGUAUAUCACUUCAACAUUAGCACCAUAUUAAACAUCCAAGGCAUGCAUGACACCAACUACUCACAUUAGGAUCUACGCACGAGUCAUGACAUAAGUGAGAGAGAAUGGAAUGAAGUGAUACCAAUCAGAACAGACAAAGGAUGCACAAUAGAGAUUCAAGAAGUGUAGUUUUUUCCUAAAAGUCACUAUAUCCUCUCGAAGAUAAGUUCAUAUGAUUCCGUACCAAUCCUUGAGACUUUACCUAGACUCGACUUAUACACACGUGAGACCAAUGAACCUAGGAUCGGAUACCAUUUUGUCACGAUCCAAAAAUGGACAUGAUGACACUCGUCUUAUCCCACCAAGACAAGUCAGCUUCAAACUCAACCAUUAUAAUAAAGUGACUCAAAGAAUGAUGUUAAAUCAAAUGUACUCAACAUUAUUUAUAUUCUUGAGAAUUGAGAAGUGUUUUAAGGAGGGGAAAAGAAGUAACCACAACUAUUAUGGAACAAUGGUUAAGGUCUAAGAUAGUAUCUAUAAUUUUGGUUCCUUGUUACUAAUAGAUAAUUUCUUAUUUUUCUUUGACGAAAUUUAGUGGUUUCCAUAUUGGUAAUAUCUAAUCGAAUAUUUUCUUUAGGAUAUAUUCCCUUUGUUUUGCAUAUAUAUACAACCAAAGGUUGAAUCUUCUUUCACUUUGUCAAUAAUGUUGACAUAUCUAGACAACCAAAGGCUGAAUUUUCUUUCACUUUGUCAAUAAUGUUGACAUAACUAAAGGUUCCUGGCAAGGAUAGAACAUUUCUUGAAGCAAAUUACGCUACUUUGAGUAAAGUUCUUAAGAGUAUCUAUGUCGCAAAUUUCGCUAGGAGGGAAAUAGAUCUCAUCUUUUUCCUUAAAUCAGGCUUGUGAUUUCUAAUCAAAGUGAUUUUUGCUACAUAUUAAACAUAGAUCAUGUAUGGGGAUAGCUUGCAUGUGGAACAUUAGAGACUUUUGUUCUUGAUAAAGUAAAAAGUGUUUUAUUAACAGUUAUAUGUUUGAACAACGUAUCGAUUCCUUGCUGGUUGCAUGGGCUGCAAUGAAGAAUGAUGGGAUUUCUCUAGUUUUACUAUGUGUUGUAAUGUACUAAUGUUAUUUCCUUGUGUGCAGAACAAGAUUUACAUAUGCUCCCAUAUUGAAUUUCACAUUUUGUUGGUACCUUUUGAAGUUGGUUGAUAUAAAAUUAAUGUCUAUGGAAAAUUUCAAUUACAAGGAUCGGAAUAGUUAUUUAAGAUCUAUUCAAUGUUCAUAAUCUUAGAGCAACUAAUUAUCUAGAAAAUAAUAAUUCUUAUCUGAUUCUUGAAAAGAAAAAACUUUUGCUCUUGAUGAAUAACAUUAAAUUAAACAUAAUUCAUAAAUAUGACCCUUAACAUGGCUUUAGUGGAGAACUAUGUCCUCCAAUUUUGAGCGUGCACAAGUUUACACUUAAACAUGUAUAAAAUUGAACAAGUAGAUAAACUCAUAUGUCCUACAUGAAGUAAUACACAUUGUACGCCACAUAGGACACAAUUUCCAUGUAGGGUUCUAUGUAGAAUAAAUGUAUCUUUUGUUCAAAUUCAGACAAGUUCAAGUGUCUACUUGUGCAAACACAAUAAUCGAUAAAAUAUACUCUUAUUUACCGUAUUUGAGUUUUAUUUUUCUUUUGAAGGAAAGCCAACCAUAGUUGCUUUUACUUUUUUAAAAAGAAAAAUAUAAUUUUCUUACAUAUUUGGUUUAUUAUUUCCUUAGAAAAAAAAGUUGGAACUCUAUAAAUUAAAGACCCCUCUUUUCGUACCACAUCAAAUUAAUAGAAUCUACUAUGUAAUCAUUAAAAAGUUUUGUUAAAAAGGAGAUUAUUCUCCUAAUAGAGUUUAUAUUAGUUUUCAUGUGUAGGUCAAUUGAUCAAACCAUAUUAUAAUAUUAUGUUUUUAUUAUAAGUUUUUGUCAUCUAAUUUAUCACAAACACGAUUUGCAAUUGUAAGCUUCCGUAUGACGCCUUUAUUUCUUUAGAACUGAACAGUUUGAGGUAUUUUUGAGGUUAAAAAAUAGUUUUGUAAGAAUUAGAGUUAAAACAUAAUGGAAUCGAUGGGUCUUUUCUCAAAUGACAAUGACAUAGAGGAGUCAAAAUUUUAAUAUAUAAUAUAAAUAAGUCUUUUCUAAAAGUUAGAUAUUAUAUUUGAGCACAAGCUUAGAUUCAACUUGCUACUGACUAAAUUGAGAUGUAGGGCGUGAAGAUGAACUACUCUGACACUAUGAAGCUAUUAGACUGAAAACUUCGAUGGAGACUUAAUUUUUUUUUAACUCGAGUAAGAAAACUACGUUAAUUAAAAAUAAGAGGCGCUUUAGAAGAGACAUCAUGCGUCCACACAUACUUUUAACCACAAUGACAAUACAUGCAAGAAAACUAGAUUUAAAAGUUUAAAUUAAAACUAAAAAUAGUUGAAACCACAUAUAUUUUUUUAGUUGCAACAUAACAUCACACAGUUUAAAAUUAUUCAAGCAAAGUACUUCAAAAUGAUUAAAUUAAAGCAAAUCAUUUUUAUUUUAAAGGAGCUCUGCAAGGAAUUCCCUUCCUCUUGCGCUUCCGCUUCGUCUCAGCAAUCUUUCCCCAUUUUGCUUCCACCUACAAAUUCCAUGAUAACAUAUAUUAUUCAUAAAAAUAUUUGUGGAUUGAAAGUGCAAAUGUAUAAUAAUAUUUUAUCUGCCUCAAUUUAAGUAUCUCAUUACUUUUUUUAUGUGUUUCAAAAACAGGGGGUUUCCCCAAAAUUUUGUAUAAAGAACUCAAAUACAAUAUAACAAUAACUACUUCUCAACUACAUUAAUAAAAUUAAAGUUCAAUUACAAUUUCAAAAGUUGAUAUAGAAAUAUCAAAAGUAAGACUAGGGGUGUGUUUGGUAUGAAGAAAAAUGUUUUCCAUGGAAAAAGUUUUCUUAGAAAAUGUUUUCCUGGAAAACAAGUAGAUUUUGGAUUCAUUUUUCUCAUGUUUGGUUGGUGAGUAGAAAAUAUUUUCUAGAAAUGAUUUUUAGUGUUUGAUUUAUGAAUGAAAAUGUUUUUUUGAGAAAAAUCUUUUAUUUUUACUAGAGUAGAAAAUAAAUUAUGAAAUUGAAAAUAUUUUUUAGAAACAAUUUUUUUGGGGGGUGUGGUGGGUGGGUGGGGGGCGCGCUGGCGGGGGUGGGCAGGGGUUAGGUGAAAAAAUAAUAUUUUGAAGUUGAGAAUACUUUUUAAAAAUAAUUUUUUUGGAGGGCGGUGCUGGUAGGGGGCUAGCGGGGGGAGGGAGGGAGGGAGGAGUUUUAAAAUAAAAGUAUUUUAAAAAACGACCUCAAAUUUUUUUUGGAAGGGGUAGGGGUGGGGUGGGGGUGGGGGGCUGGUCAGUGGUGGGUGAGUGGGAUGGGGGUCAGGGAUCGGGUUAAAAAUAUAUAUUUUGAAAUUGAAAAUAUUUUUAAAAUUUAAUUGUUUUGCCAACAAAAUGUAAUUUGAAGUUGGAGAAGAGUUUUGAAAAAUGUUUUCUUUAAUGUUUAAAGGGAAGUCAUUUUCCUUAAUUUUGUGGAAAAUGAGUUGAUUUGGAAAAUAUUUUUCAAUACUUUUGUCUCAACCAAAUAUGAGAAAAUUGGAAAAUAUUUUUCAUAAAUUGUAUUCAUUCAUACCAAACACACUCUAGAGAUUUGGGUAGAACUAGACUUUCAUACAACAAUAAGUCUAAUCUAUCUUUCCAACUUCUCUACCUUUUUACUAGUUGCUAUUUGGGUAUGAUUAUCAAUUCAACCUUUGUGAAGGUCUUUUGAUCUUAUUACUUCUUGUUUACCUAAUACCUGAUUCUGUGAUGUAAAGUUCCAUGUUUGACUGAGAUUGAUUCAUAACAUUUAGUACAGUUAUAUCUUUACUCAUAAUUUGACUAUAAAAUACUCACUUUAGCUUUAAUGAGAGAUUUUGGACCAAAAAUUUUAAGUCUUUCUUUCUUUCAUAAAAUUCAUGUCAAUUCGAACAAUAUCACAUAAAUUAUGAGAGAGGGAGUACGUUUUUUUAAAUUUUCACAUUCUAUUUAGGAUUAUUCAACAACAACAAUAACAUAUCUAGUGAAAUUUAACAACUAAGGCCUAGAGAGAGUAAAAUGUACUCAACCUUACACACUACCUUGUAAAAGUAAAGAGACUGUUUUUAAUCAAGCAUAGUUUCCAGAAUUUCAAUUUCAAAAAAUAUUAAAUAAUAAAAUAAAAAUCAUUGACAAAUAACCACUAAAUUUGAAAUGGAGGGAGGGAUAAGUACCUGGCAAGCAAUGCUACAGAAUUGAAACCGUUCAGGGUCAUGCAAUCUCCUUUUACAAGUGAGACAAGUAGGAUCUCCAACAAUUAAUGAGCCAGACCCAGAAUGUGGCAGAGGAUUCAAAGCAAUUAUCCAUUUCUUGUUGCAUUUGUAUGUCUGCACAUAGAAAAUUAUAUAGAUCUCAUCACUAACAUAUAGAUGUUAAUUAUGUAAAAAGAAAAUAAUAAAUUGUUGUAAGACUUUAUAUACAUGUGUGAAAUAAAAAUGUCUGCAUUUAUAUAUCACUAAAGUUCAACAAAAAAUAGUUGAACUUCAUCUAUAAGUACAUGAACUUCAGGCAAACUCAAGAAAAUCAACCAUAUGGAUCUUAAGUUCUAAGAGAAAAAGAUUAAAGUUUAGUCAUUUUGUCCAAGCUCAAUUCCAAACACAGUAUGACUUAAUUAGUGGAUCCAAUUAGAGAUGGCUCAAGAAAAGAGCUAGUAAAACACUUGCUUUUAGACAAAAGGCUCCCAAAAAAUUAGUAAUCGUUUUACGAAUUUUUAUAACUUAAAACAAAUGAUUAUAAUAAAAAGUACAAAUUUUAUGCAUGUAUGUAUGUAUAAAAAACUAUUUUCUUUUAUCAUAAAUAUUUUACAACUUUGAACUAAAAUCUCAACUUUUAUAUUAAUAAAUAAAACUUUUACAACAACAUUCAAAAUAAUAACAACUGAUUAACAUCUCAUUAACUUAUAUUUAAUUAUCAUUCAAAUGUUUAAAUAAGUUAAUGUCUGGAGCAUCAAUUCAUAACAAAAAUAUGCAAUCUUAUUUCAUUUCUAGUUGUAACUGUCUAUAUCAAUUUAAUUUACCUGAAUUAGUUUGCAGUCAAUAUACUUCUUCAUCUGCUCGACAGGAACAACGUCUUUGUAAACAUGUCGAUAAAUCUUUAGCUGGUCAUGAUCAUUGUGUUUGUUUGUAGCGAUGCAAUACCUGCAUAAAUCAGAAUCACAUGUGAUACAGUACUUGCUCCUUUGAUUCUUUUGAAGUCCAUCAUGCACCAAACAUUCCCCAAAGAAUGUCUUCUUCAAAAGUGGUCCUAGCCAUGUUGGCAUACUCCUGCUAGGUUUCAAUUCCCCCUGCAAAUAUAAUCAUUACAAUAACAGAUUAUGAUAUUUUUCAAGUGAUCUGAUUGGAUUGCAAAAGUUUUUUCUCAAUUUUUAAAAUAUAGUAAACUAAUAUUAUCAUCAUAUAUACAUAGUACAAAAAAAAUAAAAAAUACCUAUCAAGCUAAUUAUCUUUUGAAACAGUGUUUCUCAUUAUUUGAACAGUAAAUUACUUGAAACGAUAUUAUCAUCAAACAUACACAUAUCAAAAGAACUUUGAAUAAAAUAACAUAUUUAUCAAGCUAAGUAUCUAUCAAGUAUCUCAUCCAACAAUUGUUUAAUGAAGAUUCAUGAACUUUAAAGGUUUAAAAAUCUACUAAGGUUUGUUUAGGAAUGAACCAAAUCCAAUCCAUUGAUGGGACUUAGCUAGUUUAGAGCUUAAGUUUUUGGAGAAACAAAGACUUCACUUCUUUCUAGUUAAGGUUCUAAGAACAUCUACCUACAUUUUAUCUAUAAUAAAAAAUGUAUAUUAACAUUUUCCUAGGAUACUAUUGAAUGAUGAAAAACUUAUAGUGUAAUAGAAAAGAGAAACACUUUCAUAAAAUUCUGAGUUGAUGACAAUAUCCAUGUCAAUGAUUAUUAAAGAACAAAAAAACAUGAACCAAAUCAUAUAUAUAUUUUUUCGUCCACUUUCUCCUUAAUAUGUUGUCUGUGCGACUUAAAAUGAUAGUUUGAUAUGCAGACUAAAUUAUCUCGAGAAUAUAAUUUUAAUUAUAAUUCUUAAACUAAUUUAUCCAAUAUGGAAUCUGGAAUAAACUACUUUCAAAAUAAUCUCAAACUUAAGCAUGAGAUAUUUCAUCUUAUCUUGCACACCGAACAAUCCUAUUACUCAUGGAAUUUGUUUAAACCCCAUCCGUUAUGUUUCCAUCACAGAGAGAAACCACAUCACCUAUAGCUUUUGUGACAGAUCAUUUUUUAGAGAAACAUUUGGUACAUUCAAAACACACUAAUUUAGAAUUGGGACACAUAGAUUCCAUAGAAGGGAAAAUUUCCUUAGCAAGCUUUCUCCAUUUACAAGGUUCAUAUGAGAUAUUGGUUAAGAAUUAAGAAAUUUCAUCUGUCUGAUCACACCCUUGAUGAUGCACUCCAAUUAUAGAAGGAAGGAAAGUUGUGUAGAGCUAGGGUCACUCACCUCACAAAACUUGAAAGAGGUGACAUUGGUUCAAUAAAUUAAUGAUUAUAAGACUCAAACAAAAUUUUUACGACGUGUGAGCUUGAUUCUUUUUAUUUAGUCAUUCAUAUGGAAGUACCAAAUAAAUGAAUGACUAUGAGACUUGAGUAAGCUUUUAUUUGAUAUCAGAAAUUUGGACGGUUCAUCAAGUCUUUUAUUGCCUCACCUCCCUAAUAGGAAUAGGGGUAAUUUACAAAUAGGGCUAAUAAAUUUGUCAAUCAAAAUAUAAGGAACUAAUAAUUAAUGUUUCUUCAUUCGAAGUAAAUUCUUUCAAACUCAAAAUACACUUAAGAUAGAGGAGUACCCUUGACAACAAUGGAUCUCCUACCAAGUAUAUAAAUAGGCUUAUUGAAGGUUCCUAUUGACAUCCAUUUAAUAGAAAUCAAGCCUGCUAAUUCAUCUAAAACGAGUCGGGUACUUUCACAUAACUAACACAGAACUAUUAUUUUCUCUUACAUCCUACUAUACAUGUAACAGAGUCUAGAGAUUACAUAUGAAUCAAAUUUUGUUUUACUUCAUCUUUUUAUAUUGAUUUAUCAAGAAGAUGAUGAUAUAUCUAUAGGUUGAAAAGAGGGUUUGAAGCAAAAAGAUAAGACCCUAACAUACUAGGAAGUUGGUUUGUAGAAAAUAGGAAGUUGGCUUGACAUGGUUCGGAGUGUUGUUGAAGUAUAACUAGGGUCUCAAAAUACAUAUCCCAAAUUAAGAGAGAGAAGCUCAGAUCAAGUCCACGGCAAGUUGAAAGAAAUAACUCAACAAAGAUAUAGAGAAUAGGGUUUUUGGAAUGAUUUAGGGUAAAAUGGUGAUUUCAUUCUAUAUCGUGAGAGUGCUCCUUUUCUAAUGUGAAAAGAAGUAAAAUGAACAACUAGAAUAAAAAACCGUUCUAGUACAUGACUCUAGAGUAGAUUAUAGUUAAAAUUACACAAUCGUUACACGUUUAAUUUUACGAUACAAAAAAGUUAUUAAAGCACACAAUGACUCCUGCCUCCCCUAUUACAUGCCAAGAAAAUGAGACAUUAUAUCCUUUUACACAUUAAUACUUGCCUAAAAAUUGACAUUUCUUUUCCUGCCAAAAUUAUUGGGAUAACAACAUUAGUGGAUAACAUUUCAGGAAUUGGUACGAUAUAUUUGUAAAAGAAAAUUUGGGGUUGAUGAUUCAAUUUUCUUCUUGUAUUUUAUAAUUUUGAACUACUUAAGCAUAUCAUCAUACAGUGCAAUUAAAAAAUGUGUAAUCAUAGUAUACCUAGUGCUCUCUAACUCUUGUUUUAUUCAUGUUUGCUAAUAAUUAGAGGAGGUUUGUUACCUUAUUAGGAUAUCUAAGUAAGAUCUAGUCCCCUAGUUAUAUAUACUUAUUCUGACUAAGAAUGUUUUAAUUUUAUUUUAUUAAUAAAAAAACUAUGCGACGUGGUAUAAAAUAGCCAAAAAAAAUCUUUUAUUUUGUAAAAACAUGUAUACAUAUCUUACAAGAAAUAGUUAUCAAGAAAGACUUCAAAAUAUAAAAUAAAGAGUAAAUUUAAUGAUUGAAAUAUUUAACUGUUACAUCACUCAAUUAUACCAUCUAAUUAGAAGAAAUUCUUGACUGAUUAGAAAUUUUGUUAUUGAAAUAAAUCUUAAAUAACUAUAAAAUGUAAUUCUCUCAUAAAAUUAGUCUAGAAAAUUUUCCAAUAUAUUAUCAUCUUUAGUUUUAUAAGAAUAAAAUAAUAGCACAACUUCAUAAAGUAGAUCUAAAUUCAAUUUCUUGAAAAUUCGCCCUCUUUUAUACAAAAUCAAUUAAGAGGUUAUCAAACACAUAGUCAGCCUCAUGAAAUUUUAUUAACAACCAAAGGAAAAAAAAUUCUAUUUUCUUUUUGAGAUAUAAAUGCAUAAACAAAAUGGUAAGAAUUAGAUCUCACACAAAAAACACAGAAAUAAACAAUCAAUUUUGAAUGAAUUAAACCAAAGAAAUAGUGAUUGAAAAUUAAUAACACUACACAUAUAUAUGUAUGUACCUGCUCAUUUGUUUCAAAAGGUGAUGAAUCAGUGCUACCCAUAUUUUUUGUUCCACUUUUCUCCUCUCUAGAGUGUAUCAAUUUUUUGAAGAAGACAUAUAAAAACUAGUAGUAGAAUUUUAUUACAAAUAUAUUGUUCCCUUGAAGUGUACUUAGUUUGCAAGAAAACAAUUGAAGUAAUAAAGACAAUUUUUUUAGUCAAAUAAAAUUUAGUUUAGAAGAACAUAAGGACAAAUUUGGGCCUCCAAUUUUAUAAUUGUCCGUUAUAUUUCAGGAGACAAUAAAGAUAUGUUCAAUGAGGUAAUGAGGAAAAUUUUUACCAGUUUUAGCCUUAAGAUAAGAGGCGAUAGAUCCAAGAGAUAUUUUCAAAUUGAUAAAACCUAGAGUUAAUGAGGUCAAAUUGUAUAUAUGUAUGUAAUGGGUAAUAUUGUCAUUUCAUUUUGCUUGCCAAAUAAUGUGAUAACAGAAAGAUUUUGUAAAUCUAUGAAUUUUUUAUCCUUUAUCUAUUCUAGUCCUCCUUUUAAACUUUCUCACUUAAUGUAUCUCCAAGUAAGGGGCUUGUACACAUCUAUGAUUUUACCAUAUAUGAGGUAAUUAGACUUAGUAAAUUUGAAAUCAAGGAAAAAUUAGUAAUUGUGUGUGUUAAUUAAGAUUUAUACUUAAAAGGGAAAGAAAAUAAAAGCAAGAGGUAAUUCAUUGAUUCCCUCUUUACAUGUCAAGCUUGUUAAUGAUUCAACAAUAUUUUCUUGAGAUGCAACUCAUAAUAUAAGUAUGUGAUAAAUGGUCAUCGAAUCCAUUAACAAUUGUUUAGGUGGAAACUUGUUGAUUUGUCAAUAAAGUUAUGUAAUGUAAAUUAACAAGAAAAUAUUACGUAUAAAAUAUAGAAAUACGCUUAAUUACAUAAGGCCUUCAAAAAAUACUAGCUAGCCAAAAUCUAGCCUCUUAAAGGUCAGUCUUAACCGUUCCGAUUCUAAGUCAGAUUGGUUUACCUUUAGGUCUGAUUUAGGGGUUAGGGUUUUAAGAGAAAAUACUAGUUAGCUCAACCCUUGCCUCUUAAGGGGUUAGUCAUGUUUAAUGGGUUAAACUAAUUUUUUUUUCAUACUAUAUUGUAACUUUGUAUUAAUAUUUGAAGUUAUGGAACUUUGUACUUUGUAAGAGGACGUAAGUUAUGAAUUAAACCUCAACGGGUUAAUAGCUUUCAAAUUUUAUUGAUAAAAAUUUUUUUGUAUAAAACUUAGAACAGGAUUUACUAUUUGAAUGAAAAAAAUAGAAAAAUCAAAAGAAGAUAGAAGAAGAGAAAUUAAAUUCAAACUCUAGAUGUAUGUAUCACCGAACCUACCUUCUUGUCAAGCUCUUUAAAUAUAGGAUCAUUAUUAACUAUCAAUAUCAUGUUUAACAAAAUUUUCAUUGAACUCUGUAUGUACCCUCUAUUCGAUCAUAUAAUAACCUCACACCAUUUUCUUUAUUUCCAGGGGCUAAGCACAUGAGGAGGUUGGACACAAUCUCUUAUCAAAGUGCUUAAAAAUACUUUUCAAAUAAUUAGCUAAACAUAAAUUAUUAUUUUUCUAAAAACUGAUUUUAAAAAAAGUGUUUCUCAAAAUAAGAAUAUUUUGGCCAUUUGAGCUAGAAAUGAAAAAUUACUUGUAUAGCUCCAUGUGUUCUUAAUGCUUUUAAUUGGACCAGAGAUAGUCAGUUAAGUAAAGUCGUCAAUAUGGGCUAGGCCCAUUGGGUCGGUCUGACCUAACUCGUGAUUUAUUAAGGGUGAAUUAUGAUUUUCGGAGUUCAUUUAAAAAAAAGAGUUUUUUAGCCUAGUCUGAAUAAGUUUGUGGAUUUGUGGGGCUUGAAAAAUAUAGAUAGAGUCAACUCAUGGACCAAAAAAUACUAAUUUAAAUUAAAAAUUAAAUAGUGUAUUAAAAAUAACAAGUAUUUAAACUCAAAAUUUGUUUAAAGUUCGGAAUAUUACAAUUUAAAUGCAAAUUAUGUUUAUAAUAACAUAUAUACUACAUAAAACAAAAACUACCUAAAAUUUCUAGGGAAUUAAUAAAUAGGUCGUAACCUAUGGAAUAUUGUCAUAAUUUUUGUGUUUUAUUAUGAUCAUUGAAAAACAAUUAGGUUAAUAUUUCUAUUUAGUUAUUUAUAUUUUUAUUUGAAAUCAAACAUAAUAAAUAUUAUAAAGAUAAUGUUAUUUGUGGAUUUAGUUAAAAAGCACUAAUACUAACACUAACACAAUGUAAUAUUGUCUUAUCGAUAUUUAUGAUAAUAUUUUUAAACUAUAAUUUAAUUUAAAAAAUUAGAAAAGAAAUAUUUCAAAACCCGUAAAUUUCAAAGUCUGCAUGAAUUAGCUCAGAUGGGGUGGGUCAACUGUAAUGACCCGGAAGGUCAUUUUCGAAUAUUUUUAAUAUUAGUGUAACUUGAGUUAAUUAAUCGAUAGUUAAAGGGCUAAAGUGAUAAUUUAUUUAAAACCAUGGGCUACUUGACCCAUAUAUAUUAAAAUAAGUUAGUUGAUUUCAACAAUUAUAUUAUUAUAACUUUAAAAAAAAACAGGGAGGCAUGACAUGCCGUAGGUCAAAGACGACAAACACAGGUAUGAACUAACCCUUUUCAUUUGUUUUCCUUUUCAAUUGUUUAUGUUAGUAACAUGCUUAAGAAAUUGAGGGUUUGGAAUAUAUAUAUACCAAUAAUGACAAUAAAAGUGACAUUUACUAAUAAAUUUGGAAUUUGAAUCUAUAAGGGGUACAGUAAUUUAUAGGUUAUGUUUGUGAUCUGUUGGUUUAGGGGAGCAUAAAGUUAACGAGAAUGAUGGACAAAUUAUUAUCCAAAUCAUUAGGAAAAGGAUACGAUAAAGGAUGAAUUUAGCAUAUAGUUAAUUUCAGGCAUAUAUAGAUUUUGUGACUCAAUUCUAGGGGUCUGUGGUUUAGGUAUUGCCUUGUUACUUGACUAAUUUUGGAUUUCUAUUGAUAGUUAUCACAUUAUAAUUAAGGUUUUGAUAUAGUAAGAUAGGUAAUUGAAUAUUAAGAAUAUGAUAUUAUAUGAAUACCAUUCGAAUUAUAAUAUUGAAAAAAAAUUAGGACUAAAUCUUAGGCUUAAAGCUUGAAAAAUAUGAUUUUUAAAAUGAUAAUUGGCAUCAAGAUUUACGAAUUUGAUUAUAAACUUGGAUGAAUUUUUGUAUCAAGGAUAAACACUUAAGUAACAUGGGUGUUGUUAAUGUUAAAAUCUUAUUGUGGUAAAUUGUUUGGAUAGAUUGUUCUGAUUUGGAGCCCAUUGAAAGGGGGAAGACUCAAGUAUCGAAAAGAUUGUUCGACUAAAUGAUGCAAGUGGAUUUCUAAACUCUUGUUAAGUGUAUGAAAUGUGUGUAUGUCCUUGUGGUAUAUGUUGGGAGUAACGGGAUUUGUGAUGAGUUGACUUGUCCACAUUAAUUAAUUCUAAUGAUGAAAAGAAUGGGGAUAACAAAAGGCAAUGUGAUUAAUUGUUUAUGUGUGUUGUGUUGAGAAAGGGUUGAAGGCUUGUUGAAUCAUUGUUGAUGUAACUUCAUGUUUGUGUGGUUGUGAACUGUGCGAUGUUAUGAAAAUGGUCAUCUCCUCAUUAUAUGUGUGAACUUGUCAUCUGCAUUAUUCUAAGGCAUUGGUUGUGGCAAGUGUAAUGUGCAUUGAGAAAUAAUGGGUUCUUAAGAUGAUGUACCAUUUCGAGGGACGUAUCGCGCGCCGCGAUGGAUACUAUAUUUCGAGGGACGUAUCGCGUGCCGCGAUGGAUACUAUAUUUCGAGGGACGUAUCGCGCGCCGCGAUGGUUACUAUUAUCGAGGGUCGUGUCGUGCGCCGCGAAAGAUACAUGGACAGAAAUGUCCCCCAUGAGUCACGGACUGAGAGACAGCAGGUGUGUAUCACUAGGUCAGACAUGCAUCAUUAUACUUGACAUUGCAUCCCAUUGCAGUGCACAUAUUUAUCAUUAGUGAACUUGAUAUCGUGUUUUGCUGAUCUUCUGAUUACCUUUCUGUGGAACUUGUGAUUGAUCAAUAUUGAGCUUGUUAGUGCGGAUAUGUAAUUUGUUGAAGUGUUGUUGUUGAGGAUAUGUAAUUUGUUGAAGUGUUGUUGUUGAGGAUAUGUAAUUUGUCUAAAUUUUGUUGAGCUACGUGCUAUGUAAACUGUGAGUUGUUAGGUUGGGUUGAUUUUUAAUGCAGGUUGUAGUUGUGGAGGUUCGGUUGGGGGUGGUAGAGUACCCGUAUUUCAUCCCCUUAGCUUGUGUUAAGAGGUUUACUUGCUGAGUACCGUGUGGUUUGGUACUCACCCCUUGCUUCUACAAAUUUUUGUAGGUUAUGAGCCUGGAUUUUUGUUGUACUUGUCAUUCUCUUGUUUUCCGAGGCUUCUUGGAGAUUUGUCACGUAGCUGUUUCCAUCACAGCAGACUUUCUUCUCCUUAAUUAUGAUCUUGUUCUAUUAUAGAAACAAGUUCAUUUGAAACUUAAGUUUUUCUUUUGAAUCAAUUGUGAUACUUUAGAGGCUUGUACACGUGACUACCAGGUUUUGGGGGUUUUAUUAAGUUACUUAUAUUUUAUUUCCGCACUUUAUUGUAAUGAUUAAGUUUUAGGCUGACUUAUCUUGGUGGGAUAAGACGAGUGCCAUCACGUCCAUUUUUUUGGGUCGUGACAUCAACCCAUAUAGACAGCUCUAUAAUUAAGUAGUCUUGUUAGUGUCCGAGGAGCUAAUAUUGACUCCUUAUUCAAGGUUAAGUACUUGACACAUGAUUAAUUAAUGUGGUGGAUAAGUAUCUGCAAUUUAUUGUUUCUUCAAAUAAUUUGUUUUUUCUAUUUUUCAUAUCUCGUGUUUUCUUUGCUUGUGAGACCAUUGAAAAUUUUACUUAUUUUCUAAUCAGAUUUAUCUUUGUUAGAUUUUGAAUCAAGAAACAAAUAUUUAAAAAAUGGUUCGAAUUUGCUUAUAUAACGAUAAAAACUUUAAUUUCUAUCACUUUUAGUCAUCUACCCGAAAGGAUAUAGAAAUCAGUCACAGUAAUAAGUCUUUUCUCUAAAGAUUUGUUUCUGGCAAGUUGUUCAGACAAGAUGAAAGAAAAUAUUCAUGUUAUUACUACUAAAUUAGAGAAGAUCUUUUCAUGUGGUUACUUUGAUGUGAUAGAGUAUUUUACAAUUCACCUUGUACAAGAUCCCCACUUCGGAUGUCUAGUUCAAACAAUAUGGAUAUAUCCAUUUGAGAGGUAAUAUUAGAAUAUUCACCAAGUUAUAUUCACUAAGUUUAUUUUUUCUUUAUUAACAUAUAUCAUAUAUUAUUAAAAGUGGAAACAAAAAAGUUAAAAAUUGAAAUAUACUUAAUAAAAAUAUAUAAAAUAGUUAAUUAAUUAAAUAUUAAAUAGUUGUUGUUAUUAUUAUUAAAGUGAAAAGGUGUUAAGUCGAAAAUUAAAAGAUGAAAAUGUUCAUAAGAAAUUGUUGACAUUCUUAUCCUUUAAAAAAAUUAAUUAUUUACAUUUUUUUAAAUUCAAAAGUGUAUUUAUUUUUACUUUUCUCCUUCAAUUUACUUAACAUCUAUAUAUAUAUAUAUAUAUAUAUAUAGAGAGAGAGAGAGAGAGAGAGAGAGAUAGAUAGAGAGAGAUAGAUAGAUAUAGAUAUAGAGAGAGAACAAUUUUAAUAAUCUACUUUAAAGUAUUUCUUAUUUCUAAUUCCUUUAUUCAAAAGAUUAAUUUCAUAAUUCACACCUUUUCAUUUUCAUAACUUUCACAUCAUAGUAAAGGAUGGUGAAUUAGAAAGUCAUCAACAUUUUCAUAAAGUAACAUACAUUCAUCUUAAUGCAUUAAAUGAAUAACAAAUUUUUUUAUUAACUUUACAUGUUGGAAUAUAGACAAGCUCUAAAUUUCAAUAAUUGAAAACCUUAUUUUUUUAUUGCAUUAACACUUACGAAUAACUAUAAUCCUAAAUCCUAAUACUCAAACCCCCUUAUUUAUUUGCUUCAUUAAUAUAAAUUAUCUUUUUUUUUUAUCACGGAUCCUUAGAUAUCCUUUUCAUCCUAUAGUUUAAGUGGUGAAACAUUUUAUUUUUUUAUUGAUUCAUACUUUAAUUCGACUAGUUGGAAAAUUAUGUACUAUUUAUGUAUUUUUGCUUACAUCGAUAUAUAUUGUAUGAUUAAAGUUUUAAGAAAGAUGAGUACAUUGUAUUAUUUUAUUUUAUUUUGUAUUUUUAAUCUAUUAAACUUUUAAAAAUUAAAUUUUUAUUAAUUUCUGAUUAAUUAGUUAUUUGUAACUUUAUUGAAAGUUUGUUAAUUACUAACCAAAAUUCAAAACUUACCGUUGGUUGCUUAAAAGAACUUGAUUUUAGAUAUUAAGAUAUGCUCCUUAGUUGAUACUAUUUUCCAUAUUCAAAGAUAUGUUAGUAAUUAUUGCAUUUUAUUAUUUACAUGCAUAUUUUCAUAAAAUUUUAAUUAUUCUAACAAAUUUAUGAAAAAUUCUCCUGAAAUACACAUGUAACACACUUAUUUAGAAACUAAAAGUAUUAUCUAAAAAGGACUAAAGAGGAAAAAAAAAAGACAUGUUGUGCAUGGAGCGUAUGCAUAAAAUCACAUUAAUUUAUCAUAUUUAAGCAAUAAAUUGAAGUGAUAAUAGAUAUAUUCAUUAAUCAUAAUUAGUACAAAAGGUACAUAUAUAGAAUUAGACUUGAUUUAAAUUAAUCUAUAGUGUUAAUGGUUUUUAGGGUUGUGUGUCGGUCCGUUUGGUUUUGAAGUUUAUCGAUUUGAUUUAUUGGUUAUCGGUUUGUAGAGAUGCUAAACCGUUAUAGAACCAUUAAGAUACUGUCUUUUAUGUUAUUGGUUUAUCGGUUCGAUUCAGUUACUUUUUAACUUUUAAGAUUUGAUAGAAAAAAAAUCAUUGAAAAUCACUUAGAAACAAGGUGACAUACCAAAUAACUGUGCACAUGAGUUUACAAGUUACAUUUUGUCAAAAGCAAAACGCUUUUACACUAUAGAAAGUGUGUGAGACAACCAAAAAUAAAAGUAGGAAAUCAAACUCUAAGUCAAGAACUUUAUAUACAAGAUGGUAUAAACAUAAUAAAAAAGCAAAGGACACAAAUCACAUACUUUUAAGGCAAAAUUACCAUUUGUCCUUUAUAAGUUUAUGAUUACAUAAAUCUCUCAAACUGAUACAAAAAUAGAAGUGCUGAUAUAUUACUCUGAUGCGCGAGAUACGCUAAUCGUUAAGUAUGAUACUACAUUUAUACAUGAUACACUAAUCUGAUACAUUAAUCGUUAAGUAAGAUACGUUACAUUUUAUACAUGAUACAUUAAUCUGCUGUGCGAGAUACAUUAUUUUGAUGCGCUAAUACAUUAAUCUGAUGAGUGAAAAUUAGAGAUUUUGGGGAUUUAUAAAACUAAUAGGGGAUAAUGGUAAUAAGAGAACUUAAAGGUGGGAUUUCAAUUAUUUUUCCAUUAUUUAAAUUUUCUAUGGGGUUAAUUAUCGGUUAACCCGUUAAAAAAAAUUUCAAACCGUUAAGAAUCGAUAACCCGAUAAUAAAAAAAUCAUAAACAUUAUCAAAACCACUAAACAAUAACUUAAAACUGAUAAACCAAUAACUUUUUUUUAUUCGAAUUAUCAGUUUCGGUUCGAUUUUGAACCGUUCAAAGACAUGGCAGUGCCUUUGAAAAUUCUUAAGCAGUCGUUUGGUAUAUAUAGGAUGUGAUAAACAAAAAUAUUCCACCGUAGUCCCUAUAGUUACAACGUGUGAUUUGUUGAGCUUUUCUUGUUUACACGGUUCCUUCUUAAUUUUCUUUCUACAAUAUGUAAUCUAUCUUCUUCUUCUUUCUUUUCUACUCCUCUGUUAGUUUAGUCCAGAAACAGAGCAUUUUCUUCUUUUGCAGCACUCACAUUUGACGAAGAUUUUUAUAUUGGUUUUACAGAUCUUUGGAGUUAAGAGUUGGCGAUUGUUGAUACUAACUCAAAUUUUACAAUUUUGUUUUUAUCUGUCAAUGCACUUUCACUUUCUUUUUUUACACUAGUCCUUUACUUUGUGGUUUAGAAUUAUUACUUUUUUAUAAAAAAUAUUUUCUUAUACAUUAUUUGGAAAAAACAUCUGAUUAAUAAUGGGAGAAUUUUCGCAUAUGGUCACUCAAAAAUAAGUUAAUUAUAUUUUUAGCUAUAGUUUGCUAAUCACGAUUCGUAGCUACACGUUAGAGGGAGAAGAGAGACUAGUGAGAGAGGGUGGAGAGAGGCGAGCGAGAUUGGGAGAGGGAGGAGAGAGAUGAGUGAGAAUACAUAUGCAUUUGUAUAUCUGGCAAGCUAGAGUGAGAGAGGGAGGAGAGAUGCAAGAGAUAUUGGGAGAAUGAGGAGAGAGGGUAGAGAAUGAAGAGCGGAUAUAUAUAUAUAUAUAUAUGUAUGUAUGUAUGUAUGUAUGUAUAUAUAUAUGUAUGUAUGUAUGUAUGUAUGUAUAUAUAUGUAUGUAUGUAUAUAUAUAUAUGUAUGUAUGUAUAAUUUGCAUUUGUAUAUGUAUAAGCAGCGUAAUUACAAGUUAAUUAAGUUGUGAGUUGUAAUUGAUUCAAACUAUAGCUAUGUUAACUAAUUAACUAAUAUAAGUUUAUUUAUCCGCAUAAUUUUACCUUAAUGUUAGCUACAAAUCAAUAUUGAGGCCCAUAACCUCACUUGGUUAGAGCAUCGUGCUAAUUGCGUGAAGGUCGCAUGUUAACUAUGUUGCUUUUUGGGGGAAAAACUAUAAAGAAAUCGAGAGACAACAUCACAUUAUUCAAGAAAAUAUUUUUUAUUAAAAAAAACAAAAAGCGACGCAGUCUUCUAAUGUUGUUCGGCGCCAAAAAGCAACAAACUUGACUGCAUCAUUUUCCGUGGAUUUUGACCAACCAGGCGACACAGUCCGUCGCUUUUGGUCAUCAUUUUUCUCUAAUUUUUUAGUAAUAAUGUUCUUCUCGAGAAAUAUUAUGUAAGGCUUGCUCCAUAAACCAAUCUAUAGCCAAUAAUGCGAUUGUAAGGGUUGUUUCAUGUAGAAGUAGUAUACUCGAAUAUGCAAGAUCAUAGACAAGGACCCAUUUGUCAAAUUAAAAAAGUAAUUGAAUUCACGUCAUAAAACAAUUCAAAAUAGAAUAACAUCUGUACAUAAAAUGUACGUCAUGUAAAAUAGUCGAAUAAAACAAUUGGUUGAAACUGAACAUACUUAGCUAAAUAAAGAACUGUAAAGAUAGAUUAAAAUAAGUACAACCGAAUAGUAAAACAUGCAUGUGUACGUUAACAACAAGACUUUAAAACUGAAUGUAUGCAAUAACAGGGAAUACUUAAUAUAAUAUUGACUUUACUUUCCUUGGAAAAUCUCUCUAAUCGACAGCCAUCACUUUGAGCAUCAUGAUGGUACAACGUCUUUUUCCUGUAGACAGAGUCAUUCUAUACCCUCUCAAGAUAAAGAACGAACUAAACUAAUAGAUCUAAUCUCUAAGCCCUAACUAUGAACUUUCUGAGUGUUAGAUUAUUAGCAUUUUAAUAUUAAUAUUUAACAUAUUAAAUUAUUUUAUUUCGGAGUUAUAAUAAUGAACAUUGGAAUGGAUGACUUCUACAUCAUCCAUUAGCAUUGGUUAUCCAUCAAUGUAUUUCAUUCUUAAUUCCUCCAUUACUCUUUGUAACCUAUGUAACUCCCAUUGUAACCUUUGUAACCUAUGUAACUCCCAUUGUAACUUAUGUAACUCCCAUUGUAACCUAUGUAACUCCUAAGGCCAUUAUCUUCACUAUUUACUACCUCCAUUAUCUUCCUAUUCAUUGCUAGGAAGACUUCUUGUAGUAUAAAUAGUGGUAGUCUUCAUUUGGUUUUAGAGACACACAAUUCAUAAGAGAAAACAAAGAGUGAAAGAGUUAGUCUAAAAGAGAGUUCUUAUUAGUUGAAGGGAGGUGUUCUUUUUGUGGAGCUUUAGACUCAACUCUUGUCCAGAGUUGUUGAGUUAUACUUUGUGAAUGCUGUUGUAUCCUGGAGGGGACAAGUCAAAGAGGACUACUGCUGGACCGGUGAAAACAUUUGCUGCAGUGGCCUUGAAUCUCCUUAAAGAGAGCGAGAUAUCCGCGCCUCAGCCUGAAGCGAUUACUUUCUUCAUUUUAUUUUCAAUUGUAAUCUUGCAAUUUUAUUAUCUUGUAAGUUUUUUCACUAACAAUUUUAAGGAGAUUCAAGAUGGCUACAAUUGAAAAACCGCGGAUGUCAAGAUGGGAGAUCUUAACAAGCCAUUUCGGUUCAAUGGUAACAAUUUCAAGAGAUGGAAGGGCAAAGUACUUUUCUACUUAUGUCUUCUCAAUGUUUCUUACGUUUUAAUCGAGAAGAAUCCAAAUAAAGAAGACAUCACCACUAUGAAUGAUGAUGAAACUAUUUCUCAUCUAGAGAAAGUGGAAAAGUACGAUGGUGAUUCCUAUAAGUGUCGGUAUUAUCUUCUUAAUUGUCUAUCUGAUAAUUUUUAUGAUUAUUAUGAUAGAACUUACUCUAGUGCAAAGAAAAUUUGGAAGGCAUUGCAGAGUAAGUAUGAUACCGAAAAGGCUGGAGCAAAAAAAUAUGCAGCUAGUAGAUUUUUUCGUUUCCAAAUGGUGGACAACAAAUCAGUGGUACAUCUAGCUCAAGACUUCAUCAUGAUUGUUGGAGAGCUUAGGUCCGAAGAGGUUAAAAUUGGAGAUAACCUUAUUGUAAGUGGCAUAGUGGAUAAACUUCCACCUUCUUGGAAGGAAUUUAAAAAACUAUGCGCCACAAACAAAAGGAAACCUCUCUUGAAACCUUGAUAAUGAAAAUCCGCAUGGAAGAAGAAGCAAGAGGCCAAGAUGCACUUUUACAAACAGAAGAGAACAACAUCACAUCGAAGGUAAAUUUAAUUACUUCGAAUAAUGCUAAUCCUGAAACUCACAAAAAUACUUCUUUAAAGCCUAAGAAGAAAAAAAUUCAAGAAAAAUAAUGGUAGACCUCCCAAGAAAAAUAAUGGUGAAAAUCACCAAGCACAAAAUGAACAAGUUCAAGAAAAGGGACCAUGCUUUGUUUGUGGCAAGAGUGGGCAUAUUGCUCGAUUUUGCAAAUCCUGGAAACGUGGUCCUAACCCUCAGGCAAUUGUUACUGAAGAACCUUUUGUGGCGCUGAUUACCGACAUAAAUAUGGUUGAGAAUGUUGAUGGAUAGUAGGCUGAUUCUGGUGCAAACCGUCAUGUCUGUUAUGACAAAGACUGGUUUAAAAAAUAUACUCAUUUUGAGGAGCCCAAAACCAUCAUGCUUGGUGAUGCUCACACUACUCAAGUGCUUGGAAAUGGAGAUGUUGAAUUGUGUUUUACUUCUGGAAGGAUAUUAACAUUGAAAGAUGUACUUUAUACUCCUUCUAUGAGGAAAAAUUCGAUGUCUAGUUUUCUUCUUAAUAAAGCAGGCUUUAAACAGAUUAUUGAAUCUGAUCAAUAUGUAAUAGUGAAGAAAGGUAUUUUUUUGGGGAAGGGGUAUGCAUGUGAUAGGAUGUUUAAGUUGAAUGUUGAAAUGAAUAAAACUUCUACUUCUGUUUAUAUGCUUCCUUCUACUAAUUUUUGGCAUGCUGGUUUGUGUCAUAUUAAUGAUCGUUAUGUUGGAAGCAUGAGUAGUUUAGGAUUAAUCCCAAUGAUUAAAAAGAAUUUUGAAAAAUGCGAGGCUUGUAGUAAAGUCAAGAUCACUAAAAGGUCUCAUUUUCAAGUUGAAAGAAAAACUGAUUUGUUAGAAUUAGUUCAUACUGAUAUUUGUGAACUUGGUGGAAUUCUAACUCGUGGAGGUAACAGAUAUUUUAUCACUUUCAUUGAUGAUUUUUCUAAGUUUAAAUAUAUUUACUUGAUGAAAAAUAAAAGUGAUGCUUUUGAAAAUUUCAAAAAUUAUCUCAAUGAGGUUGAAAAUCAGUUUGGAAGAAAAAUAAAAAGAAUUAGAAGUGAUAGAGGCCGUGAAUAUGAAUUAAAUGAGUUUAAUUCUUUUGUUAGAUCAUUGGGAAUAAUUCAUGAAACUACUCCUCCUUAAUCUCCUUCGUCUAAUGGAGUAGCAGAAAGGAAAAAUAGAACUUUGGUUGAAUUGACUAACGCCAUGCUUAUUGAGUCACAUGCACCUUUAAAUUUUUGGGGUGAAGCUAUCUUAACUGCUUGUUAUGUGUUGAAUCGUGUGCCUUAUAAAAUGUCUAAAUUGACACCUUUUGAAUUGUGAAAAGGUUAAAAGCCAAGUUUGGGAUAUCUAAGAGUUUGGGGUUGUCUAGCCUUUGCGAGGCUAAUGGAUCCCAAGAUUACAAAGUUGGGUAAGAAAGUUACUACUUGUGCUUUUCUUGGUUAUGCUUCAAAUAGUACAGCCUAUAGAUUUUUUAAUCUUGAAGAUAAUAUUGUAAUAGAAUCUGGUGAUGCUAUUUUUCAUGAAAAUAAAUUUCCUUUUGAUACUAAAAAUAGUGGGGGUCAAAGGAUUGGACAAAAUAUUUUGUCACUACCUAGUUCUUCUACUUCAACUUUGAAAAAUAAAGAAGUUGUUGAUUUUGAGUUAAGAAGAAGUAAAAGAGCUAGAGUAGAAAAAGAUUUUGGUCCUGAUUUUUAUGUGUUUAAUGUCUAAUUUCUAAUAAAACUUGGAAGUUAGUUGAUUUACCACCGGGUUGUAAAACAAUUGGUUGCAAAUGGGUCUUAAGGAAAAAGUUGAAACCGGAUGGUUCUAUUGAUAAAUACAAGGCUAGGCUAGUUGCAAAAGGUUUUAAACAACUAGAAGGCCUAGAAUUUUUUAUACUUUUUCUCCGGUAACAAGAAUUACAUCCAUUAGACUUUUAGUUUCUAUGGCUGCAAUUUUUGAUUUGCAAAUUCAUCAAAUGGAUGUAAAAAACUGCUUUUCUAAAUGGAGACCUAAAUGAAGAAAUUUAUAUGAACCAACCCGAGUGUUUUGUUGAAGCAGGCUAAGAAAGCAAAGUAUGUAAACUUACAAAAUCUCUAUAUGGUUUGAAACAGGCACCAAAGCAAUGGCAUGAAAAGUUUGAUUCCUGCAUGAUUGAAAAUGAUUUUAAAACAAAUGAGUGUGAUAAGUGCAUAUAUCAUAAGUCUUGGAAUAAUUCACAUGUGAUCAUUUUCCUAUAUGUUGAUGAUUUGUUGAUCUUUGGCUCUAACAUGAAUGUUAUUGAUGAAGCUAAAAAUGUUCUUAGAAGCCAUUUAGAUAUGAAAGAUCUUGGUGAGGCAAAUUUUAUUCUUGGAAUAAAAAUAACAAGAACAUGUGAGGGUAUUUUCCUUGACCAGUCACAUUAUGUUGAGAAAAUUUUGAAAAAAUAUAACUUUCAUGAUUGCAAGCAUGUUGCUACUCCUUUUGAUUCAAGUGUUCACUUAUUUCCUGUUGAAAGUGACAAUGAUGUAAUAAAUCCAAAGGAAUAUGCUAGUAUAAUCGGAAGUUUGAGAUAUGUGACUGAUUGCACUAGGCCUGAUAUUGCAUAUGCAGUAGGAGUACUUGGCAGGUUUACAAGCAAGCCAGGUAAUGAACAUUGGCAUGCUAUAACAAGAGUUAUGAGAUAUUUGAUUGGAACAAAAAAUUGUGGUUUGUUCUGUAAAAAAUAUCCUGCUGUACUUGAAGGCUUUUGUGAUGCAGAUUGGAACACUUUGUCAGGUGAUUCCUGUUCUACCACUGGUUAUGUCUUUACUUUAGGUGGUGGUGCUGUUUGUUGGAGAUCAAAAAAGAAAACUAUAAUUGCUAACUCUACCAUGGAGGCUGAACUAAUUGCUUUAGCUUCAGCUAGUGAGGAAGCGAAUUGGUUAAGAGAUUAUUGUUUCAAAUUCCUUAUUUUGAAAAACAAAUUCCUCCUAUUUUAAUUCAUUGUGACAGCACCACUGCAAUUGGUAGAGUUCAAAACCGUUAUUACAACGGUAAAUCCAGACCUAUAAGGAGGAAUCACAGUAAUGUAAGAUCGUAUUUGACAAAUCGUACCAUUAUUGUUGAUUAUGUCAAAUCCUGUGAUAAUCUUGCAGAUCCUCUUACGAAGGCCUUAACAAGAGAAAAGGUCUGGAGCACAUCGAGGGGGAUGGGAUUGAACCCUAUAAAUCCUUGAAUCAUAUAUGAGGAAACCCAACCUGGGGACUAGAGAUCCUAUAACUAGGUUCAAAGGGAAAAACUAAUCAUAUGUUGACUUGUUGUGAAAAAAUGCACUAUUUGUUUUCCCUCCCUAUGAUGUGAGUGCAUUAUUUCCUAUAGUUUGUGAAGGUUGAGUUGAUAAAACUCUUAAUGAAUAUCUAUAGCCCAUAUGGGUGGACUGUUAAUCUUACAGGAGCACUCUCGACAGAUUUCACCUAUGUGAUGUGUUGAAGUAGGCCGCUUCCUAUGAGAAUGGGGCUUAUUCUCAAAUGCACUCAUGAAACCGGGAUAGCACAUGGCCAUAACGUGCUGGCUGUUAAAGCUCAUGUCAACACCUUGAUUAUUAUGUGUGAGCAGUGAUAUUUUAUUUCCCUUAAGCAGUCAUAGUUCAAGUCUGAGACCACUACGACUAUGGAGUAAAAGUUACUAUUUCACUAAGUGGAGGUUCAAUGCAGAGCACACCUUCAUUAUGCAUAGUAGUCUUCCUUCAACUGAUAUACUCUCUUAUCUAAAUAUUAAAAUGAGUGGGGGAUUGUUAGAUUAUUAGCAUUUUAAUAUUAAUAUUUAACAUAUUAAAUUGCUUUAUUUCGGAGUUAUAAGAAUGAACAUUGGAAUGGAUGACUUCUACAUCAUCCAUUAGCAUUGGUAAUCCAUCAAUGUAUUUCAUUCUUAAUUCCUCCAUUACUCUUUGUAACCUAUGUAACUCCCAUUGUAACCUUUCACUACACCAUUUUAGGUCUACGACAACACUAGAUCUGGACAACGCUUAUAAAGUGUUGCAUAAAAUACAUUUGGGGACGUUUUUAAAGUGUAGCCAAAAAUUUUGACUUUUAGUUACACUAAUAUUAGCAACACUUCUAAAGUGUACUCUUUAAUGGGAUAACCUACACUUUAUAAGUGUUGUUAUAGUUGGCAACAACUAUUUACAUAAAUGGCCACACUUUUAAAGUGUGCUAUUUUUAUAAUUAUUAAUACAACACAUGAAAAAUGUGGCCUUAGUGUUUUCCCCAAAAUUUUAUAUUCCCUCUAACAUUUUAACAUUAAAAUUUGAUCUCCCUCCAUUUUUAUUUGGCCAAAAAAAUAAAACAUUAAAGAAAUAUUUAAAAUAAUAAAACAACAAAACAACAAAACGGGCAACAUUAGUGAAACUUCAGCUGAAACUUUCACUUUCAGCUGAAGAACAAAUUUAUGUUCAAAACUGAAGAAAUCAUUUGCAAGAACUGAAAAAGAGGAUCGAAGAACGGAAGAAAUCGAUUUUCGUCACAAAUUCUGUCAAAGUUCAGUUGAGAACACCAUUUCCAGUCGAAGAAUCAAAGAGCAAUGUAAUUCCUCUAAGGCGAACUGAAGAAGAAUAUCCUCCUCUCCGAGCUUCGUUGUUCAAGAUUGGAGAGCUGAAGAAGACGAUUUUCUUCAAAGAUUCUUGGGUAAAGUGUUGUUCCAUCAGAGAUUCUUUUGAAAGUUGAAAGAAAAUGCUUCACAAAUCAACUUGCUUCAUAUCUUAAAGCUUUAGGGUUGUUGGAAUAGAGUUUAUCAGGUAAGAUAUUUUAUCUUCAAAAGUCUAAAUUAUAGCUCUAAGAUUUUGAUAUUCUUUUGUGUCAGUCCAAAAUUAAAGUUAGGGUUUUUAUGACUUGUGUUACUGAUACGAAUUUUAUUGAUUUAGGGAGUUUAGUUUGUAGUUGUAUGACGUAUAAAUGGGCAGAUUAUCUUUGACAGACUAAUUUUUUCUCUUAAAUGUUGAAUGUAGAAGCUGAAGCUAAGUCAAAAGUAUCUGAAGAACUGAGUUGUAGCUAAGUUAUCUUUCUUCGAAGAACUGAAGUGUUGAAGCUGGUGAUACCUAUAAUAUUUUGUCCCUAAAAUAGAUUCCGUCAAGUGUAAGUAGCUACUCUACAUGAAUUUGAAAAAGUUUUAAUGUAUGUUUUAAUGUCACUAUUUUUUUAGUCUUUUUUAGUCUUCCUGAGUUCAUGAUUGUGCUCGUCUUAAGCUUGGUUUGUUCCUUUGUUAACAACAUUGAUUCUGUCUUGUAGCUAUUUGCUGGUAAAAUUUUUCUUUUUUUGACUACAUGUCUUGAAGUGUCUAGAAGUCAUUUUGUUGUUUGUCUAGUGCAUUUUUCAAGUAUAGAUCAGAAACAUUAGUUCGAUAUUGCUUAGUUGUUUUGGGAUCAGCUCGUAGUAUGAAUUUGUUAAACUUGCUUUGUAGUUUGAGUUGCACAAUAUAAAAAAUAAAUCAUAUGCCUUAGAAAUUGGAGAUAUAAGAUAUAUUUUUCAAGUCUAGAACGGGUGGGCUGGGAGCAGUAACUUGUGAGAGUCUUUUCUGCUAACUGUUACUAGCAAUAACAGAAUAAAGUAGAAGAUUUGUUUUUGUGGUAUGGACAACUUGUUGGAUUUUGGAUAUUGUUGAAAGUGAGGCUUGCUUCAUCUAAGUUUUAGAAGAAUUAGGAGAAGUAAGUGCAAAAAAAUGGAGAGAAAGUUUUGUAUGAUGUUAAAGUUUGACCUAUUUGAUAAAUUAGAUGCAACGGAUAAGAUAAUAGCUUGUAACAGUAACGACCCGUUUAGUCGUUUUGAGCAGCAGACUUUAUUUCUGGAAAAACUGGCAGAAGCGACGGACCCCACGACGGAACGUCAUGGGCACGACGGACCGUCGCAGGGUCUCGUUUCAAAACACUUAGAAAAUCUGAAAUUGGGUACUAAAAAUCGACUCUCUGAACUUUGUGACGGAAUGGCAGGACGGACCGUCACAGGUGUGACGAACCGUCACAGACCCUUGGUGGAAAUUUGGGUCUCUGAACUCUGCGACGACCUGCAGGACGGACCGUCGCAGGCACGACGGCCCGUCACAGGUUGCGCAAAUCCCAGGCAGAAUCGGAUUUCCUUACACGUUUUAAGGGACGUUUUUGGACUAUUCUUUCCUUAAUUAUAGAUUUCGUGGGUUUAUAUUAAUAACUCAAUUUCUUGGGGGUUAAAAGAGGUAACCCUAAGUUAAUUAGUGGGGUAUUAUUGUCAUCUUUUAUUCUUAAUUAUAUGUUAAUUUGGGGUAAAAGAAAGAGGGUUUUGAAUAAGAAAAGAGAAAAAAAAGCGAGAGAUAGAUUGAUCGAUUGAGAGAGAGAGAGUCGAACGAGGAAGAAGAAUAUCAAAGCUUGGGAGAUUGCUUGUUGAUUCCAAUUCUUCGGUGGAGGUAGGUUAUGGUUUUCAUGCUUUCAUAGUGAACUCUUAAUAGAGAAUGAUAUGUAUUGGUAGUAUUGUAAACCCUACUAUAUGCUUAAUUGUAUGUUUGCGUGAAUAUGAUUAUGUGAUUGUGAUAAGAUAAGCAUGAUGAAAAUAUUGAAUCCCAAAUCUUGAAAGGAAACUUUAAUAUACAUUAUUAAUGAUGAUGCCUUGGUAUAGAAGAAGGUUUGAUGAAUUAAAGUAAUGGGAUUGAUGAUGCCUUGGUAUAGAGAAGGCCUGAUGAUUUACGGAAUGAUGUAGGGGAUCGGGUGUCACGAACCGACACGUAGAAUUAGGGGAUCGGGUGUCACGAACCGACACGUAGAAUUAGGGGAUCGGGUGUCACGAACCGACACGUAGAAUUAGGGGAUCGGAGUGUCACGUACCGACACAAGAGGAAUAAUGAAUAUGAGGGAUCGGAGUGUCACGUACCGACACAAGAGAAUUAAAGAUAAUGAAUCUUGAAAGAUGUUAAUAUACUCAAUCUAACGAACAUAAUUCCCAAAUUAGUAUGGUGUUGAGGCUUGAGCCCUCAUGGAUGAACUUGAUGGUACUUAUUGAUGAUUAUAAUACUUGUUGUGGCUACAUGUUGAGUUUUAUAGUUGAUUUACGAUAAUAUUGAUAUAUAUUGUUCCCUAUUUUGAGUUGGCCGAUGAUAUCUACUCAGUACCCGUGUUUUGUACUGACCCCUACUUUUAUGUUUUCUUCUUGUUUAUUUGUAGAGUGCAGCAAACGUGCCAUCGUCUUCAACUCAACAGUAAUUCAAGCCAGUCUUACUACAUCGGAAAUUCAGGGUGAGCUAAUGCUUCUAGCUUGGACUGGAUCUUCUUCUUCAAGUCUUGAUGCCUUGAACUUCCGGCAUGGACUAGCUUCUUAUGUAUUUUUAGCUUUUAGAAUACUCUUAGUUUAGUCAUUUGAUCGUAGAUGUUCUUGUGAUGAUGACUUCCAGGUUUUGGGAAUAAUAGAUGUUGAAUAUUGAUAGUUUUUGAAUUGAUUUUAUUAAUGAGUUAAGUCUUCCGCAUUAUUUUCUGUUGUUAUUACAUUGAAAUGAUAAGGUUUAGAUUGGUUGGUUCGCUCACAUAGGAGGGUAAGUGUGGGUGCCAGUCGCAACCCGGUUUGGGUCGUGACAAACUUGGUAUCAGAGCAUUAGGUUCGUUGGUCUCAUCACAUAAGAACAGGUAUAGUAGAGUCUUAAGGAACGGUAGGGGGACGCCUUUACUUUUCCUUGAGAGGCUAUAAGACUUUAGGAAAAAUUUCACUCUUUCAUUCUUUCUUUCGUGCUACUACUUGAGUCCAAUUGGUAUCUAGGCGAUACGAAUUGGUAUCUGACCAUCUUCACUCUCUUUCGCAGAUGGUUAGAACUAGAGCAACGACUACGUCAACACCAACACCGGCCAGACAAGAAACAACGGAGCCAGCCACUGGGGCUGUGGCUCGAGGAAGAACAGCGGCAAGGGGCCGUGGUAGAGGUCGUGGGAGGACGUCCUCUAGGGGAAGAGGACGAGCACCUAGCCCAUCUGAUACUAGGGCAGUGACCUCUCCACCGACUGAGGAGGUAAUAAGAGAAGGGGGGAUGGGGAAACUGAACAAGUGCAAAAUGAGGAAAUGCCACCCCAACCUACCCCAGAGAUGAUCAAUCAGGUUCUGGCUUAUCUUAGCGGGUUAUCUGAUCAAGGUCAGGCACCUCCAGUGUUUUCUGCGCCAACACCUCCGGUUUCAGAAGUACAACAUGCGGCUACUAUGGCUCCCCGCAUGGAUGUUCCAUUGGAAAUAGGCACGUUUCCACGUCUGACUACUGGGCCUAUAAUGACAAAUGAUCAGCAUGAACUUUUCAGUAAGUUCUUGAAAUUGAAACCUCCAGUCUUCAAGGGUGCGGAAUCUGAGGAUGCUUAUGAUUUUCUGGUUGACUGUCACGAGCUACUGCACAAGAUGGGUAUAGUAGAACGGUUUGGUGUGGAGUUUGUGACUUAUCAGUUUCAAGGGAACGCCAAAAUGUGGUGGCGGUCACAUAUCGAGUGUCAACCAAUAGAGGCACCACCUAUGACUUGGGCCACAUUCUCUAGUUUGUUUAUGGAGAAGUAUAUCCCCCGAACUUUGAGGGAUAGGAAAAGGGAUGAGUUCUUGAGCCUAGAGAAAGGUAGGAUGUCGGUUAAUGCUUAUGAGGCUAAGUUUCGUGCACUAUCCUGAUAUGCCACUCAACUCUGUUUCAGUCUUCAAGAGCGGAUUCGCCGGUUUGUGAAGGGGUUGAGGUCAGAAUUGCGGAUCUCGGCCUUACAGAUAGCGGCAACGGCAAAAUCCUUCCAAGAGGUGGUAGACUUUGUGAUAGAAGUGGAAGGAGUGAAGCCAGACGACUUCACCACAACAUCGACAUCAAAAAGGCUUCGAAAGGGAGGUGAGUUUAAUGGUUCUUAAACUAGAGGACAGGGUUUGGGAAGUUACUCAGUCCGACCAAUUCAGUCUUCACUACAGACUGUAGUUGGGGGACCACCUCAGACCGGUCAACACUUCUCCGAGGGGCAUAUGAUCGACUCCAAAGAAUGUUAUGGAUGUGGGGAGAUUGGAUAUAUUAGGAGAAAUUGUCCCAGACCAAGUUACAGACCCCCAAUAGCUAGAGGUAGAGGUGGUCAUGGUAGAGGCCGUUUUUCUGGAGGGCGUGGUGGUCAAGGUAAUAGUGGUCACCAAAACGGCAGAGGUAAUGGGCAAACUGGGGCCACUACAUCACAACAUGGUAGGGGCAACGGACAGACGAACGAUAGGGCCCAUUGUUACGCUUUCCCUGGGCGGUCUGAAGCGGAGGCAUCUGAUGCUGUCAUCACAGGUAAUCUUCUGGUUUGUGAUUGUAUGGCUUCUGUAUUGUUUGAUCCUGGAUCCACGUUUUCUUAUGUAUCUUCCUCAUUUGCUAAUGGUCUAAAUUUACUUUGUGAAUUACUUGAUAUGCCUAUUCGUGUCUCUACUCCGGUGGGUGAGUCUGUGGUAGUUGAAAAGGUAUAUAGGUCUUGUUUGGUAAACUUUGUGGGGAGCAACACUUAUGUAGAUUUGGUUAUCUUAGAAAUGGAUGAUUUUGAUGUAAUUCUGGGUAUGACUUGGCUUUCUCCGCAAUUUGCGAUCUUGGAUUAUAAUGCUAAAACGGUGACGUUAGCCAAGCCUGGGACAGACCCGUUAGUGUGGAAGGGUGACUACACUCCCAAUCCAGUCCGCAUCGUCUCCUUUCUUUGUGCUAGGAAAAUGAUUAGUAAAGGGUGUUUAGCUUUCUUGGCACAUCUCAAGGAUGACACUACCCAAGUACCUUCGAUUGAGUCGGUUUCAGUAGUUCGUGAGUUUCUGGAUGUGUUCCCUGCAGAUCUUCCUGGUAUGCCACCGGAUAGGGAUAUUGACUUCUGUAUUGAUCUUGAACCCGGUACUCGCCCCAUUUCUAUACCCCCUUAUAGAAUGGCUCCCGCGGAGUUAAGAGAGUUAAAAGCACAACUUCAAGAGUUAUUGAACAAAGGCUUCAUUAGACCAAGUGCAUCUCCUUGGGGUGCUCUGGUUUUGUUUGUAAAGAAGAAGGAUGGGAGUUUUCGAAUGUGUAUAGACUACAGACAACUAAACAAGGUAACCAUAAAGAACAAGUAUCCUCUUCCCCGCAUUGAUGAUUUGUUCGAUCAGUUACAAGGUGCUUGUGUCUUCUCUAAGAUUGACUUGAGAUCCGGUUAUCAUCAAUUGAAAAUACGGGCAACGGAUGUGCCAAAGACUGCUUUUCGAAUGAGGUAUGGGCAUUACGAAUUUGUAGUGAUGUCCUUUGGUCUUACGAAUGCCCUUGCUGUGUUCAUGAGCUUGAUGAACGGGAUUUUUAAGCCAUAUUUGGACCUCUUCGUGAUCGUAUUUAUUGAUGAUAUAUUGGUAUACUCAAAGAGCAAGAAGGAACAUGAAGAGCAUUUGAGAAUGGUAUUGGAAAUGUUGAGGGAGAAAAAGCUUUAUGCCAAGUUCUCUAAGCGUAAGUUUUGGCUAGAUGCGGUGUCCUUCUUGGGGCACGUGGUUUCUAAGGAUGGAGUGAUGGUGGAUCCUUCUAAGAUUGAGACAGUGAAGAAUUGGGUAAGACCCACUAAUGUGUCAGAAAUAAGGAGCUUUGUUGGGUUAGCUAGCUACUACCGCCGAUUUUUCAAGGGAUUCUCUUCUAUUUCUUCCCAAUUGACGAACUUGACUAAGCAGAACGUCCCAUUUGUAUGGUCGGAUGAAUGUGAGGAAAGCUUUUAGAAGCUCAAGACUUUGUUGACUACCGCACCUAUCCUUACCUUGCCAGUAGAGGGUAAGAACAUCAUUGUUUAUUGUGAUGCAUCCUAUUCUGGUUUGGGUGCAGUACUAAUGCAAGAGAAGAGUGUGAUUGCUUAUGCUUCAAGACAAUUAAAAGUGCAUGAACGUAACUAUCCCACUCAUGAUUUGGAAUUGGCCGCGUUAGUGUUUGCAUUAAAACAAUGGAGACACUAUUUAUAUGGGGUUAAGUGUGAGAUCUAUACGGAUCAUCGUAGCCUACAGUAUGUCUUUACUCAGAAAGAUUUGAACUUAAGACAGAGGAGAUGGAUGGAGUUACUAAAGGACUACGAUAUCACUAUCUUGUAUCAUCCGGGGAAGGCGAAUGUUGUAGCGGAUGCUUUAAGUAGAAAGGCGGGAAGCAUGGGAAGUCUAGCUCACUUGCAAGCUUCUAGACGCCCAUUGGCUAGAGAGGUUCAAACUCUAGCUAAUGACUUGAUGAGAUUAGAAGUAAAUGAGAAGGGAGGAUUGUUGGCUUCGGUGGAGGCAAGAUCUUCCUUUCUUGACAAAAUUAAGGGAAGACAGUUCGAUGAUGAGAAACUGCGCAGAAUCCAAGAUAAGGUAUUGCGAGGAGAGGCUAAGGAAGCACAAAUCGAUGAGGAAGGUGUUUUGAGAAUCAAGGGAAGAGUAUGUGUACCCCGCGUCGAUGGUUUGAUCAACACUAUUCUGACAGAGGCUCAUAGUUCAAGGUAUUCUAUACAUCCGGGCGCAACCAAGAUGUAUCGUGACCUAAAGCAACACUUUUGGUGGAGUAGAAUGAAGCGUGACAUUGUGGAUUUUAUUGCCAAAUGUCCAAACUGUCAACAAGUAAAGUAUGAACACCAAAGGCCCGGAGGAACACUUCAGAGAAUGCCCAUUCCGGAAUGGAAGUGGGAAAGAAUUGCAAUGGAUUUUGUGGUUGGUCUUCCGAAGACAAUGGGUAAGUAUGACUCCAUUUGGGUGAUUGUUGAUAGGUUAACUAAAUCUGCUCAUUUCAUUCCGGUCAAGGUGACUUACAAUGCAGAAAAGUUAGCCAAACUUUACAUCUCGGAAGUGGUGCGAUUGCAUGGGGUUCCACUAUCCAUCAUAUCAGAUAGAGGUACGCAGUUCACUUCUAAGUUUUGGAAAACAUUGCAUGCAGAAUUGGGUACUAGGUUGGACCUUAGUACUGCGUUCCAUCCCCAGACCGAUGGUCAGUCUGAGCGAACGAUUCAAGUGUUGGAGGAUAUGCUUCGUGCGUGUGUGAUAGAGUUUGGUGGUCAUUGGGAUAGCUUCUUACCCUUAGCGGAGUUUUCAUACAAUAAUAGCUAUCACUCAAGAAUUGAUAUGGCCCCAUUUGAAGCAUUGUAUGGUAGGAGAUGUAGGUCUCCCAUUGGUUGGUUUGAUGCGUUCGAGGUCAGACUUUGGGGUACUGAUCUCUUGAGGGAUUCGAUGGAAAAAGUGAGGUCUAUUCAAGAAAAGCUUCUAGCGGCGCAAAGUAGACAAAAAGAAUAUGCAGAUCGAAAGGUUAGAGACUUAGAGUUCAUGGAAGGUGAACAAGUCUUGUAGAAAGUUUCACCCAUGAAAGGGGUGAUGCGGUUUGGUAAAAGGGGUAAACUAAGUCCAAGGUACAUUGGACCAUUUGAAGUACUUAAGCGAGUGGGGGAGGUGGCUUAUGAGUUAGCCUUGCCUCCAGGGCUGUCCGGAGUACAUCCGGUAUUCCAUGUGUCGAUGUUGAAAAGAUACCAUGGGGAUGGAAACUACAUUAUCCGUUGGGAUUCAGUUUUGCUUGAUGAAAACUUGUCUUAUGAGGAGGAGCCUGUUGCUAUUUUAGAUAGAGAAGUUCGCAAGUUGAGGUCAAGAGAGGUUGCAUCCAUCAAGGUGCAAUGGAAGAAUCGACCGGUUGAAGAAGCCACUUGGGAGAAGGAGGCGGAUAUGCGAGAAAGAUACCCACAUCUGUUUAAAGAUUCAGGUACUCCUUUUCGCCCUUGUUUUCCUUCUUUUGAUCGUUCGGGGACGAACGAUGGGUAAAUUGGUAUCUAAUGUAACGACCCGUUUAGUCGUUUUGAGCAGCAGACUUUAUUUCUGGAAAAACUGGCAGAAGCGACGGACCCCACGACGGAACGUCAUGGGCACGACGGACCGUCGCAGGGUCUCGUUUCAAAACACUUAGAAAAUCUGAAAUUGGGUACUAAAAAUCGACUCUCUGAACUUUGUGACGGAAUGGCAGGACGGACCGUCACAGACCCUUGGUGGAAAUUUGGGUCUCUGAACUCUGCGACGACCUGCAGGACGGACCGUCGCAGGCACGACGGCCCGUCACAGGUUGCACAAAUCCCAGCAGAAUCGGAUUUCCUUACACGUUUUAAGGGCGUUUUUGGACUAUUCUUUCCUUAAUUAUAGAUUUCGUGGGUUUAUAUUAAUAACUCAAAUUCUUGGGGGUUAAAAGAGGUAACCCUAAGUUAAUUAGUGGGGUAUUAUUGCCAUCUUUUAUUCUUAAUUAUAUGUUAAUUUGGGGUAAAAGAAAGAGGGUUUUGAAUAAGAAAAGAGAAAAGAAAAGCGAGAGAUAGAUUGAUCGAUUGAGAGAGAGAGAGUCAAACGAGGAAGAAGAAUAUCAAAGCUUGGGAGAUUGCUUGUUGAUUCCAAUUCUUCGGUGGAGGUAGGUUAUGGUUUUCAUGCUUUCAUAGUAAACUCUUAAUAGAGAAUGAUAUGUAUUGGUAGUAUUGUAAACCCUACUAUAUGCUUAAUUGUAUGUUUGCGUGAAUAUGGAUAUGUGAUUGUUAUAAGAUAAGCAUGAUGAAAAUAUUGAAUCCCAAAUCUUGAAAGGAAACUUUAAUAUACAUUAUUAAUGAUGAUGCCUUGGUAUAGAAGAAGGCUUGAUGAAUUAAAGUAAUGGGAUUGAUGAUGCCUUGGUAUAGAGAAGGCCUGAUGAUUUACGGAAUGAAGUAGAGGAUCGGGUGUCACGAACAGACACGUAGAAUUAGGGGAUCGGGUGUCACGAACCGACACGUAGAAUUAGGGGAUCGGGUGUCACGAACUGACACGUAGAAUUAGGGGAUCGGGUGUCACGAACCGACGCGUAGAAUUAAGGGAUCGGGUGUCACGAACCGACACGUAGAAUUAGGGGAUCGGGUGUCACGAACCGACACGUAGAAUUAGGGGAUCGAAGUGUCACGUACCGACACAAGAGGAAUAAUGAAUAUGAGGGAUCGGAGUGUCACGUACCGACACAAGAGAAUUAAAGAUAAUGAAUCUUGAAAGAUGUUAAUAUACUCAAUCUAACGAACAUAAUUCCCAAAUGAGUAUGGUGUUGAGGCUUGAGCCCUCAUGGAUGAACUUGAUGGUACUUAUUGAUGAUUAUAAUACUUGUUGUGGCUACAUGUUGAGUUUUAUAGUUGAUUUACGAUAAUAUUGAUAUAUACUGUUCCCUAUUUUGAGUUGGCCGAUGAUAUCUACUCAGUACCCGUGUUUUGUACUGACCCCUACUUUUAUGUUUUCUUCUUGUUUAUUUGUGGAGUGCAGCAAACGUGCCAUCGUCUUCAACUCAACAGUAAUUCAAGCCAGUCUUACUACAUCGGAAAUUCAGGGUGAGCUAAUGCUUCUAGCUUGGACUGGAUCUUCUUCUUCAAGUCUUGAUGCCUUGAACUUCCGGCAUGGACUAGCUUCUUAUGUAUUUUUAGCUUUUAGAAUACUCUUAGUUUAGUCAUUUGAUCGUAGAUGUUCUUGUGAUGAUGACUUCAAGGUUUUGGGAAUAAUAGAUGUUGAAUAUUGAUAGUUAUUGAAUUGAUUUUAUUAAUGAGUUAAGUCUUCCGCAUUAUUUUCUACUGUUAUUACAUUGAAAUGUUAAGGUUUAGAUUGGUUGGUUCGCUCACAUAGGAGGGUAAGUGUGGGUUCCAGUCGCAACCCGGUUUGGAUCGUGACAGUAACUUUCCAAUUUCAUUACAUGUCAAGUUCUUCCAAAUAAAAUAGUAGUAAAUAGAAUUGUAAAGACAGUCUAUGGUCAAGUGCUUUUUUCCUCACUGACUAUAUUUAUCGGACACUCCAAAUAUGUUAUCACACCCACGCAUGUGCUGAUAAGUGAACUAGAAAUUGGACUCUCCAAAUUUGAGUUUCACUAGCUAAGUCUACUGUCCGAAAAAGUGAACUAAAAAUAAUCUUUUAAGACUGCAUAUUCUGCUAUCUCCUGUUGUUCUGUUCCUCUUUAAUAUGAAUUUUGUGAUACAUACAUAAAGCUUACACUUCUGCUCCUUCGCAUGUUUUAACUCUUCCAGCCAAGGACAUAUUUAAAAAUGAGAAAUUUGGGGUUGUUCUUUACAAUUAUGCUCCUCACGAUUUUCUUGUUGAAUAGUGAAUUCAAAAGCUCUAAUUAGAUGAUUCAUGCUAUGUUACUUACCUAGUACUUAUUGGAUAUCUUUUUUAUAGUUUGAAGGUUGAUCCACACCGAUCUUACUUGCGACUUGUAACACUUCCAUGGAUCAGAUGAAUUGAUUGAAAAAAAAUAUAAUGAAAUAUGACUUGACAAGUGUAACAUGUGCUAAUGAGAUAAUCAUCUCAUUUUGGUAUAUUGAGGUCAGUUUAUUCUCCAUGUCUUUUUAUGUAAACAUGAAUAUAUAACUUCUUAAAUGUCUUUAAUUUAUAGGACACAUAGUAGAAAUAAGGUAUUAAAACUAGCAUCUUUCACUUUUAGGACAUGAAGUAACUCAUCAAGUAUGUAAAAGAAUACUGAAUUAAAAUAAGUGAUAGAUACAAUGUUUAAUAUUAUCCAUUUCCUUUAUCAAAUUAUGUGAAAGUUUGUGCUUUGUCACGAUAUAUGUUGGAUAUGAUAUCCAUUUCCUUUAUACAGUCAAUGGCAUAGUGACAAAAUUUACUAUAGAAAAUGCGACGAAGACUAGGAUAGUAAUUGCAGAUAGAGACAUACAUAUAUUGGGAUCGUUUUGGAACAUUAAGAUUGCUAGAGAUUCACUUUGUAGUCUCAUUAUGGGGUCUUCCGCUGAUAAGGUUUAUUACAAGGUCAGAGUUGUUAUUGCCGAGUCGAGAUGCUUUGUUUUUUUUAUAGGAUGUUUAAGUAUCAAAGUUUGAUUUUGUUUGAAAUUAUUGGAUCUUGAGAUUUUGACCAAGUUCUGUCUUUUUCAAAAGAUGAACAUUUUAAGUAUGCAGUGAUUAUAUGUGUACUAGGCGAUGACCAUAUAAUUUUGGUUUCAUAGUUAUAUCUUUGUGUUAUCUUAUAUAUGCUAAUGUUAUAUAAUUAUUCGUACUUCUUAUGUGGUUUGUUAGACUAUAAUAUGAUUAUUUCAAUAAGAUUAGUUAGGUUGCCAGUGCACAUUGUGGUUUGAAUACUUGAUUUUACUUUUGAUAACAAACUUAAACUUUUUUAUUGCUUAACUACUCAUCUCAGAGCAAAUUAGAAUAGUUUGAGACCAUUUUGUUGGUGUCUAUAAUUUUCAGAAUUAUUGUGUUGAUUGUUCUGGUCUAUGUUUCUUCCCUACUGUACAUGCCAGAUAUGAUCAUAAGAGUCUGUGUUUCUUCCCACUUUAUAUGACAUAUAUGCUCAUAAGACAACACAUCUGCAUAGACAUAUUUUUUGUGAAGUAAGAAGGAUGUCAUUAAUAAAGCAUCAAGCAGAUGCACAAAUUACAAAAGAAUGAUUUUUCUGUGUCAAGAAAACAAUUAACAAUAGUGAUGAUAAAUUCUACGUAAGAAUCCAUACUAAAUACGGGAGAGAGAUAAACCCUCUGACAUAAAGCUUCUUCUCAAGUGCACUCCAUCCAAUAUAGGAAAAGAAAAAAUUAGUAGUGCCUAUCUUGUGCUUUUCUAUGAACCAUGUCAACCUUUUUAUCCUUUCUUUUGGAAUGCUUGUGUAGGAGGUGAAAAAUGCAACAAAAGACUUGAAUGGUAGGAACAAGUGGUCUAGUUUUUCAAUAAACCGAUUUAACAUGGUUUAUACUAGUUUUUCAAUACACUGAUUCAAUAUGGUUUAUACACUUAUAUAAAAAAUUUUAUUGAGAUUUUGAUUCUUAAUAGAUCACUUUUCCAACCUGAGGAUUUAAUUCUACAAACUAAGAAGAGAUUAUUUCAAUCUGGAGAGUCCAUUCAAGAGAAAAGAAUUAAACAUCCUAUGCAAAACUUUAGGUUCCAAAUGUCUUCAAAGUAAGGUGUUACUGAUUCAGUUUAUGUGACUGGGGAAACAUUUGGUAAUUCAGAGGUACAAAUGGUAUUCAAGAUUAAUUAAACUUCAAACAGGUGAAGAGGAAGUCUGUCAUACCGGCCACAAGCCUUGAUCAGUUUCUAGCAGAACAAUGGUUACAGAAAGAACAUGAUAUUAAUGAUCUACCAAACUGCAAGCAGGUAAAGAGGAAGUCGAUCAUAGGCGAUGAAACAAAAAUAGAUAACCACACAGUAGCUGAUGAUCUUGUGGAUCAAGAAGAAAUCAAUAGGGAUGAGUGUGCUAUAGAAGAGGAAAUUGGCAUUGAUUGUAGUACGAAAGGUAUGUCUCAAGCGUUAUAAGAUUUAUUACUUAUAUAAAUGACAUUUCUUAUUUACUUACUGUUACAUAAAUCAAGAAAUAUUGGAGGCGAAAAAAGUCCGAGGAAAAACAACAUGUAAGGAUAUUCAUGCAAGAAAUUUGGAAGAAAGAAAGGAGGUGACAUUUGAUAAAGGGCAAGCAGUGGGACCAACUGGUAAGAUAGUGUCCGAAUUCACCAACUUCAUAGGAACAAUUUCAAGGAACCCGAGGUUCAUCAACUUGAUGUACACUAGUUGGCAUGCGGUGCCAGAAGAUACUAAAAAGCGCAUGUGGGAAUAUAUCAAUGUAAGAACAAUUAAUUUUUAAAUUGCAUAUUUAUUCUUUGUUUUUACAGAUUUAAGCUAACUAUAUUUUAUUUUACAUAGUCCAAAUUCAUAAUUCCAAUAGAAGGAAAAGCGUGGGUGAUGACUGGCUUUCGUGAUGCUUGGAAGCGAUACAAGCAAAAAAUUAAAGAGAGAUUUUUUGAUAAAAAUAGUACCAUUGAGGACAUGCUAGCAAAACGUCCCAGUGACAUUGCAGAAGAUGAAUUUCAUCAAUUGAUCGAGUAUUGGAAAGACCCAACUGUUCAAGUAAGGCUAAAAUACUACAUUUCUAUUGUUCAACAUAUUUUGGAUUAUAUCGAUUCUAUUUUUGUUUUAUUUAUUAAUUCAAACAUAUCUUUUUAUAUAAUUAUAGGCCAUGUGUGAGAUGAAUUCUCAAAACAGGAAAAAGCAAAAAUGGAGGCAUCGAAUGGGACCUAUUAGUUUUGCAAGAGUACGCGUGGCAUUGGUAAUACUUAGCAUCUUCGGCCAUAUACAUUUAAUCCAUUUGUAUUCCUCCAAUAGAUUGAUAAGUUUUUAAAUAUCUUUUUAUAUAAUUUGUAGCAUGCAACCAAAGAAAACAAUGAGGAACCAUCAAAGUCUGAAAUGUUUAUUGCAACUCGUACAAAAACGGGAAAGGAACUUCAGGCCGAUACUCAAAUUGCAAUAGUAAGUUUUUUAAAGUGUAUUAAUGAUGAAUUUAAUUCAGGUUUAAUAUGCUUGAAGGGAUGUCAAUUGAAGUUACUUAAUGAACCAUAAACUCAUUUAUGCUAGAGAGAAAUAAGAAGUUCUUGAAUAUAAUAUGAAAGUCAAUUUUAUUCAAUAGGCUGAACUUAAGAAUCGCCAAAAUUCCGGGAAAACUGCAGAUGAUGCUUUUACGGCAGUGUUUGGUAAGGAACAGCCUGGUCGACUUAGGUGCUAUGGUAGAUCAGUGACAGCAAGUUCAUUGAAUAAAGAUGAGAAAGAUAGAAAGCUAAAACAAAAACAUGCUAAUGAAAUCACUUCUCUGAAAGAAGAAAUGAAUGAAAUGAGAGAGGAAAUAAGAGUAGAAAUGAGAGAAGAAAUGCGAAAUUUUUUUAGUCAAUUGCUUCAAAACAACACUGGAUUGAAUGUUCGAGGUAUGCAAGGGGGUGUUGUAUCUAACAUUGCUUCACCUAUUGAUGCGGGUAGUACACAAGCUGUAAAAGGCCAAAAUCCUCUACAAUCUUCCGGGUCAACUCAUGAUCCGAUUCUUCAAAAGGUAUUUAGUACUUUUUCAAAUUAGUCCUCUCAGUUUCUCAGAAAGUCUUCUUGUUUGUAAUUGUUAUUGAUUAACUUCAUGUUUGAAUCAAAUUAGUUAUUGUUAGUUGCUUUGGUUUGAAUUGAGCUAAGGUUUUGUUUCUCUUGACCACUGUUCAUCUUGCUUGUUUGGUAUGGUUGAAGUGUAGUUUUUCUAUGUUAGAUUUAGUUUCCUUGUUGCCUCGCUCUGAUGAGUAUGAAGUAACUCUGAACUUGUUACAUAUUCUCGAUAUGGUUUUGAAUAUUAUUGAAUGGUGGCGAAACACUCUAAAUACGACUGAGUUUUCUUUCUUUGGUUAUUGUUAGUGGCAUUGGUUUGAAUUGAGCUAAGGUUUUGUUUCUCUUGACCACUGUUCAUCUUGCUUGUUUGGUAUGGUUGAAGUGUAGUUAUUCUAUGUCAGAUUUAGUUUCCUUGUUGCCUCGCUCUGAUGAGUAUGAAGUAACUCUGAACUUGUUACAUAUUCUCGAUAUGGUUUUGAAUAUUAUUGAAUGGUGGCGAAACACUUUAAAUACGACUGAGUUUUCUUUCUUUGGUUAUUGUUAGUGGCAUUGGUUUGAAUUGAGCUAAGGUUUUGUUUCUCUUGACCACUGUUCAUCUUGCUUGUUUGGUAUGGUUGAAGUGUAGUUUUUCUAUGUCAGAUUUAGUUUCCUUGUUGCCUCGCUCUGAUGAGUAUGAAGUAACUCUGAACUUGUUACAUAUUCUCGAUAUGGUUUUGAAUAUUAUUGAAUGGUGGCGAAACACUUUAAAUACGACUAAGUUUUCUUUCUUUGGUUACUGUUAGUGGCAUUGGUUUGAAUUGAGCGAAGGUUUUGUUUCUCUUGACCACUGUUCAUCUUGCUUGUUUGGUAUGGUAGAAGUGUAGAACAUUACAGUCCAAAUUAUUGAUUAGUCGUGUUGCUACCCUUACUUUAAGGUUGGUGUUUCCAAGGAGCCUUUUUAGUUGAAUAAAGAUUUGAAUGUUUAGUAGAAAUCAUAGAUAACCUUCAGAGUUAAAGGAUCCUUUGUCUUAAAAAUACAAAUUAUUGAGUUCUCUAAAAGUAUAGAUCCCGAUGAAGUGAAAUGGAUAUUGAGGAUUCAGUCAGUUAGCUGUUCUACAGUCACAAAAGCUUACACAGCAGGCACCAUCUGUGGCUGUGCUCCUCAUUUGCCUAAUACAAAUAAGGUAGAAUUGCUUUUAUAUGGUUCAAGUUUUGGCUUCUAUAGAACAUGCAAACACAUAAAUACUUUUAAUUUCAUUUUUUUGAGUUUGCGCACCUUGAAUGCAAUCAAUGACCAUAAAGAUAUCAUUUUUAAUCUAUUUUGUGCUAGUAACAGCAAGAAUUUUGAGCUAAUAACAGUCCAAAUUAUUGUCUAAGCCUCUCUGCAAAUAAACUUUGGCAUAGUGUGGAAUCUGCAAUCUGCAGAUUUGUUGUUAAUAUUUUCUGUAACUGCUGCUGCAUUCUGUAGAAUAUCCAUGUUGUUAGCAUUAUUGCUGCUGCAAUCUGUAACUUUUGUUAAUGUUUUCACUAUGCCUUUUGUGCUUCUAUAUAUCAUUAUUUCCGUCAGUAAAGCAUGCUUCCAUAACUACAAACAAAUACACAAAUAAUUAUAGGAGAAUCUAAUUGUUUGUGUCUCCUCAUUAAUUCCUUUUCUCUAUAACUGUUGGAUUUCAUUGUUGCAAUCUGAAAGUCUUACCUCUUCUAUAUAACUGCCAAUAUCUUAUUUGUGUAGGGAAAUGGAGGUGAUCAAAUUUGAAGUGGAUGAUGAAGAGUUUUUGAACUAUUGUAAAAGUUUAAAUACAUAUUUGAUUUAUGUGUACACAUUUAGAAUAUUGAUGUAUAGGUAUGGGUAUGUGUACACAACACAUACUAUCUUUUGAAGUACUUUAUGGGAAAUCUAUAAAUUUGAAUUACUUAUUAGCGCUAGAGAUUAUUUAUUGCAAUAUAAUAUUGGAGUAUUGUAAUUAGAAAUUGUGGCAUAGGACUGUAAAUUGUGUAUGCACUUGAGCAAGGACAAAACUUCAAAGUGUUGUCAUACAUUAGAUAGAAAAGGCAACACUUGAUAAGUUUGGGCAAUAUGGUAGCAAAGGCCACGCUUCAAAGUGUAGCUUAUAAAGCAACACUUAUAAAAGUAGCAGCAGAAGCGUGGCUUUUUCUGUUUUAGGGUACGGUUGUAAGUGUAGCUGAUAAGGCAACACUUCUAAGCGUAGCUACAAAGUGUGGCCUUUUUGACUUUGAGGCUACGCUUAAAAGUGUUGCUCAUAUGGCAAUACCUCUAAGCGUAGGUAAAAAGCGUGGCCUUUUUUCCUUUUGUCUACGCUUUUAAGCAUAUCUGAUAAGGCUACGCUUGUAAAGCGUCGCCUAAACUCUAAGGUUUCACUGCUUUCGGCCACACCUGGAAAAGUGUCGCUUAAAGUCAAAAAGUGUGGCUUUUUACCAAAGGCCACACUUUUUCAUAGUUUAGGCCACACUUUUCUAGGGUGGUUGGAGACAUAAAAUGUUGUAGUGUUUGUAACCUAUGUAACUCCCAUUGUAACUUAUGUAACCUAUGUAACGCCCAUUGUAACCUAUGUAACUCCUAAGACCAUUAUCUUCACUAUUUACUACCUCCAUUAUCUUCCUAUUCAUUGCUAGGAAGACUUCUUGUAGUAUAAAUAGUGGUAGUCUUCAUUUGGUUUUAGAGACACACAAUUCAUAAGAGAAAACAAAGAGUGAAAGAGUUAGUCUAAAAGAGAGUUCUUAUUAGUUGAAGGGAGGUGUUCUUUUUUGUGGAGUUUUGGACUCAACUCUUGUCCAGAGUUGUUGAGUUAUACUUUGUGUAAGCUGUUGUAUCCUGGAGGGGACAAGUCAAAGAGGACUACUUCUGGACCGGUGAAAACAUUUGUUGUAGUGGGCUUGAAUCUUUUUAAAGAGAGAGAGAUAUCCGCGCCUCAACCUGAAGAGAUUACUUUCUUCAUUUUAUUUUAAAUUGUAAUCUUGCAAUUUUAUUAUCUUGUAAGUUUUUUCACUAACACUGAGGAAUUACCUGAAUCAAAGACACGACCUUAUUCUAUAUUGGUGGUGUAAUAUGGGGUUUGAAUUAUAUGAACUCUUAUCCAAAUCGAUGUUAAAUACUAUUAUUAAAAUAACGUAAUAUUAUUCAAUAAUUGUAUGAUAUCCCAUUUAAGAAAGAGAUUUCAUUUUAAGAGAGAAAAAAACUAAAAAAUUGAUACUUUAAGUUUAUGCUUAUUAAUACCUUUUUAGAACUAAACUUUAAUAAAACUUGACUAUGCUUUUUUAUAAAGUUAAUCAUGUUUUAUUUAAGAAUAUGUCUAUUCUUUCUUUCGGAAAAUAUGCAUCAUGAUGUUAAAAUAUAUUGAAUUUUUCUAAAACAAUCACUUGAAGAGAAAAAUGUUCUUGAAUCUUUCUAAAAUAAUGCACUUCAAUCAAAAUAUACUUUCAUGAACUUUUUUUUGAAAGACUUCUUUAAAAUUUUGAAACUUACUUUACUCAUGAAAACAAUACAUACAAAUUACCAUGACAAGGUUUUCAAAUAACUUUUAGCUAAAAAGGGUCCAUAUGGUAAAAUCAGCAUUAACCAUAUAAGAUCAUAAACUAUAUGAAGUACUAUAAUUUCAAUACUAAAAUCAAGAAUCAAUUCAAUAGGAAAAUAGAGCAAUUUGAAAAUCACAAACUUUGGGUAAAAAAAGUUAGCUUUGAUCUUACUAACUGAAAUUGUAGAUACAGGGCGUGGAGAAGAAUUUAGUUUCUCACUAUGAUAGUCUUACUUAACUUAAAUUCUCCACAAAAAUCUGGAAGAAGAAUCUUAACUAGAUGAAGAGUCUUUUCUUGAAAUUCUUGGGUUCAUUUCUUGAAAAUCCCAUGUUUUUUUAUGGUAGAUUCUUGCUUAGGCUACAUAACUAGAAGUCAAAAUCACUAAAAAUUGUGAGAGUGUGCUUAUCUUGAUUCUCAAGGAAUAAUUCGUGACGUUUUUUCUAUAAAAUUCAAUUCUAGGAAUUCUCAAAUCCCAGAAUUGAAUUUUUUAUAUUCACUAAAGAUAGAAAGAGGAUUUGAUGUUUGAAUCUUAUUGAAAUUUUUGAAUUUAUGUUUUAAGAUCAUGGAAAGUACUUACCAUGACUUAGUAGGGUUUAAGAGAGCUCUUGGGAGCUGUUGGGAUAGACCAAAGAGUGAAAAGUGAGGAAAAAAACUCAAAAUAUUGUUCUUGUGAAAUCUUAAAACAUUGAUAUACAACUAAUAUAUAUGAUAUACAUGGGUCCGUAGAAUGAUACACAACUCAUGGAUUGGUUGUUUCUUGGAAUAUAUGCGAGAACUUUAAGUUCAAUUGCAUGAGCUAGAACCACUGCUCGUAAAUGGCUUCACGGAGGGUAGUUGUCAAUUCGUGGAAAUUGGGAACAAAAUUCUCAGAUUGGAGUAUCUGUAGUACUUGCUCCUUUCAUUCUUUUAAAGUUCCUCAGUCGUGUUGGCAUACUCCUGUUGGGUUCCAAUUCUCCCUACAAAUAUAAUCAUUAUAAUAAUAUAGAUUGUGAUAUUUUCAAUUGAUCUGAUUGAAAGAAAACAGUUUUUCUCACGUUACAAAAUAUAGUAAUUUUACCUGAAGUAAUAUCAUCAUCAAGUAUAUAUAGUACAAGAAAAGGGAUAAUGUACAAGUACCCCUUCAACCUAUGCCCGAAAUCUUAUAGACGCACUUAUACUAUAUUGAGGUUCUAUUACCCCCUGAACUUAUUUUAUUAAUAAUUUUCUAUCCCGUUUCAGCCUACGUGGCACUAUCUUGUGGUCAAACGCUGGUUGACUUUUUUUUUCAAGCUAGUCCCACAUAGGCCGAAAAGGGGUAGAAAAUUAUUUAUAAAAUAAGUUCAGGGGGUAAUAAGACCUUAGUAUUAUAGUAUAAGUGUAUCUCUUGGAUUUCAGACAUAGAUUGAGAGGGUACUUGUACAUUUUCGCACAAGAAAAUAAAAAUACUUAUCAAGCUAAGUAUCUCUUGAAAUAGUCUUUCUCAUUUAUUUGUUUUUACCUGAAGUAAUAUCAUCAUCAGGUAUAUUUUUUGAGACAAUUCUUUUGUUGUCACUAAAUCAUAGAUUGAUUAGAGAGAAUAAAAUAUUUGUCACCAAUUAUUUAUAUUACUAGUAAAAUUACCCGCGCUUCGCGUGGAAAUUUAAUAUCAGAGAAUUUAUAAAAUAAUAUUAUAAAUAUAUCAGUUAUAUCAAAAUUAAAACACUAUGUUAUCUCACAUACACGAUUACGUGGUAACAAACAUUGAUAAUGUAAAGGAAAGUUAAAUUUGUUAUAUCUUAUCAUUUAUCCUUAAUAACAUAAGCACAAAUUAAUGACUAUAAAAAAACAUACCAAAAUCUGUAACAUCAACAAUGGCGUCAAUGAGCCACUUAACAGGAACAAAGUACACAAAAAAUUAGUUGUGACGAAGCAGAAGAGAUUUAGAAUUUUCGUUGUUAUAAAAUGAGAGGAAAUCCCUCUAUUUAUAGACAACAAAGACUAGUAAACAAAUAUUUAUCGUGCCUUAGCAGAAAUGUUACAACAAUUUGGAAAAGUUGCAACCUUUCAUAAAAAGUCAGAACUUUUCAUAAAAGUUGCAACUUUUCAUUAAGUCGCAACUUUUCAUUAAAGUCGCAAAUUUUCAUUAAAAUCGCAACUCUAUAUAAAAUUUUGUAAAAGUCACAACUCUUCAUUCAAGUCACAACUCUGCAUCAAAAUCGCAACUCUUCAUAAGGGUCACGAUUUUUCAUGAAAGAAAAAGGCUAGUUUUGAAAAUAAAUAAAUUCAAAAGGAAAUUUUGAUUUUUGAUGGCGCCACAUAGGCGGGUCCAAGUGUUCCUUUAUAUAUGUAUAUAUAUGAUAUAUGAUAUAUGAUUAGUGACAAAAUAAGUGUCAUAAAUAUAUAUAAAUUUUCAUAGCUAAAAUUUAUAAUAUUUAACUACAAACUCUAAUUUGUCGAUAUGAUAACAACAUAUAUUUUUAGAUGAAAUUUUUUAUGUCCAAAACUUAAUUAAUUAUAAGACAAAUAUUUUUUUUCAUGAAUUAGAUACAUUAUUAGUGACGAAAUAAUGUGUCGCUGAUAACUUCAAAUUUGUGACUAACACUUCUUAACAAAUGUCGUCAAUUAAUUUUUUGGUGGGAAACUUCAGUGGACAAAACUUUGCUACAAAUUUUUAUGUUUCGUCACUAAAAGUAUGUGUUUCAUAUAUUUAAGCACGAAAAGUAAAUUUUGUCACUAAAAGCGAAUAAUUGGUGACGAAUUUGAUGUCGUAGUUUGUCAUGAAUUACAUACACUAUUAGUGACGAAUGUAUCAGCGAUAAUUUUAAAUUCGUGACUAAAGUUACUUAAAAAAUGGCGCCAAAUAAUUUUUUGGUGGGAAACUUUAGUGGACAAAAAUUUGCUACGAAUUCUUAUGUUUUGUUACUAAAAGUAUGUGUCUCAUAUAUUUAAGUACGAAAAGUAAAUCUGUCACUAAAAGCGAAUAAUUAGUGACGAAUUUGAUUACGUAUCUAACAAUUCAUAACUAUAUAUCAUAUUUAUUGUAGUGUAUGGCUGCGAAGGUGGUAGAUACUCCGACGGUGAUGGACGAGACAAUGAUAGUUGUGGUUGUGGUGGUUGUGGUGGUGGAAGCUGCUACAAGUGUGGUGAGGACAAUCAUUAUUCAUGUGAAUUCACUAAUGAUGGUCAUUGAUUGUGACUUAAAGUCUGACUGCUACUAAAAAAGUUAAUCAAAAGUAUUUUUGUAUAUAGAGAGAGUCCGUGAGUGAAAAAAAAAGAAGAGAAGUGUGAUUUGUAUAGUUGUUUUUCAAACGGAUACAUUUAAUUUGGUCUACUAAUUAUUUAUUACAUUUGAAAAAAUAAUUAUUGACUAAUAAUAAUAUAGUCAAUACUCUUAAGAUCCGUGAAUUUUGACUAGGAAAAUUCUCUUAAGGUCCAAUAAGUAAUUUACUUAUCAAAAAGAAUAUUUUCAUUAGUCAUAAGUUUAUAAUCAAUCAAUAAUAUUCAAAAGUAAGUGAAUCACUAAAAGGGAAUUUAUUAGUUUAGUUACAACUUAUAGUAUCUUUGAAAAUAAUAAUUUUUUUAGCAAAACAAGUAAAGAUGACAUGUGUUGUAAAUAUAUAAUUACCUUGUGCCUUCAAUUUCUCUUUUCUCCAUUAUUUUUUUCAAUUUCUUGCUUGAAUAAUUGAUAUAUUACAUAAAUCAGAUCUAAUGGCUAAGAUAUAAUUUAUCAAAGUACAUAUUUAAUCAUAAUUUAUAUAAUAAAUAUAUUACAUGUUAGGAAAAAACAAGUUCUCUUCCUUUUUGUUUAUCUUUCACGCAAAAUAUUUAUCUUUCAUUCUCAUUUUACAUUAAUCUUUUAUCGCAUUUUUAUUUGAGACUUUUUGUUUAAUAUUUUUUGUAUUUAACAUACUUAGGAACAUGGGCCCUUUUGAAAAGUUUGGUCAUAAUUUGACCAUAAUAGUAAAAGCACAUGUUCACAUUAUGAACUAGUUUGUUUUUUAUUAUAUUUACCCUUUAACUAAAAUAGCGAAUAUAUUCUUCAAUUAUAUUUCCAAUGCAUUGGAAAUGAUUGAUGAGACUAAUUAUUUAUAAUUCCAUGUUUAAAUAUUAAAAAUGAACCACAAAAUAUAUCUAUAAAAAAUCAUGAGUAUCACCCACCCUUCAUUUGAAAUUUUCAAUAUCUAAGAAAUUAUUUUACCAAAAAAAAUUAAAAAUAUAAGCGUAGUAAAAAACUAUAUAACCAAAAAAAAUGUAAAAAACUAUAGUAUCUCUGUUUUAGUUUCAAAAAUUCCUCUUUUUUACUUUUUUUUUUACAAAAAAUUAUUUAUUUUCUAUUUCUGAUGCCUUAAUGAUAAAAAGGGAAAAUUUUAAAAGUAUAAAUGAGGAAUAAAGUGCAGAUGAUCUAUUACUUUAUAUUUUCUAAUCUAAAAAAAAUAUAUUAUAUCUAUAAUUUAAUAUUAAAAUUUUUACUUAAAAUUAAUAAUCUGAAAUUAAUCGAGUUGGCAAAAUAAUUACUCUUAUUUAUUUGAAGGAGUUGUUAUUAGAAAUUAAAUUUUUAGAAAGAAGUUAAAUAAUAAAAGUAGAGUAUAUUUUAUUAGAUUAUACUUAGAAUGUAUGUGAGCAAAAUAUGAAGAAAACUGAAACUACAAUAAUAUGUCUCGUAUUAUGUCAUUGCCUUCAUAUCUCAAUCUCAGAUGAAUCAUAUCAUAAUAAAGACUCAUCAAAAUUAGUACUUUUUUUUUUAUUUGAGUAGUAGAGAUGCAUACAAAUAUUAUUUGGAUAAAAGUGUUGAUGGAGUUUCAUUGAAAAAUUAUAAUAACAUCGAACGAAUAUAGAAAAAUCUUUAUAAUUUCAAAAUAAUCUUUUAUAAAAAUAAAUUGAAAGAAAAAUAUCUUUAUAGUUCUCUGAUGAUAAUGACAUUACCGAUACUUAAAUAAGCUCUAAUUAAAUAAUCUAAUUAAUUAUUGUGUACACAAAUGUAAAUUAUAUAUUAUUAUUUUUAAUUUAAUGUGAAAAAUAUUACAAUAAAUACAGUCAAAAAUCAAAAUGCUUUUAAUAUAUUAUACAAAUCAUAAGAUUCAUAUAACUUAUAAGUAUCAAUCCUAAUUAAUUACACUAAACAUUUUUAUAUUAUAUAUAUUCAAUCAAAGAUAGACCCUCUAUAUUUUGAAAUCAAACAUUCACGUCCUCUAUAUUACAAAUCAUAAAAAUUUUAUCCACCAAUAAUGUUAUUUCUAAUUUCCUAACAAUAUAUAUAAAUAUUGUAUAAUAUAAAUGUUCUACAUAAAUGAAAUUUUAUCUAACUAAUUAUAUAUACAUAAUUCUAAAGCAAGAAAAUAAAUAAAAAGAAAUUACACAUAAUAAAUAUUGCAUUUAAAUAAAAUUACAACUAAAGUACGUAUUUAUAAAUUACACAAUUGAAACAAUAUUUUAUAAAGGUUUUUAUUUUUUAUUUUUGUUGCAAGUGAAGUGAAGUCAAAAGGAUUUUAUAUUUGUAAAACUUUUAUUUGUUUGAAACAAGAAAACCCAUUUGAACUUAAGAAGAGAUUGAAAACUUUUAUCAAAACUAAAGCAUAGAAAGAUAUUCGAACUCAUAAACACCUAAUCUUACCCAUAAAUCAAGCCCAUUUUAAAUAAAUUAUCGGCCGAUUUUAAACAAUUUUGUUUAGUUUUUAUUUUUUCGAUAAAUUACGAAAAUGAGUAAUUGAUUAAUAAAAAAAAAGGAAGAAUAUAAAAAAAAUAUAAAAUUAACGCCAAAAAUUCACAAAUAAUUAUAGUAACCUUAAAUUUAAUUUAAACAUUUUUUAAAAAAAUUUCAAUUUUUUUAAUAAAUCCAGAAAAUAAGUAAUUGAUUAAUAAAAAAUAUAAAAAAAUAUAAAAUGAACGCCAAAAAUUAUAAAAUAAUUACAGUAACCUUAAAUUCAACAAUUUCAAUAACUUAUUACUUUUAAAUUUUUCGGCAAAUUCCAAAAAUGAGUUUAUUAACAAAAAAUAUGAAAAAUUCACAAAUAAAAAUAGGAAAAUAUGAAAAAAAAAUAUAAAUAUAAAAAAUUGUUGAAAUUAUUGAAUUUGAGGUUAUUAUAUUUAUUUGUGAAUUUUGACGUAAACUUUUUAUUUAUUUUUCAUAUUUUUGCCUUUUUAUUAAUAAAAUAUCUCUUUCUUUCUUUUCUUUUUUUUCUUUCACACAGGAUAUUUUUUCAUUCUCAUUUUAUGUUGUUUUUCACACAGCAUUUUUGUCUGAAACUUUCUCUUUUUAAUAAGAUUUAUUGAAUUUUAAAUACCCAUGAACAUGGGCUUUAAAAAAUAUACACUAUAUUGAUAUAAAAUUAGAGAAGAAUAUAAUAUUAUUCAUUCAUAUUAAAAACAUAUUUUUCAUGAGAAGUGAAAAGAUAAUAAAAUACUUGGUAUAGCAUGACAAAAUCUCAUGUAAUAUAUAUUACGUGUCAAUUUGCUAAUUUAGCUAAAACACGAAAGACAAAACAACUUAUCUCAAUUAUGUAUUUUCCUUUCUCAAUCAAACAACCAAACAAAAAUUCAUCAAAUAAAAUUUAGAAGCGUUUGAAAAAUAAAAUGAAGACGAUGAAAAUUUUCUAAAUUAAUGUUAUAGAAGAUACAUAUACAAAUAUUUGAAAUGGUUACAACUAUUUACAAAAACAUUCCACAUUUCUAUUUACAAAAACAUUCCUAUUGCCUUUUUAUUUUUCUGUAGAAGUAACGAACUUUUUUAUACAAAGAAAACAAUGAGUGAGCAAAGAGGAUGAGGGAAACUAGUUUAUAUAAACAUCUCUUAAGAAUUAUUUUAAUUUUUUUGCAAAGAGAAUAAUGAGUGAAUAGAGAAGGAAGAGGGAGAGUGGUUGAUAUAUUUAUAGUUUAAUUACAUUAAGCUACAUUUUUGGCAUAUCAAUUACAAUAAUACAUAAAAAUAAAAAAUGAUGAUCCGGAAAAUGCACAAAUAUCUAUUUAACCUAUGUAAGAAAUCUCGGAUAUAUAUCGGGAUAACAUGACCUUAGUAUAAUAUAAAUGUAUCUAUGAGAUUUCGGACAUAUGUCGGGAUAGCUAUGAAUUUUUCCAUGAUGAUGCAAAUAGCCAUUUUAAAUAGCUAUCAAAAGUUCAUAUUGGAAAAAUGAUUAUUUAAUUAUUAACUAAUGGUAGUUAUUAUACUCAAACUAGUUUAGUUAAAGCAAAAAUUACGUCAAUUUUGUCGAGGUCCACUAGCUUACUUGCCCAAAAUUGUUUUUAUUAAACAAAAUCAAAGUAAAGAGAAUUCUGCAUAUAGGUAAGUGAAUCACAAAAAAAAAAGGUCUAUUAAAGAAAAGUGACACGUCAAUGCUUGUCAGCUAAAGUCGACAAUAACUUGUUUGAAAGGGUUGUUGCACUUUAGUCAAACAAUAAAGAUUUAUUUUUAUAUCUGACUGCAUGUUUUUUUAACUUAUUUAUUUCUUAAACAUGACACAUGUCGUUCUUAUACAUUAAAACAACAUUUCUUUAUAUACAUAAUAUUUUUUGUUUUUUUUUAAAAAUAAUUAUGGCUAUACUCGAAGUUUUUUUUCUUUUCUCAAAAGUUUUUCCUUUUAACCGUUACAGUGGGACAAACUUUCUAUAUUUGACAUAACAAUUAUUAUUAUUGAAAAAUUAAUCAGAACGUCCGUAAAUUAUUAUUUUAAAAGAUAUUACACUUCAUAUCUACUAAGUAUUUGAUUAUUAUUGGUAUGUUCUACAUAUAUUUUCAAUUAAAAAUUUAUGUUGUGUAUUUUUAAUGGUCAAAACUUUUAUAUAAGUGUGGAAUCAUUUUCUAAACCAACUUUAACAGCGAUACAUAACCUGCUUGAAUUUGUUCAUAAUGUGUUUUUGUUCAAAUAAUACAAUACAUUUAUUAGCAAAAGAGCAUUUUUGACCCAAUAAAUAUAUUUUUGGAUCAGUUAACAUGAAAGAACAUUUUAAAAUUGAACUAUUAGCGAAGGUAUUCUUUGUUCAAUUUAAACGUAAUUUUAAAAUGGAAAAAUUGUAUAUAAUGACAAACUAAUAAAUUAAAUUAAAUAUUGUAAUCACACUUUGAUUUAGUUGUGUCCCGUAGCAAACUGUUUGUCCGUCAUCUCUCUCUCUCAAACUCUUGCUUGUCACUCUCCUGUCUCUCUCUCUCUCUCCAUCUCUCGCUCGCUUCCUCUCACUUUUAUACAAACAAAAGUGUAUAAAAUGUGUUUUUAUUUGUAUAAAGCGAGAAAAAUUAUAUAUAUACAUAUAUUUUCGUUCCUCUCUCUCCCCUCUUUCAGAUCUCGCUCUCCACUCUCCCAGAUCUUGCUCGCCACCCUUGCCUCUAUCGCUUAUACAAACAGAAACAAAUUGUAUAAAUUCUGUUUCUGUUAGUAUAAAGUAAGAGAAAAUUGUAUAUACAUAUGUAAAUACAUAUAUCUUCGUCUUAUACACUUAUAAUUAUAAGAUAAAAGUACUUCUCUACCCAGUUUAUUUUGCAUUUCACUAUUUCUCGUUUUAUACAUAUUCAAAUGGUAUAUAAUUUAUCGUUCUCGUUUUAUACAAUUUGAUUCAAUUUUAUAUUCUCUGCCCAAACCUCUUUUUUCUUUCUCUCUUUCUCAUUUAUACAAAUUCAAAUUGUAUAUAAUCGUCCUAUAUAUGUUUAAUUACACAAUACAAAAAUUUCUCUGCCCAAGUCUCUUUUGCUUUUCUCUUAUAUAUAUAUAUAUAUAUAUAUAUAUAUAUAUAUAUAUAUAUAUAUAUGCUAUGGAACACAAUUAUGCAAAUUUUACUAUAGCAUACAAAUAUGAAUUUUGUAUUUGCUAUAUAUGAAAGUUGCCCUUUUAAAAUAUAACUUUUACUUGUUUUUAGGAAAAUAAGGAGAUCCAAGAAUGUUAUUGAAGGGUUUUUGUGGGGAAUACCAAUCAACUUAUAAUUAUUGAAUUUUAUAUAUAUAUAUAUAUAUUUAUUUUAAAUGAUCAAACCCUCUUCUUAACUUAGACAAAUUUUUUCAGAUUUUUCUUUUCUUUUCGAAAAUGAAUAUUUUUAAUUUUUUAGCUUAUUCUUAGCUAUUUCAAAUUGUGAGAUGUUAUACAACUCAACACCAAUACUGUAAAAAAUACAUAUCCUCAACAACAAGCUCAAUAUUAAUCAAUCAAAGUUUCACAGAAAGGCACUCACAAGAUCAGCAAAACACAAUAUAAAGUUUUCUAAUGAUAAAUAUGUGCAAUGUAAUGGAAUGCAAUAUCAAGUUUAGUGAUGCAUGUCUCACCUAGUGAAACACACCCGUUGUCUCUCGGUUGGGGACCCAUGAGAGAUAUAUCUGUACAUGCAUCUAUCGUGACAAGCAAUACGAUCCUCGAUAAUAGUAAUCACCGCAGAGCGUUAUACGUCCUUUGAAAUAUAGUAUCCAUCACGGCUCGUGAUACAUCCCUCGAAAUGGUAAAACCUCUUUAAUUUCUUAUUCUUUAUCAAUUCAAAUAACAUUUAUCAGAGCCAUCUCCUUGAACAAUGAGAAUGACAAGUUCACACAAAUAACGAGGAGAUGACCAUUUUCAUAACAUUGCAAAAUUCACAACAACAUAAUCAUGAUACAACAUAAAGAAUGAUUCAACAAGCCUUUCAUGUUUUUCUCAACACAUCGCACACAAAUUAUUAAUCACAUUGCUUUUUAUUAUCCAUUUUUCAUCAUUAGAAUUAAUCAAUGUGGACAAGUCAAUCCAUCACCAAGUUUCAUUAUCCCCAAACACAUAUUAUUAGGAAAUACCAGAGUCCCAUACACUUAACAAGAGUUUAGAAAUUCACUUGCCUCAAUCAUUCAAUCCACUCGAGACUUGAGUCUUCCCCUUUCGUUGAACUUCCAACUCAAAACAAUUUAUUCAAAUACAUGACCACAAUAAGAUUUAAAACUGACAACAUCAUAUUACUAUGUGUCUAGUUUAGAAUAAAGAACUUAUCCAAUCUAAAAUUACUUUCUUUAGUCUUGAUGCUAAUUAACAUGUCAAUUCUUUCAAUUUUUCUUCAGUUUUCAAGUCUAGGGUUAUGUACUAGUUUCUCUUGAAAUAACACAAGUCUAAAGUCAUUCACAAAGUAUAAUACAUUUAAUAUUUAAUUAUCUAUCUCAAUAUAUCAAAACUUGAAUUAUAUGUGAUAAUUAUAAGAAGGAAUUGAAGAUUCACUAGAAAUCCAAAUUCAUGAACAUAGCAUUUUUGUUCACGGGAAAACCAAUCUAGAACGGUACAAAUUGAUACAAGUUAUGUACCUAAAAUUUAUUCCCCAACAAUAAAAUACCAAUUAUUGUCCUAUGACUAUCCUAAAAUCAGUAGGUCAUUAUUAACCAUAUUUUCACCCAUCCAUACAUAAUAAAAUACAUUCUAACCACAUAUUGCAAAACACAUGCAUUUUUUUCUUUACAUUAUUUCCAUCAACACAUAAAUAUAAUAUAAUAUUAUCGCCUGACCAUAAACUAAAUCAUUAAUUUUACAUACAAGUUUAAUUCGUACCUGCACUGGCGGUCAUUUCACUGGUUAGCGAUGCCGCCAGUUUCCUUGCUUUUAUUUCCUCUUAAAGUUAGGAUCUAAAAUUUUUGUUUAUAUUAAUAAAUAUGGGUCAAGUGGUAUAGGGUUUUAAAUGAAUUUCAGACUUUACUCAUUAUUAUCAACUAAAUAAAUAUAAAUCAUUUAAGAAAUCGUAGGUUAUCGAAUAGUUUAAAGUUCUUAAAUCAACAUUACCAACUAAUAUAAAUUACAGAAAAGGCUCAAAAAAACCCCUAAACUAUUCGAAAUAGCUCAAAGUUACCAUUAAACUAUAUUUCGGCUCAAAACGAUCCUUCCCAUCAUACUAUUGGGUCAAAAGUACCCUUUUUUAUUAACGGAAGUUGUUAAAUGUCAUGUGGAUGCCAUAUGGAUACCACGUUGCAUGCAAAUAGGGUUCAAAUGCCACAUAGACUAAACAAAAAAAGGUCAAAAAUACCCUUAAACUAUUCGAAAUAGCUCAAAUAUACCCUUAAAGUAUAUUUCGGCUCAAAAUUACCCUUCCUAUCAAACUAUUGGGUCAAAAGUACCCUUAUUACUAACGGAGUUGUUAAAUUUCAUGUGGAUGCCACAUUGCAUGCCAAUAAGGUUCCACUGCCAUAUAGACUAAAUCCCUAAAUCUAAUUACUCCCUUUCCUCCUCGUUUCAUUAUUUUUCCGAAACGAUUCACCCGUUCUCCAUUAUUUCGUGGCUAGGGUUUCACAAUUUUCUCGUGGCUGGGUUUCAAAGUGGAUAUUCAUGGUUGUAGUUUAGUAAAUUUUUUUUCUUACUUUAUUAUGUUUACGAUUUCAAAGCAUGAUAGUCAGGAUUUCAGAACUUUCCCCUUAUUUCGCGGCUAAGGUUUCUAGCUUUCUUCGAGGCUGAGUUUCAAAGUGGAUAUUCAUGGUAGUUGGUUAGUAAAUUUUUUUCUUAUUUGAUUAUGUUUACUAUUUCAAAGUAUGAUAGUUAGGAUUUCACAACUUUUCCCUCAUUUCGCGGCUAAUGUUUCAUAACUUUUUUUGGAGCUAAGUUUCAAAGUGAAUUUUCGUGGUUGUAAACACAAUAAAGAACAUAAAAGUUUUACUAACCUACAACCACGAUAUCUACUUAUAAACCCAGUCACAAAGAAAACUAUGAAACCUUAGGGAGAUGAAAUUGUUUAUGCAAAAUAAUGAAAUGAGGGGAAAACGAGUAAUUAAAAUUUAGGGAUUUAGUCAAUGUGGAAGUGGAACCCUAUUGGCGUUCAAUGUGGCAUCCAUGUGACAUUUACAACUCUAAUAAGAAGGUCACUUUUAACCUAAUAGUUUGAGGGGAAGGGUAAUUUUGAGCCGAAAUAUAGUUUAAGUGUAUAUAUGAGCUAUUUUAGAUAGUUUAAGGGUAAUUUUGACCCUUUUUCUUUUUGCCUAUGUGGAAGUGGAACUCCAUUAGCGUGCCAUGUGACAUCCAUAUGGCGUCCACGUAAUUCCGUUAAUAAGAAGGGCACUUUUGACCCAAUAGUUUGACGGAAAGGGUAGUUUUGAGUCGAAAUAUAGUUUAAGGGUAUAUAUGAACUAUUUCAGAUAGUUUAAGGGUAUUUUAACCCUUUUCCAUAUAAAAUAACUAGGGGCAACUAUUGCGAGGGGUAGAAUUGUAAUUCUAUAAAAAUAUCUAAAAUAUAUCCUUUUCAGGUAAUUACAUUAUCCACCACUAAAGAUCAUGUUUUUUCACGAACAUAAGUAAGAGAAAAGAAAGGAUAACCGAUGUUAAUAAAAAGUUGAGUUAUGACCUGUUAGUCAGUGUACAUCUCUCUAAGCGAGUUCUUCAUCGAGACAAUUCCUUCAAGAUCAACUUUUAAUAACUGCACUUUUGAAUCAAGCUUUGACAGACCUACAAAUCAGGAACUAUUACCAAACCAUACACUAACACAUGAAUUAAUUAUGAUUAAAACCCCUGGACCAUAACAUAACCAUCAAGACAAAUCUUUCCUCACAUAACUAAGAUGACAUUUGGAAUUGAUACCGGCUAAGACCAGAAGUAAUCUUGAACCAACCACCAUAUACUCAUAAUGCAUAAACCAUCAAAGAUCUUAUCAAGUUUCUUUUUUCACAACUUAACUUUUCCACAAGCUUAAGCUAUAAAAAUAUGAUCUUUACAUAUUUGGUACUCAUCAAGGGAGAAUUAAACUUAUCUUACCAAGGAAGAACAAGAUCAAGUAACCACCCAACAAGAGGUACACCCAAGAUGUAAAACUUUCAACAACAUUGUUGAAUAACAUAAUUAUUCAUACAAGCUCUUCUAUAAGUUCUCAUAAGCAAGGUCGUGUAUAUUACUACUACUAGACAUAUACACGUGCGUUGCACGUGUAAGCCAUGCUAAGUUAUAACAUUCUUUCUCGAGAUACAUUCAUGACCUUUAUAUAUAUACUUGUAUAGAUAUUAUAUUGCUUUUACCAAUGAGUAGACAUCAACAUUAAUGUGACAAUUGAAUCUUGUAAGAUAAAAUACGGGCAACAUAUUAUGUAAUGAGUUUAAUAAAAUAUUAAAAUAGAGUUACCUCUUCGUCGACGAAUAUCAGUUGCCAACGAAUAUCCUCACUGUUAGCAUUUUUAUAAUCUUUUGUUAAGCUCCGUAGAAUGACUAUUACUUUAAUCACCCAUGAUGUUGCAUAUUUCUUCAACUAGCUAAUAGUUAGGCAUUGAUUCUCGAGCUCUCCCACAGUUAUCAUUGUAAGGUUGUAGUAGUUAGGAUGUACUAAUACAAUAUAUAUUUGUGUCGUAAAUGUUAAUUUUUUGUGUCUAAUUAGUGUUCUUUUGUCGAACAAUAAAGAUGCUGAAGAAUAUAAUAUUCACUAGACAUGCUAAUUCUUCUUUUUUUACUUUUAAAAGCAAGCAACUUCAACUAACAAUAGUAUAAAUAUCACGUUAAUUGAAGCAAAUAUAUUCAAGUUGGAGAAACGUUACCAAUUUUGAUGGUGUUAAAAGGAAGAAACCUAUUAAAAGUAUUACAACACGAAGAGAUAGUAAAUGUACUGAAAAAAUGAACUAGAUUCUCUAAAUCACUUCAGUUUUCUUUUCUUUCUAAUCAAGAUUUUUUUGUUCAUUCACAUUUUUGCGCUUUGUAUUUUUUUUUGGUAGAAACCAUAUGAGGAAAAAUAAAAAAAGAAUGAAGAAAGGUGUGUUUGAGUUUUAUAGUGCGUGUAAAUUCAUCAUUUUUGUGUUGAUUUUUAGUUGUCUUUGGUUUAUUUCCAGAUCUGUUAGCUAUAAAAAUCUCAUCUUGUCUCAUUUCAAGAUUACCCUUUUUGUUCAUUAGGUUGGAGAUAUGAGUAAAGAAGAGUUCUAGAAGAUCCAGGUACUUGUUAUUUCCUCAAUUGGGACAUUCCAUUAAUGUGUGUGUAUAAAAAAAAUUUGGGGGGUUGCUUGAGUUUCCAUUUUAUGAAGUAAUUAGUAUCCGUUUGAAUGAAAGAUCAAAACGUGUUAUGAGUUUAUUCACAUUUGUAUGUGUAUUGUUUCUCUUGUACAGUUUGACUGGCUUUGCUUGUGCAUGCAGACUCGUGUCCUUAAAUUCAAUAUACACUGUGAUGGGUGUAGACAUAAAGUAAAGAAAAUCCUGCAAAAGAUUGAAGAUAGUUUUCCAAGACUCAAUUUUUUAUCAUCUGAAUAUCCAAAUAUGAUUUAAUAUAUGGCUUUUUUGAUUCUUUGUUGGGGUUGUUGUAAAAUGAUUUUAAUAUCCAGGGGUUUAUAAGACAAGCAUGCAUGUCCUAAAUUGACUAAUAUGUUAUUCACAAAUGUCUCAGAUAUCAAAGCUCCUGAAAUACAGCUAUCAAGGAGACAAGUUUUUCUAGUGAAAUGUAUAUAGUCAAAACUCAUUAGAUAUUCAAAACAUAAGACAUUUACCAUCAAAACUAAAUAUUGGAGAAACAUUUCACAACUACCAUCAAUACUUUAAUUGAGGUGAUCCUAAUUUCAAGAAUCUAACGACGUAAAUAUAUUUUCAAUUAGCCUUAAAACAAAGUAAAAGCAAAGAGUCAAGGUGAGGAGAGUAGAUUAACCUUAAGAAAUGACCUCACGUAUUCUCCUCUCCAGCUAAGUAAAGCACCUGCAACGAGAAAAGAAAAUCGAAAAAGAACAUAAGACUUCACGUUCACUAAAACAACAAAACUACAACAGUACACAUAUAACGAUAAAACACAGAAGAACUCGUUGUAUGAUUGCCCAAGAUACUUUUUUUGAAUGGUGAAUAAAACUAAAUAAUAAAAUUGCAAAUCAAUGAUUGAUAUUGUAGCCUGCAAAAUACAUAUUAAUAUCUACUUCCGAGUAAGGAGCAAAACUGCCAAAUAAGAAGGAGGGCAUUCCUUAGAAGAUUUUGACCCAUAUAUUUGAGAUAUUUGAUAAAUAAGUUGGUGUAUUGAAUGCAAGAGCAAGGCCACACAUGAGAAUGAAUACAAAUAUUUCUACAUUACCAUAAGAAGAUGCAACAACAUGUUGAAAUAUCAAUAUAGCAAACUGCUGCUGUUACACUUGCUUCUACAUCUCUAAAAUCAUUCUGCAGAAUUAAAUAUUUAAUACAACUGUUAGACUGAUCGAGGGAGGUAGAGGAGAACCUUUACGUUUCUGCAGAAUUUAAUUACGUUCAAAUUUAUUUUUUUAAUAAAUUAAUAUUUAACUAAUAAAUUAAUAAGUAACUAAUACUAUAGGGUCAAAACGGUAAAUUAACUUUGGUAUUAAGUUCUUCCUACUUAUAAUAAUACUAGUUCUCGAACACGUGCAUUGCACGUGUAUAUCGUGCUAAUUAGUAUAAAUGCUUUUAAAAUAUAAGUGUCGAUGUGUAAAAUACAAACUCGAAUCAUUGAACAGUGAGCAUAUUCAACUAAUAUUAUGAUAAAAACACAUCAUACAAAAAUAUUGUUAUAAAGUGAAUUUGUAAACUAAUAAUAUAGCGACUUCAAUUAUACAAUUCUUAUAAUAUACCAAGUAUUCAACUUGUUAAAAACUCUUUUUUAAUAUAUUAGAGCACAUUAUUCAAAUUCGACAUUAAAGUUAAAAAAUAUUAAAUGCCAAAGUUUCCGCCCUUUUUUAAGGAAUAAUACCGUCCACUUUUUUUUUUACAGAUGCAUACAUAUCGAGAACUUGUCAUCGAAGGAGAGUGGUGUUUUAAUUGUUGUAGAUAAAUUCGAUCAACAUAUGUCUUCCUUAGGAUGACUAGUAGAUCACUAUCAAUUUCAUAGUCUACACCUACAAAAUAAAAGUAUUUAUAAAAAAUGAUCAUUGUUUAAGUAUUUAAUUGACAUUUAUAAAUAAUAAUUACAUGUAUAUGUACCCUUCAUCUUCUUUGUCUCAUUCUAAGUUAUAUAUACUGCCAUCUUGAAAUUUUGACAAAGAAAUUUUUGUCAAGUUAUAUACAUAUAAAUGAAUUAUAAAAUACAAUACAACCAUUUGUGAGAUAUUAAUGGUAGAAAAAAGAAAACAAUAUAAACCAAAAUUUAUAUGGUACAACAAAUAAAUGCAUAUAAAAGGGCAAUAUGCAAAUAACGUCUACGAACGAUAAAGUAACAAUGAAUCUAUUCGAUAAAAAUAUACCAAAAAUUUCCAUUAACUCGUGGAAUUAAAUAGAAAGAAAACUAUAAUAUCAUCAUCAUCAUUGGUAAUUGAUUUAAUUUAAUUUCAAAAUGUGAUAUAAAAUUCUCUGAAGAUAGAAAAAGAUUUAAAAACUACCACAGUAUAAUUUGAAUAAACUCAGAGACCACUAUAUAUAGUUAGAUUAAAAGUUGAGUGGUCAAGUUGAGAGUUGAAAAGGACAAAAAUAAAUAGCAAAUUAGAUAUAAUUUAUACUUAUAAUGGUAUAUGUACUUCUAGUAACGGUUGGCAAAAUGAUACAAAGAGAUCUCAUUGAAUUUGUGAAUAAAAACGAGGGGGGCAUGGGGGAGUUAUCAUAGAAGUCGUUUUAUUAUUUAUUCAAUGCUAAGCUCCCUUGCCAGCUAUAUUCUAUAUCUUUUUUUCUUUGAGUCAUUAAAGUUGUUUACUCUAUCUAGUUGAAUUGAAUCUCUUCCUCUCCUUAUUUAAGAUUUAUUUAUUGUAUAUAGUGAAAGAAGUAAUUCAUUUCCAAAAUCUCCUCAUCUUCCCUUAUUUAAGCCUCAUAAAUCAUACUUUAAUCAUUUUGAUUAGGAAAUCAUUUCGAAAUUAAGAUUUUAUUGAAUACAUAUGAAAGUUAAAAAAUCUACAAAAAGAAAGAACAGAAAAACAUAUAUAGAUGUUGAGUUUUGGAGGUGUGAAAUCACCAUUUUCAUUUCCCAACUAUAUAGUUAUAUAUAGAUUUUCUAAACUAAAUUUCGAGUAAAAUUAGAAUUGCAUGAUUAGUAAUUUUUUUCUAAAAACAAAUAAAUAGAAUGAAGUUGAAGCAAAGAGCCGUUAAUUAGAUUUUAAUGAAAUCAUAAUAAUAAGAAUAGUUUUUGGGUAUAAAUGUUAAUGGUGUGCCAAAACUUAUAUUAAUUAAUUUUUUAGUUUAUAAAAGAGUAAAAAUACACUUACCACUUUUAUUAUUAUUAUUAUUAUUAUUUAAUGUUUAAUUCAAUAGAUAUAAUAAUAACAAUAUGAUAUGCUUUACUUAAUAUUUAACUAAUUAGAUGUUAUAUAUAUAUAUAUAGGAAUUAAUGUAAGAAAAUUCAGAAGUCAUUACUAUUUUCAUUAAAUUUAUUAAAAUAUUUUAAUUUUGGAAGGGUAAAAUCGUAAUUUAACUUUUGACUUGAGCUCUUCCCACUUAUAGAAUAACUAGUCUUGAAAACGUGUGUUGCACGUUUGAUCCCUACUAUUAUGUAAAUUUUAUAUAAGCCUAACUUCACAGAUAUAAAAAUUGAUUGUGUUUUGUCACGACCCAAAAAUGGACGUGCUGGCACUCGUCUUAUCCCACCAAGACAAGUCAGCCUAAAACUUACAAUAAAAUGCGGAAAAUUUAUAAGUUACUUAAAAGUACCCCAAAACCUGGUUGUCACGUGUACAGGCCUCUAAAGUAUUACAAUUGAUUCAAAAGAAAAACUCAAGUCUCUAAUGAACUUGUUUCUAGAAUAGAACAAGAUCAUAAUUAAGGAGAAGAAAGUCUGCUGUGAUGGAAACGGCUACCUGACAAAUCUCCAAGAAGCCUCGAAAAAGAAGAGAAUGACAAGUACAACAAAAAUCCAGGCUCAUAACCUACAAAAAAUUUGGAGUAGCAAGGGGUGAGUACCAAACCACACGGUACUCAGCAAGUAAACCUCUAAACACAAGUUAAGGGGAUAAAAUACGGGUACUCCUACCACCCCCAAACGAACCUCCGCAACUACUUCCUGCAGUAAAAUCAACCCAACCUAACAGCUCACAGUUUACAUAGCACGUAGCUCAACAACAACACUUAGACAAAUUACAUAUCCUCAACAACAACACUUUAACAGACUACACAUCCUCAACAACAAUAAUUCAACAAAUUAUAUAUACGCAAUAACAAGCUCAAUAUUGAUCAAUCAUAAGUUCCGCAGAAAGGCAAUCAGAAGAUCAGCAAAACACGAUAUCAAGUUCACUAAUGAUAAGUAUGUGCAAUGCAAUGGAAUGCAAUGUCAAGGAUAAUGAUGCAUGUCUGACCUAGUGAUACACACCCGCUGUCUCUCAGUCCGGGACCCAUGGGGGACAUAUCUAUCCAUGCAUCUGUCGCGGCGCACGGCACGACCCUCGAUAAUAGUAACCAUCGCGGCGCGCGAUACGUCCCUCGAAAUAUAGUAUCCAUCGCGGCGCGCGAUACGUCCCUCGAAAUGAUAUAUCCUCUUAAGUACUCAUUCUUUCUCAAUGCACAUAACACUUGUCACAAUCAAUGCCUCAAAAUCAUGUAGAUGACAAGUUCACAGAAAUAAUGAGGAGAUUAACAUUUUCAUAACAUCACACAGUUAACAACCACACAAACAUGAAGUCACAUCAAUAAUGAUUCAACAAGCCUUCAACCCUUUCUCAACACAUCACGCAUAAACAAUUAGUCACAUUGCCUUUUGUUAUCCCUUUUUUUUUUCAUCAUAUCAAUGUGGACAAGUCAACCCAUCACCAAUCCCGUUACUCCCAAACAUAUACCACAAGGACAUACACGCAUUUCAUACACUUAACAAGAGUUUAGAAAUCCACUUGCCUCAAAUAGUAGAACAAUCACUUCGGGACUUGAGCCUUUCCCAUUUGUUGAGCUUCCAACUCAAAGCAAUCUAUUCACAUACAUAACUACACUAAGCUUUCAAAACUAACAACACCCAUAUUGCUAUAUGUAGCCUAGAGCCAAAACUCAUCCGAAUUUAUAAUAAGUUUCUAAAUCUAGAUACCAAUAAACAUAUUAACUCUCAUCUUUUUCAAAAUUUCAAGCCUAGGAUUUAGUCUCAAAUUUUCCUCUACUAAUGUCAAUAUAACAGAGUCAAAAAAUGAUUUCAACAAAAUUGAUUGUUGAUGAUUAUCAAUCCAACUUCACAUUUUUCAAGAUAUGAGUCAAUCAUAUAUAUGACUAGUACUUUUAUUUAACUUUUUUUUUUAUUCCAAAAGUAAAAUAAAACUACAUACUAAUUAAGCAAUCUGUUAUUAAAAUUAAUUAUUUUCCUCACUAAUCACCCAAUUCUUAUAACUCUAUAAUUAGACUAUUAAUGGCCAACCAUGCAUCAUAAUUCUCCACUAACAAUUUUUUUAUGUAAAAAUAAAUAACAUUAAUUAUUAAUUUGUCCAAUCUUCAGAUCAUUAAUUUCAUACCAAGCAAAUUUUUCUCCUCCUCCCACUUUGUUGCUUUUAAAAAUUAAUUGUUCUAGUUAUAUAGUAAUACUCCUAUAAUGAUUAAUUUAUUUAAGUCUACAGAAGAGUUGAAAUUGGGUAAAAAGUUUGCUUACCUGAAGAUCUCCAUGCUGAUCCCUUGGACGCCGCCGCCACACAAGGUUUGAUUCUUCCCUUUCUUUAUUUUUUUUUAUUAAUUAUGUAGUAAAUAUGAUAAUGUUUACUUACUUAUUUUUAUUAUAUAUGGGCCAAAAGGUAGAGAAUCUUAAAUAAAUUAUCACUUUAACCCAUUAACUAUCUAUUUAGUCAAUUAUCCAUAAUUACCCAUCAAUUAAUUAACUAAAGUUAAACGAAUAGUUCAAAAUUCUCAAAAUUAACCUAUCGGGUCAUUACAAUAUCCACCACUAAAAAUCAUGUUCGUCCUCGAACAUAAGGAAGAAGAGAGAAAUAUAACCAAUGUUACCAACAAUUUAAGGUAUGAUCUUCUCGAGUCGAUGUUCAUAUCUCCAAGUAAGUCCUCCUUAAAAUCAUUCCAUCAGGAUCAACUACUACGAACUGAACUUUCAAAACAAACUUAAGUGGAUUUAUAAAUAAAGAGUGAUUAUCAAGCCACAACUAACUGAUGAACUUAAUCUAAACUCAAACCCGCUGGACCUUAAUACAAUCAUCAUGAAGAAUCGUUUCUCACAUAACCACGAUAGACUUCCGAAUCAAUACGUACUACGAGAAGAAGUGAAACUCAACCAACCACCAUACCCUCGUACUGCACAAACCAUCACAAAUCUUAUCAAGGUUUUCUUUUCACAACACAACUUUUUCAUGAGCUUAAGUUAUAAGAAUCUGACUUUUAGAUAUUGUUACUCAUCAAGGGAGAAUCAAACUUAUCUAACCCAAAGAAAAAAUAAGAUCAAGUAACCACCCAACAUGCGAUACACUUCAAAAUGUAGAAUCUCUACCAAUACGCUUUAACAAUUGUAACUCUUCGUAGUAGCUUUUAUAUAAGUUCUCAUAAGUAAGGACGUAUAUGUCGAAUUACAAGUAUACUUCAACUGUUCCAAGACAACGUUAAAUAUGUCAUAUCUAAAAUGACCUGUCUUUCCAAGCAUCCUAUCCUACCAAGAGGACAUCGCAGGAUCGGUACACCUGAUCCACCACUAGGGAUACACCCAUAGAUAUGAAAACACCUGUAGGUAUAGGUAGCAAAUCACACUCCAAACCAUACCCAAAAUGAAGUAGAUGACCAUAUAAGAAUAUACAAAAUCAAAGUCGAUAUAACACUUGAUACUUAUUUCAUAGUGACCACAUCAAACAUUCUUAUUCAUCUUACUCUAUUUAUAUAAUUUUUUAUCCACCCACAAUCAACUAGUCUGAUCUCCAUUACAAUCUCACAAAACCUCAAUUUAUCAAACCCCACAUACUUCUCAUGGUACACCACUAAAGUCAAAACUCCCAAUACUAACAAACAUCAUAACUACACCAAUCAUUUACCUUACUCUCAAAAAGUCUCUAGUUACAAAGUCUUCUUAGCAAGCACAUUGUAGUCUCCAAGACUUUAAACUAUGGUUUCUUAUCUUUCCAUUUAAGCGCCCCAUGAUAGAUAUAAGUCACACCCAAGACCGAUAACACUAAUUUCAAAUCUAUAUUUCUCCUUUAGGGUAAAAUAAUUAAGUCACACUUAAUGUCAACUUCACGUAAACUUUCACACACCAUUUUCAACCACAAUCUGUACCAUCAUUAACCUCAUGCCAAUACUUAGAGAAAUAUUAGGUCUCCCCAAUUAUUCUAUAUACUAUGGGCACAUAAUCUCUAUUUACCAUCACGUAUCUAUGUAACACAUCACAACAAGUGAUUCCAAAAAAAAAUAAAAAUCAAUGACUAUGUAUAAUUGUAUGUCCAUACUAUUACGUAUCCAUAAGUCACUUAACAAAAUCUGAACCGUUUAGCUCCACUUAACAACACAUACUUCUACACAUCUCACGGGUUUUACCCAAAUCGACACUCAAUCUUCAUAAAAAUUGCUGAUAAAUUUCUAGUAAGUCUAUACCGAAUUGAUUUACAAUCAUAGUCAUAUUAGAACUAUAUAUGUCCAUUCAUGGAUCCUUUAACUCAGAACCAAGAGUAUUCUUAUUCCUUCACACCUUCAUAAUUCUUUCGAUGACACAAAUUUUAAAUACCUGGAACUCUUCAAUACACCAAACUCUUUUUCUCUUCGCUGACUUGCUUACCAAUCUUAUCCUUUGACCAACAACCUAUGGUAUUUUUAUCUUAUCCUUGAAAUAAAAAUAUUACAUGAAAUCCCAUUUAGGUAUAACAAUCAAAAGUAACCAAAUUUACUACUCAAAUUAUUUUUAAGUCCUUCAAAUGCUUCAUACUCAAUGUGAUCAAUCAUUUCUUACCCCUUACCAAUUCAUACCUUGACAAAACACACUACCACAAAUCUAAACUCAUAAUGAAAAACUUGAAUUUUGAAUUCAAUUAUGUAACUCAAUCCUUUUAUCUAUUGAAAUUAGCUCAUACAUAAAAAAAUAUUUACAUAUUUGGACAUCUUAGCUUAUUAUUGAUCGCCUAUCCAUCGACCUUGUCAUACCCUUUCUUAAAAAUCCAAUGGUACCCGUUACCAAAUUCAAAACUAUAAAAGAACUUAUCACCACACUCGAGUCGAACUGUUUCAUCAACAUGAAUCCUUAAACCCAGUUAUACCAAUCCAAUCCAAAGAACUAACCCACUUUUAUCCGCACUUCCUUACUAAAACUCUUAAUUGUCUUCACAUAAGUAUACUCUUUAGGACUUCCUUUACCCAUAUAUUUGUCAUUCAAUAUUGAUCCAAUUUCUUGGACAUUACGAUGAAAUCACCACUCAUUUAAAAUUCAUAAAAUACAUUUCACGAUCUCAACAUAUCAAUAUUAUACCAAAGAUUCACUACUAAAAGCUUUCUUAUAAAUAAUGUUUAACACAUCCACCCAUACCAACAAGCUAGUUGGGUUCUCAAAUAUGAGUUCAACACCAAAUCUUAUCAUAUGAGCAUGUUUACCAUAGAUAACUCCUUAAGUAGUUAAUAUUUGCAAUUAACAAUCAACAUGUCCGUUUUCAUGUACCACUAGUAAUACAUCGUGAAAAUUCAUUACAUCCACCACUAGAACAUAUCAUAUCUAUUGAGAAGAUCAUUUCCAAAUAGGUCACAUACUUUAUCCAUCAAAUAACUAUAAAAUAUUAUCAGAUUAGUUUUGUAUCUAACCCAAGCUAUAUGUAUUCUUUCGUAACCAAGGUCAAUAUCAAAAGUAACACACUUCAUAAUUCUAACCAAGUACCCAUCAGUACCAUUGUAAUAGUCGUAUCAUGACUUUCUUUGGUAUACACUCAAUCUUGAAACCACAGAAGGGAUUCUGACCUGAAUUGGUGCAACAUCAUUUGCUAAGCAACCCAUUAAUGGUAUGACAACUAUAUCAAUUGUAUUACACUAUUUAUUAUCUAGUCAAUUCUUUAAACAUUUAACUUCUAUUUGUUGAACCACUCCAUAUUUUGCUUACACCAGAUAAGUACUAUACUUAUUAUUAUUAUUUUACAAUGAUAACUAACCUUACUCAACUCUUUCCAAUAUGAUCACACAUUCGUUUCAUAAGUAUAUCAUUUUCACCUUAAUACAAAAUCUAACAUCAAAUCAAUACGCGACAUGCCAAUGAUUCACAAAAAGAACUAGGCACGAGUCAUCACAUAAAUGAGAGCGAAUGGAGUGAAGCGAUAAGAAUCAAAAUGGGACCAAGUACACACAAUAGAGAUCCAAGAAGUGAAGAUAUUUCCUAAAAGUCACUACAGCCUCUCGAAGAUAGGUACAGACGUCUCCGUACCGAUCAUCAAGACUCUAUUUAGACUCGACUUGUACACACGUGACACCUAUGAACCUGGGGCUCUGAUACCAUUUUGUCACGACCCAAAAAUGGACGUGAUGGCACUCGUCUUAUCCCACCAAGACAAGUCAGCCUAAAACUUACAAUAAAAUGCGGAAAAUUUAUAAGUUACUUAAAAGUACCCCAAAACCUGGUUGUCACGUGUACAAGCCUCUAAAGUAUUACAAUUGAUUCAAAAGAAAAACUCAAGUCUCUAAUGAACUUGUUUCUAGAAUAGAACAAGAUCAUAAUUAAGGAGAAGAAAGUCUGCUGUGAUGGAAACGGCUACCUGACAAAUCUCCAAGAAGCCUCGAAAAAGAAGAGAAUGACAAGUACAACAAAAAUCCAGGCUCAUAACCUACAAAAAAUUUGGAGUAGCAAGGGGUGAGUACCAAACCACACGGUACUCAGCAAGUAAACCUCUAAACACAAGUUAAGGGGAUAAAAUACGGGUACUCCUACCACCCCCAAACGAACCUCCGCAACUACUUCCUGCAGUAAAAUCAACCCAACCUAACAGCUCACAGUUUACAUAGCACGUAGCUCAACAACAACACUUAGACAAAUUACACAUCCUCAACAACAACACUUUAACAGACUACACAUCCUCAACAACAAUAAUUCAACAAAUUAUAUAUACGCAAUAACAAGCUCAAUAUUGAUCAAUCAUAAGUUCCGCAGAAAGGCAAUCAGAAGAUCAGCAAAACACGAUAUCAAGUUCACUAAUGAUAAGUAUGUGCAAUGCAAUGGAAUGCAAUGUCAAGGAUAAUGAUGCAUGUCUGACCUAGUGAUACACACCCGCUGUCUCUUAGUCCGGGACCCAUGGGGGACAUAUCUGUCCAUGCAUCUGUCGCGGCGCACGACACGACCCUCGAUAAUAGUAACCAUCGCGGCGCGCGAUACGUCCCUCGAAAUAUAGUAUCCAUCGCGGCGCGCGAUACGUCCCUCGAAAUGAUAUAUCCUCUUAAGUACUCAUUCUUUCUCAAUGCACAUAACACUUGUCACAACCAAUGCCUCAAAAUCAUGUAGAUGACAAGUUCACAGAAAUAAUGAGGAGAUUAACAUUUUCAUAACAUCACACAGUUAACAACCACACAAACAUGAAGUCACAUCAAUAAUGAUUCAACAAGCCUUCAACCCUUUCUCAACACAUCACGCAUAAACAAUUAGUCACAUUGCCUUUUGUUAUCCCUUUUUUUUUUCAUCAUAUCAAUGUGGACAAGUCAACCCAUCACCAAUCCCGUUACUCCCAAACAUAUACCACAAGGACAUACACGCAUUUCAUACACUUAACAAGAGUUUAGAAAUCCACUUGCCUCAAAUAGUAGAACAAUCACUUCGGGACUUGAGCCUUUCCCAUUUGUUGAGCUUCCAACUCAAAGCAAUCUAUUCACAUACAUAACUACACUAAGCUUUCAAAACUAACAACACCCAUAUUGCUAUAUGUAGCCUAGAGCCAAAACUCAUCCGAAUUUAUAAUAAGUUUCUAAAUCUAGAUACCAAUAAACAUAUUAACUCUCAUCUUUUUCAAAAUUUCAAGCCUAGGAUUUAGUCUCAAAUUUUCCUCUACUAAUAUCAAUAUAACAGAGUCAAAAAAUGAUUUCAACAAAAUUGAUUGUUGAUGAUUAUCAAUCCAACUUCACAUUUUUCAAGAUAUGAGUCAAUCAUAUAUAUGACUAGUACUUUUAUUUAACUUUUUUUUUUAUUCCAAAAAUAAAUAAAACUACAUACUAAUUAAGCAAUCUGUUAUUAAAAUUAAUUAUUUUCCUCACUAAUCACCCAAUUCUUAUAACUCUAUAAUUAGACUAUUAAUGGCCAACCAUGCAUCAUAAUUCUCCACUAACAAUUUUUUUAUGUAAAAAUAAAUAACAUUAAUUAUUAAUUUGUCCAAUCUUCAGAUCAUUAAUUUCAUACCAAGCAAAUUUUUCUCCUCCUCCCACUUUGUUGCUUUUAAAAAUUAAUUGUUAUAGUUAUAUAGUAAUACUCCUAUAAUGAUUAAUUUAUUUAAGUCUACAGAAGAGUUGAAAUUGGGUAAAAAGUUUGCUUACCUGAAGAUCUCCAUGCUGAUCCCUUGGACGCCGCCGCCACACAAGGUUUGAUUCUUCCCUUUCUUUAUUUUUUUUUAUUAAUUAUGUAGUAAAUAUGAUAAUGUUUACUUACUUAUUUUUAUUAUAUAUGGGCCAAAAGGUAGAGAAUCUUAAAUAAAUUAUCACUUUAACCCAUUAACUAUCUAUUUAGUCAAUUAUCCAUAAUUACCCAUCAAUUAAUUAACUAAAGUUAAACGAAUAGUUCAAAAUUCUCAAAAUUAACCUAUCGGGUCAUUACAUGUUUACUAAUUAAGUUGUUAACAUUCCAACUCGAUCGUUAAAAGAUUGAUUUCAGUCUCCUUGAAGAUUCCAAUAUGCCUUCUCUCAUUGCAAGCUCCAUUAGAAGUAGUAAGAAUUUGUAUACAAUAUAUUUUGUUUCUGUAAGCAACAAAAGAAUAUAUGAGUAAUAAAGUUCUUAGUGUUAUAAAAUGAAGCUAAAACUAAUAAUAUUGAAAGAUAAAACCAACAGAAAUAUAGUGACAGUUAGAGAUAUUUUUUUGUUUCUUUCAAGUGGGCAAAAGUCUCUUUAUAAUGUGCACAAUGACACCAUUUGUAGGAUAUGAUUAAGUAAAAUCAAAGAGUGUCUUAAACAUGACAUUAAUUUCUUGAGAAUGUGGAAAAGAUUAUACAGGUGUGGGAGAUUAGUGAGGAGAAGGUGAAGGUGUAUAGCAUUAAUACACAUAAUGAAUAAAAAUUAGACCUAGAAAUUAUUGACUUGCACUUUUAAACAAUACAUUUACAAUAACUCUGUAGUAUUUUAUUUUGUAAUAUUUUGCAUAUUAUGGAGAAAUGAAAACUUUUUUAAGAGCUUUUACUAAUAUUAUAAUUAAUUAUUUUUACAACAUUUUAUUUUUCGUAUUUUAUUAUAUCAAAAUAAGUGAACUAUAAAUAACUAUCAGAUUUCUGUAAAUGAAGAAAAUGUAAUGGGAUGAUAAAGUAUAAGAUAUAUAUUUAGUGAAAGCUUUAUUAAGAAGGCAAACAUGCAAAUAUUAAUAUGAAAAUUCAAUUCUAUACUGAGUUUUGAAGUGCAUAUCAAUGACAAAUAGUUUAAGUGAUUUACCAAUAUCAUAUCCUGAUUACAUGUUACUAUUUAUUCUUAAAUAUUUUUUCCUUUAAAUAUUUUAUAGGAGUCAUUGCUUAGUAUUUAAUAAGACUACAUUAAUUAAUGAAACACUCUCAAAAUCUGAAUUAUUCUCCUAGUUCAUUUAUUAGUCAUUAUUAUAAUUAAAGUAAAGAUGUAUCAACCUGAAAAACGUACUAAUCUACAAAUAAAACUGUUGAGGUAUUGCUAGAAAUUAAAAUUAAAAAAUGAUCUAUGAUUUUAAUUCAUAUGAAAAUUUGUAGUGGUAAUUUCAAUUUUAUAUAUAACCAUAUAUUUUAUAACGUUCGAUUUGAUAUAGAGACAAAAUAGUAAUCCAAUGAAGAAUUAAAGUAAGCAUUAUGAGGAGCAUUAAAAUAAAAAUUCAACUAAUUAUCAAAUUAAAAACUUAAGGAGCAGAAAAUUAAAUAACAUGCGGAGAAAAAACCACAAUUAACUUAUUGUUUAAUUAAUAUUAACGGGAAGAAAAAAGAAUUACAACAAAUAUUUAUUAUUUAAUUAAUAUAAUAUUUAACUAUAGUAUAUGGGCAAACGACAAAAUAAUAAUCCAACUUUGAGAUUUUGAUCAUCCCAUUUUUUAUUAUUGGAAUUGUUUUAGAUUGAAGGGCAAAAUGAUUGUUCAUUCAACUUCUGAGCUUUGGCUAUUUAAAACUUAAUUAAUUAGAUAUUUUAUAAUAUAUUAAUUUAGUAUAUGAAUAAUAUAUAUAUAUAUAUAUAUAUAUAUAUAUAUAUAUAUAUAUAUAUAAAUCAAGAUAAAAAUAUUCAAUUGUAUAUCAAUCACAUUUUAAUCAUUUCUUAUAAAUAAUAAAUAAGUAUAAGGAUUAGAGUGUUGUAAAAAAUUAAAAAUAUAUUUUUUAUUAGAAAAAUUAUUGAAUCACACCUUGUUUUGAUGGGUUCGAUGAUAUUUAAUCAUUCUUUAUCCAUCAUUUAACAUAUUAAUUAAUGAAAAUAUAUGAAUUCAAUGCAUUCUCUAUUUCAUAUACAAUAUUUUACUACGUACUUUUUAUCCUUUUUUUGCAUUCUUACUUCAAGCUCUUUACAUCGAUAUAUUAAUCAACACAAUUUAGCUAGAAUAAUUUAUAUGGUAAAAAGUUGUGAAAAUAAAGAGAAACUGAUAACUAACUUACCCCCCCCCCCCAAUCAUUCUUGCAAGCCGUGAAGAGCUUCAAAGUCCAACCACAUAGAUAGAAAUUAAUCGUAAAUCUGUGGAAGGAAGAAAAUCAAAUAGAUUGUUAGAGUGUGUCUAUAAGAAAAAGAAGAAAAAACACAUAAAGUCAAACAAAAAUCAACAAUGAAUAGUGAUAUUGACAAUUAAAAAGUACAACAAACAUAUUAUCAGAGUAACGAUUAAUUGCAACAAAUAAAUUCUUACAAAUGAAUAGUCUAUACAAAAGAGAUACAACUACAGACACGUUAAAUAACUAAAUAGAUUGCCUACGAAAGGGAAGGGGUGAAAGAGUUGGAGAAACUUAUAAAGAGAAAAAACUCUUGAAAAUUUGAUUAUUUUUUCUCUUAAGUUUUGAACUUUUAUAAUAUGAUGCAACUUUAGAGAAGCUCUGAGAAGACAAAUACAAUUGAAGUUAAUAUGAAAAUAUAUAAUAUUUGUAACUGAUAAGAAAUUAAAUAUAUUAUUAAUUAAGAUAUAAUGAAAUUUAUUACUCACCGUCCGGAAUUGUUUGUCAUGCUGCGCUUAUCGAAAGUCAAUUUGACUAAUUUUCAAAGGUAAAUUGGAACACAUUAAUUCGAUAUUUAAAAAAAAUAGAUAUUCUAAAACUAUAUGAAAAGUACUAUAAAUUACAAUUUUUUGCAUAUUAAACUGAUGAAAAAAUACAUCUUAAAAUAUUGAUCAAAGUUUUUAUAAUUUGACUCUAAAUAUAGAAACCAUGACAAACAAUACCGGACGGAGGGAGUAAAUAAGAUAGAAUAUGCUUAGUUUUUUAAAUAAUUGAUAAAGAAAAAUCUGAAAAAAGAAGAUGCGGAAAUGAAUUAAAGGUAUUGAAAUUUGAAAAGUAUAACUUUUGAAGUUAUAAAGACUUCACAUAAAUGACAUAUAAAAAUUGAAGCAAUAUUAUUAAUUCCAAGAAGUUUAAUUAAUAUAUUUUUUAUAUGACAAAUUUCAUCCUUAAAGGGUAUAAAAUUAGGGUCAUUUUAACUGUUACAAAACUUUUAAUUUCCUUUAGUCAUUUAAUUACAAAUGUUAAUUAUAUCUAGAUUAAUUCAUGUCAUAGAUGGUAAGUUCUUCAUUUUUAGAAUAUUAAUUUUUUAUUAUAAUCAAUGUGUAUUUAUAUUUUUGUUCACAAAUAUACAAUAAUAAUAGUGUUUAAUAGAAAAUACAAUAGUUUUUAUUUAUAAAUAAUGUACAUUUACAUUUUUGUCCAUAAAUAUUAUGAUAUUAUAAGGACAUUUUUCUAAUUCAACUUUUGACAUAGAGGCUUCCCACUUAUAAUAUAAUAUGAUCUGAAAUAUGAUUAAAAAAACAACACCAAAUCUGUCAUAAUACAAAUGAUAAAGUGUCACGACCCAAAUUUUGCAAGUCGUGAUGGCACCUAUGUUCCCAACCAAUAGCUAAGCCAACCAUACAUAUUAACCCAACUAAACCAACAAAUGAGUAAAAAAGACCAACGCUUAGCAAGAAUCUCCAACAUUGAGUUCCUUAUAAGUACGAAAUGCGGAAGAAAAAUAUAUCACCCCAAGAAUUGGUGUCUUAAGUACAAGAGCUUCUAAAAUUCGAAGCAAGUCUGAAACUAAAUGACAAAUCUAACAUAAGGGAUAUCCUGUUUGAAUACUAAUAACAGAAUAAAUAAAAGAUAGAGGGAGGUGUGGGCCACGGAACAGCCAAGCAGCUCACCACAACUCCAAGAACUUCAAGCCGGACUCAAUUUGCUCCACGAAAUGUGCUCCUACUCGGAAUCGAAUCUGCACCACAAAGAGUGCAACAAGCGUAGUAUGAGUACGAAACCACGUGUACCCAGUAUGUCUCAUUGACCAACAACGAAGAAGUAGUGACGGGAGUUAUAUAAGAAAAUAAAUUCUUAGAUUGUACAAGUAUAUAUAUAUAUUACACUUACUAUUUAAGUUUCAUCAAUAAAAGAAAUCAACUUUUAAUAUUUUCCAAACACCAAACAAAACAUAUAGUCAUCAAGAAUGAAUGAUGGGAUGAAAUACAAUGCAAUAUGAUGCCAUGUAAUGAUAUGUCUUAGAAUACCCAGUACUCACUCAACCGUAUAUACAUGAUACUCCUCGAAAAUACAUCGAGAGUUCAUGACCCAUGGGGGACUCGUGAGGUCCAUAUACCGACACGGACGAUCUCCACGUGUCUGUGCGGACGAUCUCAACGCACUAUCAUAAUAUCAA